UGUUCAGGUUUUUUUUUUUUUUUUUGGAGGGGGGAGGUUGGUUCACUGAUUUGUUUAGAAGAAAUGUUAGGAAAAGGAUUCCUAAAGGAGAAAAUAAUAUUGUUAUUUCCCCUUUUUGAAAGCAUUAUCCUAGAACCAACCUUGACCUCAGAUUAUCUUUUGCAAGUUAUAUUCUAUUUCGUAGAAAGUGGGAAACUGUGAAGUUCAUGUUUUGUUUAGCUGGGUUGGAACUGGUCAGUGCAGAGAUUAGGGAAUGAUUUCACUCAAUCUCAAAGAUUUACAAAGAGCUAAGUUCUGGUAAUGGAUGCAUUUGGAAAAUGAAGUUGGAGGUUGAACUCUGCAUUUAAUAUGAAUGAGAGGGGGAAACAAAAAGCUGUGUAAUGAAAAUUUUGUAACCUUUGUUAUUUACUCCCCAUUUAUGGGUGAUACAAGUUACUUAGCCUUAAUUUUCUUCUCUGUAAACUAGGAAUAAUAAUAUUCUCUACUUCAUGUGUUGGUUAUGAGGAGUAAAUUUAAAAAUUAUAUGCAGUGUGCGUCCCUGUGCAUAUUAUCUGGUUUAAUUUCAUCGGCUUACUCACAGCUACUUGAUGUGAGUUCCAUAUCCUACCUUGUUCAGGGACAGGAAAAUGUUGUAUGGAAAAAUCACCCUUAAAUGAAUUCAACAUAAUUCCAGUGGAAAUCUCAAUAAGAUUUUAAUUUUGGAACUUGACCAAACUCUACUUUCCCUACCUGGAAGAAUAAAUCCAACAUCUAGACACAGAUAUUACAGAAACUUAAAAAUAAAUUAUAUUCCAAGAAUGCCUUCUUUAGUACAUGCCUAGAAAUAGAAACUUAAGCUGAGGCCUGAAUGAUGAACAGGAAUUAGCAAGGUAAAUAUCUGGGUGAACAUUUGUAUGUGGGGAGGUGUGAUGGCAGGGAGAGUGGGGGGUCCUGGUUAUCUAUUAUUGCAUAACAAAUUACCCUCAAACAAUGCAUGAGUUUCCUAUGGCUACUGUAAAAAAGUACCACUAAUUUAGUGGCUUCAUGUAACACAAAUCUGUGAUCUUACAGUUCUGAAGGUCAGAAGCUCUAAAUGAGUCUCCAGCGGCUAAAAUCAAGGUGUUGGUAGGGCUUUUUCUUCUGGAAGCUCUAGGGGAGAAUCCAUUCCUUGCUCUAUUCCAUCCUGGUUCAUGGUCUCUUCAUCAUCAAAGCCAGCACCAUGACAUUUUCAAAUCUCUCUCUCUGAUCCUUCUGUUUCCCUGUUGUAAGGAUUACUUUGGACCCACCCAGAUAUUCCAGGAUUAUCCCACCAUCUCAAGAUCUUUAACUUAAUCACAUCUACAAAGUCCCUUUUAUCAUGUAAUAACAGUUCAAGUUUCUGGGGACUAGGACAUGGACAUCUUUGGGGAAGCCAUUAUUCUGCCUUUGACAUUUAUUUACUUAAAACACCAACCAUUUUAUUGUAUCUCACAUUUCUUUUUCCAAAGAGAAACUUGGGUGGGGCUUGGCUCUAAUUCUUCUGUUCCAUGUGUCAUGGACCGAGGCUACUGGUGGUAUUCUGCUGAUGGAUAGGCUGGUCUACAAGAUGAACAGUGUGCGCCUGCACCUUGCCUACGAUGGCUGGACUGUCAAUUGGAGAGCCUACAGGUGACCUCUCUAGCGGGAUGGUUUCAGGGUAAUUGGACACCUUACAUGGUUGCUCAGGGUUCCAGAAAGAGUAUCUCUAGAGAGAGGCAGUGGGAAGGGUGGUGGGUGGGGGAAUAGGGUAACUAGGUGAUGGACAUUAAGGAGGGUACUUGAUGUAAUGAGCACGGGGUGUUAUAUGUAACUGAUGAAUCAUUACAUUCUACCUCUGAAACUGAUAUACACUAUAUGCUAAUUAAGUUGAAUUUAAAUAAAAAAUUUAAAAAAGACAGGAAGUGGAAGCUGCCAGUUUCUUAUGGCCUGGGUUCUGAAAUUAGCACAACUUCACUUCUGCCAUAUUGUAUUAGUCACACCAUUACAGAACCACUGAUUUGAGGGUGGGGACACUGACUCCUCCAUUUCAUGCACAAAUGUUGAUGUAUUUGCUGCUAUUUUGAAUCACUAGGGUGGAUGGUUAGUGGCGCAGGAUUCCAUGAAGAGGGAUGAGAUUUGGGAACGCCUUGGACCUGGAGGGACAGUUGGGCUUCUCUGAACCAUGGCUUCUGUGUAUUUGCAACACAAUGACAGAGGAGAGCUGACACUGGAUGAGUAGUAGGACCUUCUAGACCACAUGCAGGUUAUGGGUUUAUUCUAAACAGUGAGGAGAAGCCCCUGAGGACUUUGAGCAGGGACAGAUCUGCUGUGACUACUGGGUGAUCCGGGCAGUGGGCAGUGAGGGAAGCCCAUGAGAAGUCAGUUGUGGGCCUAGUCAGAAAUAACAGUAGUAGCUUAUGGUAGAGGAGUGAUAACGUGAGGAUAGUGAUGGUCUGUGAACUCUUUGUCUAUAUGGAGGUCAGUAUGGAAAUUGAGAGUGAUUAGAAUCCUUUGUAACAACUUGAUGGGCUGCAGCAUCCAGAGGAAUGAGCAUGGGCUUGUAUUUUUUAUAUCUGGGCGGGGGGGGGGCGUUGUUGUUUUUUUAACUUUUAUUUUUCUCUUCAUUUUUGUUGCAUUUUAGUAUAUUCAUUAAGAAUUUGAGAUUUGAAAAAAUACUGGUCUUUUCCAACUCAUAGGUUGAGAAACUCACCCUUCCUAGAUUCCUAGAACACAGUCUCUCACCAUAGCACACCUUGUGUCUCUCUUAGGUGCCCUGGACUCUCCUCAUGAAAAGAAACACCUCCAGCUUGUCAGUAUUUAUUUGUCAUACUUGCAUUUUAGAAUUAAGUGUUCUCUGGUUGCAUUAGCCAUGGAAGACUUCUUGCUCACAGUGACGGGCCAACUGGUGGUUGGCAAAUGUUAGAAAACAUAGAUUAAAACAAGGAAUCCUUUAAAAAUGAGUAUGUAGGCUGUAAAUAUUUCCAUUAACUCAAAACAUAUGCAUUCGUUUUCUAGUCUUUUGAAGUUCGGUUAAAACCUUCUGUUUGAAUAUGUGGCUACUGAUUGGAGUUCUGCAGUGUGUUUUCUUGCAUGGAUCACGGAGCAGUAGAUCCUUUAUAAUUUUCAGUGUUGUUGCCUUUCAAUUUAGCAGGAUGAAAUAUACUUUUAUUUUCUCAAAAGUAACAGAUCUAAUAGAAAGGGGAGGAAUACAGUCUAAUUUUACAAUCUAAAAGUGUUAUGUCACAUACUUAAUCAGAAAGCCACAGAUUUUAAAUUAGAAAUAGUGCAUUUUCAUUAUGGUAAAAGGAGAAAGAAGCAGAAAUGGUUCAUUUUUGCUGUACUGAAUGCAUGGAUGACACAGCCUUCUAUCUUGGCAGAGAGAAGAGAGAUGUGUGAUGGGUCUCUCAGCUCCUCAAAUGUCUAAUUCUCAUUCUGCUAAUUAAGAGCAGCUGAUAAAUUUAGAUACUUCCUACUGAUAGUUUUAUAUUUCAGAAAUAAGAAAAAGUAAUGAUGGGAAAGCUUAUAAAAUAUAAAAAUCAAAAAUGAAAUUUUGAUGAUAUAAUUGACACCAUCUCCCAUGAGCAGAAAUUGGAGCCAAUGUGAAUGGAUCUCUUUUGAGGUCAGAUUUUAAAGCCCAUAUAAAACAAAUAAAGACAGGCACAUAAUCAAGGGGAAGUAAUAUCAAAUCUUUAGGAAUAGUAUCAGUAGGAGGAGCAUGGCAAGUGAGCUGAGAUGGACAAAAACGAAAAGGCAGAAAACUGCACAAAGUCAUGUUCAAAGUUAUGUAAGAACGUGAAGUGGAGGGGCACCUGGAUGGCUCAGUCAGUUAAGCGUCUGCCUUCGGCUCAGGUCAUGAUCCCACGGUCAUGAUCCCACGGUCCUGGGAUCAAGCCCUACAUCAGGCUCCCUGCUCAGCAGGGAGUCUGAUUCUUCCUCUCCCUCUGCCCCUCCCCCCCACUUGUGUGUAUGCGCUCCCUCUCUCUCUCUUAAAAGAAAAAAUAGGUCGAAGUGGGAAGCCUGCCAAAGAAAGCGUAAUGCAAUGACAGAUGACAGUAUCAUUGAACAGGUGACCUAGGGAGUGUAGAAGGACACAGAUGUUGGAACCAGUUCUUUCAAUAGAAAGGAGCUUGUCUUCAUAAAUACUGAAAGGCAUAAAUGAGAGCAACAGGCAGCCACUCUCAGUGCUUACUAUGUGCUCGGCAUGGUUCUAAGUGCGUUACAUAUAUUAACUCAUUUAACCGUAACACCAGUGAGGCAGGUACUAUUAUUAUAACCACAUUAGGAGUGAGAGGCGGGGAGCAAGAGUAAUUUGUUCAGAAUGGUGUGGCUACUAAGUGCCUUGAACUAAAGCAUCUUUUUUCUGGACUCUAUUCUUCUGAGUAGGGCUGUGUGAUUCAAAAUGGAAGCCCACAGAAAGUGACCUGUCUUAAAAAGAAUCUUUAAAAUGAGUACAAGUCAACAUGGCUAAGCCAAUCACACCACGGACUGAAGGACUGGAGAUUUGGAAGAUUGCAAACAGUGUAGAUCAGGAUCCUGCUCCCCCAGCUUACUGAGUGUGCUUCAUUCAUUCAGCUAACACAGUUUAGCACCAGGUCCGUGACAGUCACUGUGCAGAGUGUUAAGGUGUUAAGGAUAAGAAAACACAGUGGAUGCCAUCCUUGCCCUCCAGAAGUGCAAUCUAUGGCAAAGACCAAAAGAUGAAGGAGAACUAUAAUUCUAUUUGAUGCAUUACUUAAAAACCACAAUGGGCCCAGAGGAAGCAUGGGGAAGCAGAUGUAGCGGAGGCUUCGCAGAGGAGCUGAUGUUUGAUCCAGGCUUCGCAUGAUGAGGGUGAGUCACCCAGUGAGAAUUGGGAGGAAGAGUCUGCUCAAAGUGGGAUCCAGGACCAGCAGCAUUGUAUCUCCAGGAGCUUGUUAGAGAUGCAGAAUUUCAGGCUUCACCCCAGACCUGCCAGAUCUGCAUUUUAACAAGUUAUCUGGCUGAUGAGCACGUACACUGAAGUUUAGAAAGCUCUGUCGGAGGGUGAGUCUGUAAUUUCAGCCUCGUGUGCACCCAGUAGGUGGCGCUGUGGGGUGGGGGGGGGAAUGUGUUUCCCAAGUCUGGCUACCUUUAAACUAUAUCCUGAGGGCAAUGAUGACCUGUUGCAAAACCCUAGCAGUUUAGCAAGUAGAUUGCACACCUGGUCCUUGAAAGUCAUCAGUCUGCAGAUCAACCUGCUCCCAGUUUCCCAAAACAGCAUUUCUACAAUGUUUGUGGAAAGCGAUAUUCCAGAAUUUGUGAUACUAGAAAAUAGAUUCAGAAAAUAGAUGCCUCUGGCACUGUCCUUCACACUGCUCUGAGCCUUAAAAUAGAGUCUGAGCUGUAUAGACCCAAGUGUGACUUCCCCACCUAGUCUGGAUUUCCCCAGCAGAAUCAGAAAAUGAUCUUUGAGUGAGAGGUUCUCAGGAAGGAGUAUUAUUUUGUGUUUCGAUCAUUCAGGAUCUCUCAUGUCUUAGGCACUUUCUGAUGAAUCCUUACCGAGCUUGUAUUCUCUUGUUGUUGUUUCUCUCUGGCACUGUGAUUUAUUCUUAAAUUUCCAAAUUGUGGAAUCCAUCUGGUUCUUGAUGUCCAGAAAUAUCUCUAGGACUGAGCUGGGUGGGGCUUCAGACGCAGGCCUGGCCUCAAAAUUGGGCUCCAUGAUUUACGGGACCUGUACAAAGCUCCCUUUCUCAUUCCAAAAAAAUGAAGAUAAAAAUGCUCAUCUCUCAAGUUAUUGCAAGCAUCAGAAUAUAAUCCAUGCAAAGAUUGCUAAAUCACUGCCUGGCAUAUGGAAUAUGCUUAAUGAACAGAUGCCAUUGCUCGUCAUAGCAUACAGAUUCAUGUCUAUUGAAGUAGACCAGGGCUACAAACGGUGGCUUGCAGAAGCCGGGAGCAGAGAAAGACAGUGGCUACUGUAUUGGUGACUUCUGAUGUUCUUGCUGCCUCUGCCUGGUUCUGUCCUGUUUGCUGCGCCCACUCCAUCUCCGCCUCUAAUCAUCACAUUGCCGUCUCCUAGCAUGUCCGCGUCUCCUCUCUUCUUCUAUAAGGAGUAGGGGCCCACCCUACUUCAGUAUGACCUCAUCCUCACUAAUUUUAUCUUCAAGGACCCGAUCUCCAAAUAAGGUCACAUUCCAGGCUAAUGGGGCCUGGGACAUCAAUAUAUCUUUUUGGUGGACACAGUUUAACCCAUAACAGAGUCUUCGGGGGGUUAGUCUGCUUCUCCUCAGUCUUACCCGUAACACCAGGCCAAAUGAAGCCUGUGUCAUUUACAACGAGCAGUAGCACCUCACAUGCUAGAGCUGGAACAGUUAAGGCCAGGUCCCUAAGGCUCACAUAGCUGGCACUGGCUGGGCGCUGUGGCCAGAGCUUGCUGAUGUACCCCAGCGUUCAAGCCACGAGAGGCAAGCCCCCACCGAGCCAACACACAUUCCAGCUGUUAUUUUGCUUCUGGAAAUCCAUAACCUGUUUCUUUAGGUUCCCAGCAAAUACCCUAUAUAUUAGUGUUUUAGGGACUUCUUGAAGUGAGCUAGUCCCCCCACACCUUUCCAUGGGACUGAGAGCUGAGGGUGGUUAAACUGUGUCCACCAAAAGGAUAUGUUGAAGUCCCAGGCCAUUCUGCAAUGAGGUGCCUUCAAGGUAGUGGGUGCAUGCAGGGCAGGGUCCUGCACAUCUGCUUCCUCCUUCCAGACUUAAUUAUCCUCUUCUUCUCUGACUGUGAGUCUGGGAGGCAGAGAGUGGCAGGGAGUUUUGGUUGCAUGGAAAUUCCUUCACAGGGAAGCAGAGGGAAUAGAAGUAAGGGUCUCUCCUAAGUCAUCACCACCAUUUUAAUUAUGGGUUAAUUUCACAUGCAGAGUAGCCAGACAUUUGGUUCAACAUUAUUCUGUUUGUGCCUGUGAGGGCAUUUCUGGUUGAGAUGAACGCUUGAAAUAGUGGGCCCAGGAAAACAAAUGGCCCUUCCCAGCGUGGGUGGGCAUUGUCCAAUCCAUGAAAGGCCUGAAUGGAAGAAAAGGCUGAGUGGGAAAGAAUUCUCUCUCUGCCUGUCUUCGAGCUGGGGUGUCAGUCCCCACUUCCGCCUUUGGACAAGGGCUCAGACUUGGGCUGGAACUUACAGCAUCAGCUCUCCUGGUCCUCAGGUCUUCUGGCUCAGACUGGAACCACACCACUGCCCUUUUGGGUCUCCAGCUUGCUGACUGCAGAUCUUGGGACUUCUCAGCCUCUGUAAUCACGUGUGCUAAUUUUUUAAUAAUAAAUCUAUUUUUCUAUAUAAUCUCCUGUUGGUUCUGUUUCUCUGGAGAACCCCAACUAGUACAUUAGUAAAUGUGACCUCCAGCAUAUUUGGGGAUCCAAUGAGAUUUUGAAAGAGCAAUGCUUUCUGACACAUGAUUUCAAUAAUCUUAGUAGUUAAAAUAAUUGGUAUUUUUAAGCAAAGAGAUCUUAGAGACGUUCUCCCCAACCCUCCCCUGGUGAUCUCUCCAUUUCUCCCAGCUGCUUUUCUGUUCUGGUGUAGGGAAAAUUCACACAUGGAUGACUUUUAUCUGUUUCUCCAUUGCUUUCUGUUUGUUACAAAAAGAAAAAAGAUGAUUGCUCAAAUCCAUUUUGAAAGUAGCUGGGAUAUAUAAUCCUUCAAGGGUGCCAUACACAAUAGGUUUUUUGCUGACAAGCCUCCCUGAGUCACAGAUUUCGGGGCUCAUGCACCUGUUCAACUCAAAGCUCUAGUGAGAAAGUCUUUCCUUGCACUUGAUUUCUGAUUCAGAGGAGUCUGGAGCGGUAAGCAUGAUCAAGAAUUUGGGGUUAUUUACAAAGUAAAAAUUGAUGGUCUGUGAAACCUGCUCUUCCUUACCUAAACUCAAACCCUCAAGUGGUAGGAGAACUAACUAGGCCUUUCAGUAUGUUCUAAAUGCAAGGAAAUUUGGCUUGUUCUCAACCCAGUUGAUGCCAUGGAGCAAACCAGGCUAAUUUUUGUAUCCCUGGAACGAAGACAGACCUCGACAGGCUUCUGCGUGGAAAGUGGGGAGGAAAUGGAAGAGGAGACUUGGAAUCCAUAGCAGAGUCCUCCGCUGGUGUUCGUCUAACAACGACCCAUUCUCCUAAAUUCUUAAGUCCCACAACGACAACUUGUCAACCUGUUCAAAUGACUUUGUGAUUCUAUUUAAGAAAAAGAACCAUGGCAUCUCCCUUUCAUAAAUUAAGUGCAAAACUCUGAGUGCUUUUUGCCUUCCUUCUUUUGACCAGAGUACCAUUUUACUCAUCUCAAUUAUAAUUUGUUUAACAGGUUUCAUUUGCUUUUCCCCACUUAAUACACAAACCCUUUUAUGUGUUUAACUGCUAUUUGUUUAAGAGGGUCUGCAAUGAAUAAUGCAACGAACAGCCAAAUUUUUCAUGUAAUAAUUUUUUAUGAACCAUACAAAGACAACUCGAGUUUUAUAAAUCCAAAUGAACUCACUAGCAGCAAGGGUCUCAGUCCUUAGGAGCUGCUUCUCUUUCUAUAUGUUUGAAUUAUUAAUCUAUCCAACCUCAUCUUUUCCCUUAGCUGCUAAAUUUACAAGAAAGGAACCAGCUAAACCUAGCUAGAGAUUUGCAUGAAAUCUGAUUUUUAAGAGCCAACAAAUUCAGCCAAGAAUCACCUUGUCUUCUGUACCCUACUUGUAUUUGUAGGUUAGAACCUUAAUGCUAUGCCUGUAAAAAACAACAACAACAACAACAAAACUCAUGCUGGCUUCCUCACACCUGAAAAGCAGAUGUACAGAAAGAUCUGGGACAGAGCAGCUGAUUUUGGGCGGAACAACAUGCAUAAACAUUCAUUGUCUUUCUUUUUUCCUUUCUUUACCUCUAACAUUGCGGCCAAGGUUGGAAACAUGGGUGGAUGAAGGGUUUAACUUCUUUGAAAUACUAAGUAUGGAACUUUGAACCGUGCUUGACUUCCCUGGAUCAAGCAAGAAUUGGAGGCUGAGCUCAGAGAGCUUGAAGGAAGCAUUUGUUUUUCUACAGUAUGAGGUGGAUGUAGAUGAAGACUGGUUUGGUCAAGGAGGAGGAAAUAGUUCUUGCAUGAGCCAUUGGUGUCAUGUGCUUUGAAUGUCUGUUGAUUGGAAACAGUGAUCAUCUGUGAGUGGAUAAUCUGGCUAUAGAGGUGACCACUUGGAUUUGAUCUGAGGCCAUGUCAAGGCAUGUCUAGCAAAUAGAAGAAUGUAGUCCAAAUGAGUGCUUGGUUGCAUGUCUCACUAAAUGUUAUCUUCCGUUAUAAAACCAAAAGAAAUGAUUUUUGAAUUAAGCAUUGUUUUGACAAUUUAUAUUUUAAUUCAUUCAAAGGAAUGGUGAGUUUGUCAGGCCACAAUAACCUGCCGGUCAUUUUCCUUUUCAAAUCCAUCCUCACAGAGAAUUUGCUAUUUAUGCUGAUGAUUUGGAGUGAGGAGUUAAAGAAUAGUCUUAUUAUUGCCCUUAUAUGGGAAGUGAUAUAGCAUCUAUGUGAAAUGCUAAUGACUCCUCCUUUCCUUCCAUAUCGAGAGAGAAAGAGAGUUUAUUUAACACUUUUGCCUACUUGAGUAAUGUUUCAUUUCUUUUUUUCUUUUUCUUUUUUUAAAUUUUAUUAUGUUAUGUUAGUCACCAUACAAUACAUCAUUAGUUUUUGAUGUGGUGAUCCACGAUCCAUUGUUUUCGUAUAACACCCAGUGCUCCAUGCAGUACGUGCCCUCCUUAAUACCCAUCACCGGGCUAACCAAUCCCCCCUCUCCCCUCCCCUCUAAAGCCCUGUUUGUUUCUCAGAGUCCAUAGACUCUCAUGGUUCAUCUCUCCCUCCAAUUCCCCCCCCUCAUUUUUCCCUUCCUUCUCCUAGUGUCCUCCAUGCUAUUCCUUAUGUCUCACAAAUAAGUGAAACCAUAUGAUAAUUGACUUUCUCUGCUUGACUUUUUUCACUUAGUAUAAUCUCCUCCAGUCCCAUUCAUGUUGAUGUAAAAGUUGGGUAUUCAUCCUUUCUGAUGGCUGAGUAAUAUUCCAUUGUAUAUAUGGACCACAUCUCCUUUAUCCAUUCACCUGUUGAAGGGCAUCUCAGCUCUUUCCACAGUUUGGCUAUUGUGGACAUUGCUGCUAUGAACAUUGGGGUUAAAACUCUUCAGAGUAUAGGGAUAGAGGGAACAUUCCUCAAGUUCAUAAAAUCCAUCUAUGAAAAACCCACAGUGAAUAUCAUCCUCAAUGGGGAAAAGCUGAGAGCCUUUCCCUUAAGAUCAGGAACACGUCAAGGAUGCCCACUCUCACCACUAUUGUUUGACAUAGUACUAGAAGUCCUAGCAACAGCAAUCAGACAACAAAAAGAAAUAAAGGGUAUUCAAAUUGGCAAAGAAGAAGUCAAACUCUCUCUUUUCGCAGAUGACAUGAUACUUUAUGUGGAAAACCCAAAAGACUCCACCCCCAAAUUACUAGAACUCAUACAACAAUUCAGUAAUGUGGCAGGAUACAAAAUCAAUGCACAGAAAUCAGUUGCUUUCUUAUACACUAACAACACAACUGUAGAGAGAGAAAUUAGAGAAACAAUUCCAUUUACAGUAGCACCAAAACCAUAAGAUACCUCGGAAUAAACCUAACCAAAGAGGUAAAGGAUCUAUACUCUAGGAACUACAGAACCCUCAUGAGAGAAAUUGAAGAAGACACAAAAAGAUGGAAAAAUAUUCCAUGCUCAUGGAUCGGAAGAAUAAACAUUGUUAAAAUGUCUAUGCUACCCAGAGCAAUCUAUACCUUCAAUGCCAUCCCGAUCAAAAUUCCAAUGACAUUUUUCAAAGUGCUGGAACAAACAAUCCUAAAAUUUGUAUGGAAUCAGAAAAGACCCCGAAUCGCCAAGGAGAUGUUGAAAAAGAAAAACAAAGCUGGGGACAUCACGUUGCCUGAUUUCAAGCUAUAUUACACAGCUGUGAUCACCAAGACAGCAUGGUGCUGGCACAAAAACAUAUAGACCAAUGGAACAGAAUAGAGAACCCAGAUAUGGACCCUCAACUCUAUGGUCAAAUAAUCUUUGACAAAGCAGGAAAAAACAUGCAAUGGAAAAAAGACAGUCUCUUCAAAAAUGGUGCUGGGAAAAUUGGACAGCCACAUGCACAAGAAUGAAACUCGAUCAUUCUCUAACACCAUUCACAAAGUAAUGCUUCAUUUCUAAGGAGACAGACCGUUAGUCUUGCAUGACUUCAGUUCGACAUUUGCUUUAGGAGACUGGAUUUGAGCACAUCAGAGAUGUGCAAGAAGCUGAAGAUUUAAUGAAACCUGCUGCUUUAAUGGAAUUAAUGGCAUAUUUGAGAUGCUCCUUAGUUGAUGGUUUUUAGAUCUAGAGAAUCUAGUAAGCGCAUGAGGAAAUAAAUCCCCUCCCCCAUUCCCCUGAAUGAGGAGACAAAGUGACACCCAGGUGUGUUCUGAUUGUGUUGAUAGAGCAUCUGGUCACUCUCACCUUUGGAUGGACCCAGAACAAUGGCAGAGACAAAGAUACUGGAAGCCAACAGCCUCCAUGCAAAUCUUUGCGCUCCUGGGAUUUUAUAUUUGCCUUGUUCCUUUCCUAGCUGGGGUGUUGACCCACUCUGAUAAUCAGCAAUUUUCAUGGACAAAGUGAUAUGCACAACUAACAUGGUUCAGACAGUUUUUACCACAAUCUGGGCAAGUUUCCUUAUGUGGAUAUUUGAUUUUGGAAAGUAAUUUUCCAUUUUUGUUGUUGUUUUUCAUUAAGCCAGUGUGUGUGUUCAUUAGUUACACCUUUACAUCAGUUGAUGCCUUCAUCUGUUACUAAGCUCCAUGAUAUGAAAGCUAUCUCAUGUUUUCUUAGAUUUUUUUUGCCUUUAUGGUUUUUUUUAAUUGAGAUACAAUUGAUAUAUAACAUUAUUUUAGUUUCAGGUGUACAACAUAAUGAUUGUGAAAUGUUCACCAGAAUAAGUCUCGUUAACAUCUGUCACCGUAUAGUUACAAAACUUUAUUUUCCUUGUGAUUGAGAACUUUUAAGAUUUACUUACUCUCUUAGCAACUUUCAACUAUGCAAAACUAUUAACUAUAGUCACCAUGCUGUGCAUUACAUCCCCAUGACUUACUUUAUGACUGGAAGUUUAUAUCUUUUUUUUUUUUUUAAGGUUUUAUUUAUUUAUUUGCCAGAGAGAGACAUAGCGAGAGAGGAAACACAAGCAGGGGGAGUGGGAGAGGGAGAAGCAGGCUUCCCGCGGAGCAGGGAGCCCGAUGUGGGGCUCAGUCCCAGGACCCUGGGAUCAUGACCUGAGCCAAAGGCAGAUGCUUAACAACUGAGCUACCCAGGCGCCUGGAAGUUUAUAUCUUUUGACCUCCUUCACCCAUUUCACCUUGGUAGAUUGUUUUUAAAAGUAUCUUUAUCACUCUUUGUCUCCUUUGUAACAGGCUUACUUGGGUCAAUUCUAUAUGAAACUUUACAGAAUGAAAGUUCUGUCCAAUAACAAAAUAACUUGGCUGCAUUGUUCACUUGAAAAUGACAACAUGAUUGCUUAGCCUUCCUUUCAAACAUGGAAUUUUGGCUUGUUUAGAGCUUGUUCUCUGUUCUAACAAUCACCCACAGCGAUUACUUCAUUCAUUUGUAUUUCUAAGAAACUUUAAAACUCUUGGAGGCAUUGAGGUUUAAUGGGUGUGGGUAGAGGUGGGAGGAGGAGGAGAAAUGUUAGAAACCAUGAUUAAGCCACUAACUUGUUGGGUAAUGUUGGAAAUUCAGCCUCCCCAACGGUCUCUUGGUUUACAGAAUGAGGCUAACAGUACAUGCCUGACAUCUUACACCAUUGAAGGCAUCAGUUUGGUACACUAUACAGGACAUGCAGAAACUUACUUCGUUUUGAGCUUUAUAUACCCCUUAAUGAUAAUAAUAGUAAACACUUAUUGCGUAACUACUUUGUGUCUGGAAUUACUUUAGUUACUUCCAACUUAAUUCUUCCAACACUCAAAUAAGGUAGCUUUGCAUGACCCCCAUUUUACAGAUGAAGAAACUGAGACAGAGAGGUUAAGGAAGUUGCCUGAGGUUAUAAUGCUGGUAAGUGGUCAACUUAUGAAUUGAACCCAGACAGUUUGGCUCCAGAAUGAAGAACUUGAAACAAUGCCAGGAAAUGAUUUUCACCAAGUUUAGCUGGAACUGGGCUUGAAAACUCUCUCAAAUGCUGCUUCUCUGGCUGUGGCAAGAGCUGAAUAGAUACUCCUACAUUAAUGGAAAUUAGACAUUCUCCUUGGCUGAUCUUAUCCCUCAAAUCAUUUUCAGCUGUUUCAGAGCCUUGGAAUUGCUGGAAAUGUUUAAACACCGCAUUGUUGAUUUAACUUACUUUGGUGUUUUGAAUCCCCUCCCCACCUGAGUUUUCUCUCUGUUGUGUGUUACUCUGCGAUACUGAUGGACCAUUGUUACCCACCCCAUGUCGAGACCUUAUGGACUAUGAGUCUCAGAGACUUAGACUGUGUUAUGGUGAGCUCGAUGGACAGUCCCCAGGGGAGUAUGUGACCAAGUGAUAUUCCAAAAAAAACUCAGGAGCCUGGAGUGACCUGGUUGGCUCUAGAAUUCACCCAGAGUUUAGAUCAUAUUUUGUGGAACUGGCCUGGCCAGAGAUAAUGUGUCCUCACUGUGUCUGUUGGUCCAAGUCACAAAACAACCCCAAUUCAGUCUGGUCUUCCGGUAUUAAGUUACCAGUUAAACUCUGAUGUCAACUCAGAGUGUGUGGAAGUCCUACACUACAUUGGAUUAGACUGCCUUCAGACUGGGAGCAAGAUGACCCCGUGAAGAAAAGAAUUCCAAUGUCUGUGUGACCUUCUAAUGACAAAAAUAGGCCAACCAUUAACAUUUAUUUAGCACUUAAAAAGACAUGCCACAAAUAAUUGCAGUUGAGCUCCACAAAUUCUUAUGGUUUCGAGAGAUGAAGCAUUAUUAUGCACAUUUCCAAUGUGGGAAAUAAAACUCAGAAAAAUCAGGACAAUAAGGCCUGUACUGUGGACUUAACCACAAGCCUCAGACACCAAGCCUUCCGAUGGCCCCGUGAUGCAGCAUCUCUUUUAUUCCAUCGUAUCUCUCAAUAUACUUAGAGGCAACUCAGUUUUUCAUGCUGUCUCAUAAAAUGGUACCUCCCAAAUACCAGUGGUAGAGCAUAGCAAAAUCGGAACUCCAGAAGGCAGAGAGGCUGAAUGGCUAGAAAAAGGGAGUGCUACAAAGGAAGUGGUGAAGAAGAAUCCAGGGGUGAAGAUAGUGAAGAACAUAGUGUACCCUUUCAUGCUUAUUCCUUCUCAGUAUUAUUUAGUAGGCAACAAUUAAGAAACCCCGAAAGAAGAACACUUUUAAUCAAAUAUAUUUUGUACCAGUGAUCAUGGAAGAGGGAGUAGAGGGGCACUGACAGUUACUGGAGGAUUUUGACAUCUCCUUUGUGCUACGGUAAGGUCGUAUUUCUUCAUCUUUGCCCCAACCCAGGUAGGCAAUAGUCCCUCCAUUUUACAGAUGAGUAAACUUAGGAUCAGAAUUGGAAAUAACUUGGCCUGAGCUCACACAGCAGGGAGUGUCUGUAUCAGAAUUUGAAAGCAAAAUGUCUGUUGUUUCUCACUUUCUUGGUCUGCCUCUCUAAAGCCUGGAGGUGAGAGGAAGCGCUGAAUAUACUAGUGUGCGGUAACACUUUAUAAACACUUGCCACCAGCACACAUUUGAAAUGAGAACUUUAAUAAAGGAAACAUAAACAUGCAGUGGCUAGAAUGAGCGGACACUUUUUGAAUGCAUACUUAAUUUUCUUGCUACUGCUGGCGAUUGAAUUUAGUUUGCCUUGAACGUAUCAACCAUCGAUGUGACUACCAAUAUACAUUGAGGUGUGUUUUCACUAAGAUUUAAGUCAUACAAGAAUUGAUGUUGGUUUUGUAGGAUCCUCUAUGGUUUCUUCUUAAACACUGCGCCUUGGAUUUAUGUGGGUAUGUGUUUGUUUUGUUUCGUUUGUUUGUUUACAUCUGAAUUGAGAAUGAGGGCACCCGCUUGUCACCCAAGUCCACAUGUUUAAGUAUAGGUGAAAGGACAUGUAUAAAACCUUUUGAGAUGUGGAGCAUGAAGAGAUCCCUAACUAGACGUACGUGAAAAAAUACCAAACUCUGCCGUUAGGCUUUCUAUAAAGGAUUUUCUCCUCCAGUGACAUGGCCAUUUCUGCAUUUUAAAAUCUCUGGAACAUUCCUGUGGUGAUCGUUUUUAUCCUGUCUGAACUAAAGCUCAGUUUAACUGUUCAGUAUUCACAGAGUCAAGUGGAUCAAGCCCCAGGAUGGCUCGAACCUGGCCAAUGGAAGUGGCCACAUUCCUGCAAGAUAAGGUCUGUUACCAACUUCACAGGCAUUUGUGUGAAGCUUAUUUUUCCAUUCGGGUUCUGAGAGCCACAGUAAUUUUCCAUGUGUCCAUCCUCUCCGGAUGCCCUGUUGAAGAUUCUGUUGAACGAUGAACUCCAGCUGAAAUGAUCUUUCCCCGGAAACUAUGGAGAAAUGACCACUUGAACUCAGACUCUAUUAACAGUUUUAUUGUCUCAGACUGUGCUCAUCAGAGUCUGAUCCAAGUCAAUUUCAUCUUUUCUUGGAGCCAGAUUUGUUCUUAGGCUCUUAGGAAAAUGGCUAUAUUUUCAUUUCCUUUCUUGAUAUACUUACUGUCUUCUUGUUGCAGUACGUGUAUAUGUUGACAUUGGAAAUCUAACAAGCCUUCCUUAUUGGUUGCUCAAUUAACAUAUUACUGGUUCGAGUUACUGAUGUGGACAAGUUUUGUAGUUAUAAAAGCUAUGGCUGGACCUAGGGGACAAUAGAAUAGCUAAAGAAAAUUUGUGUUAUGAGGUCCUGAGAAUAAAAAGGAAGAAAAGAGGCCAUCACGUUUCUGCAGGAUAACUCUUAAGUUAUCUAGUUAAUCUUUUUUUUUUUUUAAUAUUUUAUUUAUUUAUUUGACAGAGAGACAACGAGAGAGAGAACACAAACAGGGGGAGUAGGAGAGGGAGAAGCAGGCUUCCCGCUGAGCAGGGAGCCCGAUGCGGGGCUCGAUCCCAGGACCGUGGGAUCAUGACCUGAGCCGAAGGCAGACGCUUAACGACUGAGCCACCCAGGCGCCCCGUUAUCUAGUUAAUCUUGUCUCAGCUCUCCUAAAGGCAUUCUCAUGCUUGGCUUUUUAGAUAGUUGUCUCACAAAAGUAUAAGUACAGUGGACUGCUUAUGUGUCAUCUAGGCAGGACUAGAGGAAAAAAAAAUAAGAUACUGAGCUGGUUAUUCCAAUAUCCUAUCAAUCUGUGGCCAAGAGUCUGAGGUCCUUUUUAAUCUUCUUUCUGUUGCUUCCACUUUCUGGUGGGGACUGCUUCACUCCUCCCUGUAACAUUAGCUUCACUUGGUCUCCAGGACCAAUCUUUACUCUGGCUGGAGAGAUGUAAGGAGUUGCAACAGUGUUCUCUGGACCUCUUCACCAAAUGACAUUUAUUUUUAUUUGGUUCUGUUUUUGUGUCUGGUCAUUGGAAAUGGAGUACUGCCUGAUCCCAAGACUAUAAACCUAUAGGAAACAUGACAGUGUGUACUAAUGCAAAGACAGACAAAUAAUGGUUCAGUAGAAUAGGACAGAGUCCACAAAUAGACUUACAGAAUUGAUUUUUGACAACCGUGCCAAGCCAGUUCAAUGGGGAAAGGAUAAUCUUUAUAACAAAUGGUGCUGGAACAACUGGAUUCCAUGUGCAAGUAAAGUGUUCCCAAUCCAUACUUUGCACUAUGUACAAAAAAUAACUCAAAAUGGAUUGUAGACCAAAAUGUAGGAGCUAAGACUAACAACAACAACAACAAACAAAACUUCUGUAGGAAAACAUAGGAGAAAAUAUUAGUGACUUUGGGUUUGCCAAGACUUAUUAAAUAAGACAUAAAAAGUCCAAAUGAUGAAAGAAAAAAAUCAAUGAGUUGAACUUCAUUACACUUCAAACCUUUUGCUUUUCAAAAGACACUUUUUUUUUUUUUAAGAUUUUUAUUUAUUUAUUUGAGAGAGAGAGAGCAUGAGGGAAAGGCAGAGGAAGAAGCAGACUCUGCUGAGCAGGGAGCCCAAGGCAGGGUUGAUCCCAGGACCCUGAGAUCACGACCCAAGCUGAAGGCAGCUGUUUAACCGACUGAGCCACCCAGGCACCCCUCAAAAGACACUUUUAAGGAAAAAGGAGGGGGGGGAAGACAGGCCACAGGCUAGAAAAAGAUAUUUUCAAUGUAUCAAUCUGACAAGAACUUGAUUCCAGAAGAUGUAAAGUAUUCUUAUAAAUCAAUAAUAAAAAGACCAACAACCCAAUAAAAAAUGGGCCAAAUAUUUGAAUAGACACUUCACUAAAGAAGAUGUAUGAAUGUCAAAAAGGUACAUGAGGAAAUGCUCAAAAUCAUUAGUCAUGGAGGAAACGCCAGUUAAAGCCACAAUGAGACAUUACUACAGACCAAUUAGAAUGGCUAAAAUUUUAAAAGAUUAAAAAGACUGAAUACAUGAUGUAUAGGUGAGGAUAUGGAGCAAGCAGAACUCUCACUCACUGCUAGGGGAAUGUAUAAUGCUAUACUCAAUGAAAAAAAAAAUUCGGCAGUUUUUUAAAAAGUUAAAUAUACUCUGACCAUUUGAUCCAGUCAUUCCACAUCUAAAUGCUUACCCUAAAGAAGCAAAGUAUAUGGUCCAUACAAAGACUGUACACCAGCGUUCAUCGCAGCUUUAUUUACAAUAGCAUAGAACUGGAAAUAACCCGAGUAUUCAUCAGUAGUUCAGUGGACAAACUGAAAUAUGCAUACAAUGAAAUACUAUUCAGGAAUCAAAAAAAUAAUUAACUGUUGAAACAUGCAUCAACAUAGAUGGAUCUCAAACUAAUCAUGCUGAGAGAAAGAACCCAGGGAAAAGCAUACAAUAAGACUCUAUAAAGUUCUAGAGAAUGUAAACUAAUCUGAGGGGCCAAAACCAGAUCAUUGAUUGCCUGGGGACAUCAAGGAAUGGGGAGAGCAGAGAGAGAUUACAGAGGGACACAAGGUGACUUCUGGCAGGUGAUUUAUCUAUUUAUUUAUUUACUUGAUUGUGGAAAUGGUUUCCAGGUUGUAUACCUAUGUUACAGCUCCUCAAAAUGUGCAUUUUAAAUAUGUGCUUUUUAUUGCAUAUCAGUUAUACCUCACCAAAGGAAAAUGAAAACUCAUUUAACCACAAAAGAAAUGCUAAUGUAUCCUACUAAUGAAAGUUUUUUAAAAAACAGAUUGUGAUCCCCUUUCUACUUGGCAUCUUAUUUCUAGGACAUUCUCCCCAUGCAUGAGCCCCCUUGUCAGCCUGUAACUAUAGGGCUUGCUUCAGCCUGUCCCCCAAUUUAAUACUCUGAUACCUUCUCACCAAUUUCAUUCUUACCCAUCUGAGUAUUGAGAAUCCAGUGGUAGGAUUCUCACUAUCCUACCACUGGAUUCUCCCCAGCUGAGCUUUUCCUCUCCAUCGGGGUACACUGUUAGUCUGCAUCUUGCCCUUGCUGUCUAUGACGGCACACCUGCGUAACAGUGUACUUUUCCCUUGCUCUCUACAAUGAUGUUGGCCAGACCACAUUUUAUUUCAUUUGUGGGACCUAGGACUUUCCCAUUGCUUAUCCUGCCCCACCCCCAGAUUUCUUCCUCAUCAGUUGCUAAAACUUUAUCUGACACUGACUUCUGAAAUUUGAUUAGACAUGUCAAUAACGUGUCUAUAACAUGUCUAUAACAUGACUGUGGUCAAAAUUUAAGAACAUGUUGCAAUAAUACACCAUUUUGCCAAUUUGUGCUGAAAUGUUAUAGAUCCAUGUAUAAUAUUUAAAUAGGGGAAGAUUAAAGUCUUUACACCGUAAAUUUCCUUUGAUAUUUGAACCUCAAGACCUAACAUAGACCCGAAUUUCUGUUUUAUGAUUUAUUAGGAGUGAAAUUUUGUAUUUGGUUUAUUUCCCUUUGUUGUUUUUAAAGCUGCACUUGCCUCCAUUUUUCCUCACCUGUGUGCAUUUCUUCUUUCCCUUUUAUCAAUCUGAAAUAUAAAUGCCAAUGUAUCUUCUUUUACAUCUGACUUAUUUACAGAUCUUUCGUUUCUCAGUUCUCAGAUGUUCUCAGCUAUCUCAGUACCCAUGGCUGUACCGGCAUUUCUGUUUUCAUUUGUUGAUUUCUUGUUGGUGAGUGAUUCUCUUGCCUCUCUUACUUCUGAUUUUCUCUGACUUCCUGUAUUAGGAUGGAAACAACUCUUGCAUCAGCAAAUGGCUGGGUAAAAAGCAUUCACUCAUCCACUUUACGUGGCAAGUUUUAUCUGUGUGAUCUAAAUGUAGGACUGUUUCUGUGAAGCAGUGAUUGUCUUGAUGGUUAAGGAGUUUUGCCUUUCCGGGAUCAGCUUUUCUCCAGUCGUUAGAUACAGGCGUACUUGGAGACCAGCUCUACCUACACCAAAGUCACUUCUGUGGCUUCUUCUUCCCUCUGGGUUCACCUUUUCUCCUUUCCAUCAUACUUCCCGGAGUAGAAAGAAUUUUACUCAAGCCACAGGCCAACACCACAGCCUCCUGUGUCAUGCGCAAUUUUAAAAGCCUAUUUCAUUCUCUGUUUGGAAGUUUGUGUUACUACCCACAGGAAAGAAAUGCCUUAAAAGAUUUCAUUUAAAUUCCAGCUUAUCUGGAAUUGCUGAUAACCUUCAUUCAGAUUCCAUUGUUAAAGGACUUGUGACCGACAUACGGGCCUGAUUUCCCUGAUAGGAAUUAUAUUCCUGGAUGGAAAAGUUAUCAGAAUUUACCAAGUAACUUUGCCCCUCAUUCAUCUGGUACAGUGUGUUGUAAGACUACUUAAGUUCUUGAGGAACAGAGUUAAAGAAGAUACGCCGUAAAAGCUCUUGGCCAAUAAAAAGAGCAAGGUGAAAUGUGAAGCAAUUUCAACUUCCCCAAAGUGUCACCUAUAAUGGAAAAAGUUAAUGGAAUCACAAAGGCUUGUUUUAUCCAUUUGCCCUCACUGUAUUAAUCCACAGUGAUAUCAUCAUUUCCUUUCGGGGAGUUCUGAACAGAAGCUACCCAAAAGUACAUGUACCUUUAGUUUUCCUGACUUUGCAUGACCAAACUGAGUUCAAUUUUCCUCAGUGUGGUAUUUAUAUACGCAACUUGCCCAUUUACUGAAAACAUGAAUGACUUUGACUCAAACUUGGAGAACCAAUAAACAUCCUUUAGCAGCGGUGAACCUGUCAGCACAUGGAACUAAGGUUUAUGGUCAUGCAAAUGUCUUGUACUUCAUUUGGGUCAAAUACAACAAACAGUGAACUAAUUAGCCUUAAGUAAACUGGCUUUAAUUUCCACAGACAGUGGAACCAAUUAUUUCUUAGAGAAAGGUUUAUUUUUACUCUAGGGCAAGGGUCUGUAACUCCUUGGAACACCCCUGAAUGAUUCUCCAAAUCAGGCCAGAUGAAAUUGGCAAGUCACAGAUGGUUACCUUGAUGUGUAAAUGGUAGGGUCCUUAAUUAGGCUCAUUGACAUCACUGAGAAAGGAGCCUAGGAAUCCAUUUGCGCAGGGAUAAGAUUAAAAGAAGAUCAUCUGCCACUUAAUGCUGCUUAUGAGGGAAAUUUAUAAAACAACAACAGAACUGUUCUUUAGCAAUCUACUUAACUUCCAGCCACAGACUUUCUUUUGAUUUGAAUGCCUGAUACAUAUUCAGUAGCCAUAUCUCUAUUUUAAUAUUCCUGAUGUCUAUUACUUAUGGCUCAUUUUGUCUUGAAUUUAAUACCUGAAGGAUUCAAGGUUAUUUAAAGGAUUCCAGACCUCUAACUAUUCCCCAGAGCUUUAAUCUCUGAAACAGAAAACUUCCUGAUUAGAAAAACAGACGCCUGCUUUAGCCCCUUGAAACACUGAACUGUUAGAGAUAUUGUCCAAGGUUUUUGGUGGUUUUUCUCUGCGUGUAUUGAAUAAAUUCUGGAAGAGUGGGUCUUAACAUUUCAUUUGAGAUUUUAAAAAAAUUAUGUAAUAGGAAUCUACCAUAAGCCUUACUUUAUUUAGAUAUACACAUGUGGGUUCUGUAAUUGUAAGUCUCUACAAUAUAAACUACAUGUUGAAAAUUGUGUAUAUUCAGUUUUAUGUUUGCAUACUAUUUACGUGCUAGAAAAUUUCUCAGAAUGUGGUUCAAAUGGAUCUUACUGUAAACUGGGAUGUGGUUAAUUUGUCAUGACACAUGUAGAGUGCCUGCUUUAGAAACACCCGUGCUCCUGGUGUGGCCAUGUCAAGAUGGUUACUGAUGUCAGGACACAUUUUAGUCCAAGUUUCAUUUAAACAUCCUGUGUCAGCCAGUCCAAGGUGUGGAAAUAAGCAGAAGCUGUAUUUCUUAGUGUGGUAUCAGAAUUGAAAUAGAAAAACAACAUUUGACUAGAUUAAUCCCUACUUCCAUAUAUGUGGUGGUAUAAUCAAACAAAGAUCUUGGCUACAGUAAAAUGUCUUUAUAAACAAACUAUGGUUGAUCAGUUUGCCUGAAAGUUGUAGUUUUGAUGUGCCUGAAAUAGUUCUGUUUCCAUGGAUUCAGACAUGUCAGCCAUUUCCCAUGGUCUUGGGGGGAGCAAGAGAGUCCACUUCUGAAACUUGGAGUCUCAGAACAUGAAAAGUGAGAGGACCUCAAUGCCUAUUAGAUGAACUCACUCAUUUUAUAGAAGCAGGACUGAGAAGCUAAAUGAAUUGCAAGACCUGGUAUCUCACAAAGACUUGACGCAAACUUGAAUCACUUGGCCCAGUUCAUUGCUGCAGCCAGUAGUCUUAUUGUUGCCUCUGAAGUGCUCUACUCUGUGAAGCACGUUCCCAUUCACAGAACUCGGCCCUGUUGGAACCCCCAACUUUGAUCACCUUGUGCAAUAGGAUCAGAAUUAUUUUUGAGUGAAUUAUUUUAUUAUACUAUGAGUAUUUUACAGGAAAAAACAAACUUCUUCAUGUGCUUAUCCCUUGUUUCACCGUCAUUUGGAAAUUUUUUCUUUGAGUUCGCAGUAGAAACUGGAACUAUAGGCUGUGUACAGAGAAACAUAAUUUCACAAUGUUUGCUAGAGAGUUGAUUUGUGAAUGCAUAGGAUUAUGGGAAUCGGUGUGACUUAGGAACAUGUCAAAUUGCAAAGUAACACUGGUAAAUAGUAAAGAUGCACAUGCACACAUGUAGUUAUUAUUACAGUAAAAACAAGUUAGAACUAUAAACUCUAGAGAAUGAAUAUCUAAAAGAUGUGUCAGUUGAGGGGUGCCUAAGUGGGCUCAGAGGGUGCCUGGGUGGCUCAGUCAGUGAAGUGUCUGGCUCGGUUUUAGCUCAGGUCAUGUUCUCAGUAUCUUGAGAUCAAGCCUCAUGUUGGGCUCCACCCUGAGCGUGGAGUCUGCUUGAGAUUUUCUCUUGCCUUCUCCCUCUGUCCCUCCCCCCACCCCACUCACACGCAUAGACUCUCUAAAAUAAAUAAAUAAAUCUUAAAAAAAAAAAAAAAGAUGUGUCAGUUUGAAAAAGAAUAAAUCUAGUGCACGAGACAAGUGUAAUUAGGAAAUUGUCACUUUAUAUAAAAGAUUAAAUUAUCAACAUAGGGCACUCUGGGAGUUACUUACAUGAAGGGUAGACUCUGCGUUUUAUAUAUCGUAGAAUUAGAUGCUGUUAGAAAAAUUGGCUAAAUUGACAUUAUAAAAAUGGAAAUGAGAAAAAUCCCAUUCAUAAUCAUGUGGGAGAAAAAGCCAUGAAAUACCUGGGAAUGAAUUUAAUGAGAAAGAUUCUACGAAAAGACCUAUAAAAUUAUAUUGAAGGAUAUAAAACAAAAUCCGAAUAAAUGGAAAGAAAGACCAUGGCCUGGAUAGGAAGACUUAAUAUAAAAAUGUCACUUAUCUUGAAAUUAACAUAUAAAUUUCAUGCAGUUCCAAUCAGAAUUCAUUUUUCUCUUUUUUGAACCACAUAAGUGAUUCUAAAGUGUGUAUGGAAGAAUAAACAUGUGAAAAUGGCCAAGAAAAUUUUGAAAUGGAGCAACAACAAGGAAGCUUGCCUUACUAGAUAUGGAAACCUAAUUUAAGCUACUUUAAACAAACAGUAUAGUAUUGGCCUACCACAAACAAUUCUAUAGAACACAUAAAGAUCAUUUAACAUACAAUUAAAGAUAGCAGUAUAAGUCAUCAAAUAAAUAUGUGUUAUUCAAUUAAUGAAAUUGGAAGAACUGGCUGUGCUUUUGUAAGAGAAUAAAAUUUUAUUCAUACUUUAUUAUAUAACAACAAAUUACAGAUGAAUGAAAAAUCUGAAUGCUAAAAAGACACUUGGAAGACACUCCAAGCAGAUAUUUGUGUAAUCAUCAUGUGGUGAUUUUUUUGUUGUUGUUGUUGUUUUUUAAGCAAGACUAAAGCCAUAAAAACAGAAAAAGAAGUGACAUACUUUAUUUCAUGAAAUUUAAAAACAUAUGAAAGACAGUCUUCAUAUAAUGGACAUUUUAAAUCUUUUCUGACUAGUCAACAAUUUUGAAUGCCAUUCAGAUGCUUGGGGAAUUAAUCCCAUUUAUAAAUUCUGUCUUCCUAAGGUAGAAGCAGAAAUCCACUUUCCCAGGCCCCCUUGCAGCUGGUAUUGGGACUUUAGCCUAGUGUUUAAGAUGCACCCAUUCAUUCUAAAUUCUCAUUCAGAAAAGUGUGAUGUGAAGAAGGAGGUGACUCAUGGAGCUAAUUAUAUCAAGAGCGACAGAGACAUGUUCAGCUGUUGUAAUAAGCAAUGGCAGUGACCUCCGGCAUUCUAGGCGUUGGGGGACAACACAGUACCCCAUGGAACAAUGCCACAGCUUCAUUCGGACAUUUUCCCUAGCUCUGUGGCUCAGAAAUCAGUUGUGUAUUUCUCCUUGGAACUUCUGUGAUCCGUCUACUACCCUUUAAUAAAUUUCUUUUCUGCUUAAACUAGUAGGAGAGAGUUGUUUUGCAACUAAGAAUUCUGACUGAGUCAUCCCCAUAAAAGGUCAAAAGACAAAUGAUAGACUUGAAAAGGAUAAUUAUCACCCAAAUAAGAAAGGGUCAAAACAACCAAAGAGGAAAAAUAUGCAAAUGAUACUCAAAUGAUAUAAAUAGGCAAUGUAUUAAGAAAAGAAAAAUGCAAAAAAAGCUACAUAAUCUUCUAGGUGAUUAGGGCAGCAGUAAUAAAGUCACAAAUUUCAACCAUCAUAUUUGUUAAAACUUAAAAUAUGGUUGGAAUUCAGGGCUUGUAGGAAUGUAGAAAAGUACUCUCAUAUCCUGUUGGUGGGAAUGGCUGUGUGUGAGGCCUUGUGAUCUGGCAAUACUUUGUACAAUUAAAAUGUGGACACAAAUUGAUCUAUUAGUUUCAUUCACAGAGAUUUAUCCAAAAACAAAUCAAAGCACUUGAUUAUUAAGAUAAACAUAAACACACAUAAAUAGAAACUCAGAGGUUUAUCACCGCUUUCUUUGGAAACAGCUGCAAGGACCGUCGGAAGGAGAAUGCUUGGUGUAAUCUGUACUCUAGGAUUCCACAGCACCGUUUAGGUGGGUCUAUCUGUGUGGGCUUGGAAGACUGUUCUUGGUAUUCUGUUAAAUGAAAAUGUCAAGGUACAAUCUUACCUCGAUAUAAAAGAUUCUGUAUAAAAAUAAAAGUUAGUAUUAUAAAAGAUACACACGAAAUUGCUAAUAGUUCUUAUGUUGUAAAUGAGAUACUGGGUGUGGGAGGGAGAAACUAUAAGCUUUACUUUAGAUGUUUCUAUAUAGUUCAAUUUGACACAGUUGGUUUCACAAUCCAAAUAAUUGUGAAAGAGUCAGAAUAGUGAAUUCUGUACCAGCAUCACAGUUUCAUCCAGCAGCCUCUUAUUUGUAAAAUGAUAAGGUGUGGUUGUCAAUUUUAUUUUCCAUUCCGUAACUCCCCAAGGAAUGAGCCACCCUAGGCCAAACUCUGAUAGAAACAUUUUGGUUCUUUGCAUACCAUCCCCUCUGAAGAGUAGAUUCCUAUUCCUUCAUUCUUUGCUUUCUCACUUUUCACUUUUUCACAAAGAAACUGAAUGAUCGCCAUUACUACCAGUCCCUGAAGCGGACCAGAUUUCAUUGGAAAGUACUUGGAUGCUGGGACUUGCAGAAGAGGAAUUAAUUAGGAGCAAAAAAGAUAACUGCUCAGACUUCUUUGUAGAUUUCCUAAGUGAUAGGCAGCCAUCCAAUUUCUCUCUCCAAACUCCCAUUAAUUAUAAGAAGGAAAACAAGUUUAUUGUUAAUUUAAUGUUUACUACUGCCCACACAGUAGCUUGAAAUCAAAUUUAUGACACAGCCAUAGGUGGUAUAUGCGUACUUGAUGGUGCAUGCAGGCUCUUCACCUAAUCUUAAGUGUACAGCACACACAUGCCCAUUUUGUAGAACUUGGAGUGUAAUCCAACUGUUUUUUAAAUGCUUCUGGUUGCAUUUUCUUUUAUUUUUGCAGCAUUUCCUAUGACAUAUUAUGGCUUUGCAAAAGAUUGGGGGAUCUUACUUCUCUUAGUUCAAAUUCCCUUGUACCAGUUUGCUGUUCGAGGAUGGAACAUCUAUAGUUUCUUAAAGCUGUUGGGUAGUCCAUGUAGGUUCUCCAUAUGUCUGACUAUUAAGAGGCAAUCUUUUAUAUUGACAAAGUUGUCAUUGUUUUCUAUCUUUCACCUGUUGGUCUUAGGGUGGCACAAAUAUAACUUCAAAUUACAAAUGUUCAUUACUAACAUAUAGAAAUAUGAUUGAUUUUUAUUAAAUGACUUGUGUUCUGUGACCUUGUUUAGGUUACUUACUAGUUUUGUUGUCAGAUCUUUGGGAUUUUGUCUGUAGGAGAUCACAUCAUCUGCAAAUAAAGACAAUUUGAGUUCUUCCUGAUUUCUGUGUAUUCUGUUUGUUUGCCUUGCAUCAUUACAUCACCUAAGACUCCUGUACAAUACUGAGUUGAAGUGAUGACAUUGUACAUCCUUGCUAAUCUUGGGAAAAAGCACUCAGUCUUUGGCCAUUAAGUAUAUUUUUAGUUGUAGGGCUUUUAGUAGACAUUCUUUAUCAGGUUGAAGAAGUAUCUUUUUGAAAAACUAGUUUGCUGAGAGUUUUUAUUAUAGAUGUUUGAUUUUGUCAAAUGCCCUUUUUUGCCACUAUUGAUCAUCUAUUGAGAUGAUCAUAUGGUUUUUAUUUUUCAGUCUUUUGAAUUUUAAAUUCAGCACUUUUUGAAUGUUGAACCAACUUUCCAUUCAAGGGGGAGAAAGCAUUUGCUCAUGAUGUGUUAGCUGUUUAUAUAUUGUUGGAUUUAAUUUGCUCUUUUGUUAAGGAUUUUUUUUUUAUCCAUCAAUAUGAGGGAUAUUGGUCUGUCAUUUUUCCUAUCUUGAAGUAGCUUUGUCUGGUUUGGUGUGAGGAUUCCGGAAUGCUGAUCUCCUAAGAUGUGUUGGGAAGAAUUCUUUUAUCCUAUGUUUUCUGGUAGAGCUUGUGUGGAGUUGGCAUUAUUUCUUUUUUUAAAUGUUUGGUGGGUGUCAGUUGUGAAGCAUUAUGGACCUGCAGUUUUCUUUGUGGAAAUGUCUUUGCAUUGUGAAUUUAGUUUAAUGGGUAAAUGACUAUUCAGGUUAUUUUUUUUCUUGAAUGAAAUUUGGUAAUUCAUAUCUCUCAAGGAAUCUGUCCAUUUCAUUUAUUUUAUCAAAAUUAUUGGCCCAGAGACUUUCAGAAUGUCAUCUUAUUAUUCUCUUAUGUCUGUAAGAUCUGUAAUGAUGUCUCCUCUUUCAUUCCUGAUAUUGGUAAUUGUUUCAUAUUCUCUCUAUCCUUCUCCCCUCAUCUCUGCAUAUCAGUCUGACUAAAGGUUUAGCAGUUUUCUCACCUUUUCAAAAGACCAGAUUUUGUCAUUUUUGUUACUGUUUUUCCAUUUCAAAAUGAUUUCUGUAUUGACGUCUGCUCUUUAUUAUUUCUUCAUUUCUGCUUAUUUUGAGCUUAAUUUGCUUUUCUUUUUUAAGCAUUUGAUGGUAUAAACCCUUAAUUACUACUUCCUUUGCAUCCCACAAGUUUGAUAUGUGUAUUUUCAUUUAUCAAUUCCAAAUUUUUUUUUAUUUUGCUUGUGACUUUCCAUGUGUUAUUUUAAAAUAUUUCCUUAUUUUUUUCAUUUAUAAAGAUACUGGGAUUUUCCAGAUAAUUUCAGAUAUUGAUUUCUAGUUUUAUUCCACUGUCAUUAGGAAAUAUACUUUGUGUGAUUUCGGGUCAUUUUAAAUUUGUUGAGAUUUAUUUUAUGACACAGAGUAUCUUCUGUGUUGCACUUCAAUCUGUAUUUAGCUAUUACUGAAUUAAGUGUUCUUUAAAUGUUAAUUAGGUCAAUUUAGCAAAUUGUAUUAUUGUUCACAUCUUCUGUAUCCUUAGUGAUUUUCUGUGCAUUUGUUCUAUCAAUUAUUCAGAGAGGAGUGUUAAAGUCUCUAAACUGUGGAUUUCUUUAUUUCUCCUUGCAGUUCUAUUAGUUUUUGCUACAUAUAUUUUGAAUCACUUAGGAUCAUUGUGCCUUCUUAAGGAAUUAGCCCUUUAUAAUUAUAAAAUACCCCUCUGUAUCUCUAGAGUAUUCCUUUACCUGAAAUCUACUUUUCUUGGUAAUAAUAUUGCCAUUCAAGCUUUCUUUUCAUUAGUAUUUGAGUGCAUUUACUUUAAUCUAGCUAUGCCUUUUUACUUAAAGUGGAUUUCUUACGUACAGUGUAAUUGGAUCUUGCUUUUAAAAAUCAUUUAGUAUCUCUUCAAUCUACUUUUUGCAAUUGGGGUGUUCAUGUUACCUACAUUUUGUAAUCGUUGAUGUGAUUGGCUUCAUAUCUACCAUUUUGCCAGUUAUUUUCUUUUCAUCUUAUCUGCCCAGUUUUUCUUUUUUCAUCUUUUCCUGCCUUCUUUUGUACUACUUUGUUGUUAUCUUUAAGAUUCUAUCUUAUAUUUACUCUUGUUUCUUCUUGAUUUAAUUCUUUGGAGGGUUCUUUAGGGUUACGGUAUAUAUCAUUAGCUUAUUACAGUCUACCUUAUAGUGUAAGGUCCUUAUACCAGUGUACAUCCAUUUUCUCUUUCCAGCCUUUGUGCUACUGAAGCCAUUUAUUUUACUUCUACAUAUGUUAUAAAUGCUGCAACCUACAUAACUGUAGCUUAGACAUUCAAUUAUCCUUAGAAAAAGUAUCUUUAACACUCACCUUCAUUUUUAUCUUUUCUGGAGUUCACUGUUACUUUGUAAAGUUUCAAAUUUUAUCUGGUCUCAUAUUCCUUUCUGAAGGACCUCUUUUAACAUUUUUUGUUGUGGUUGUUGCUUUGGGCUUAGGUGAUAAAUUCUUUUAGCUUGUGUUUCUCUAAUAAAGUGCUUACCAUGAUUUCAUUUUUGAAACAUGUUUUAAUGGGGUAAAGGAUUUUCAAUUGACAGUUUUUUGUUUGUUUUUCUUUAGUACAUUAAAGAUGUUAUUUUACUGUCUUCUGGCUUGCAUGGCACCUAACAAGAAGUUUGCUGUCAUGUCUAUCUUUAUUUCCUAAAUUAUGUUAAGGUACUUUCAUCCCUUCCAUGGUAAGGAUUAUACUUUUAAUAAAAGAAAGACUCAAGAAAACUGGGGACAUUUCAUGCCUGCUCCCCAUAGCAGCUGAUCCUUAUUUGCACACCAGCACCACUGAGAAGUGUUCUCACCAUUUUCUCUCCCUGCCCCCAAUUCUUACCAAGGAGCUGGUGGAAGCCUGUGAAAAAGCCUAUUAAUAAAUAGUGAAACUUUCCCUGUCUUUUGGACUUUCAGCUAUUAUAAGCUGACCCCCUAGCCCAAGUUCCUUAAGAACCCAAUUAGCUUUUAGCUGAUUUCUUCUUACCUACUUGUAUGGUAGCCACCUCUUCCUCCCAUGCUCUGACAAAGGUUGUCUCCUGUCUCUCCUUAGAAUUCAGUAUAGGUUGCUUUACAAACUCAAUUCUUAGAUGGGGAUCACAAGUUUCUGAGUUUUUAUCAUUGCUACAAUGAGAACAGCAUUAUCUUGCAACUCUCUGUGUUGUAAUUUGCUUUUUAAAGCUGUUCACCAUCCUAGAUACUCUUUUAUGAACAGAUUGCAGUUUGUUUAUAGCCCACUUAAAUUACCCUGAAAUAAAAAUAAUUCUUCAGGUGAACAGAGUAGAGUAGGACAAAUAGGGCAUAUCUCCAGCUAUAUACUUGUCAGUGUCGUGCAUACUGUUGUGUCAUGCAAGCUAUUGGGUCAUAAUGUGUUUACUGUCAAAAUAUCGACCAGGUCUUUUUCAUACACCCUGCCUCUUCUAAGCCAUUUCUUCCCAACCCUGCACUUUGAACUGAUUUUUUUUUAAAGAUUUUUUUAUUUAUUUGAGAGCGAGAAUGAGAGACAGCAUGAGAGGGAGGAGGGUCAGAGGGAGAAGCAGACUCCCUGCAGAGCAGGGAGCCCGAUGCAGGACUCGAUCCCGGGACUCCAGGAUCAUGACCUGAGCCGAAGGCAGUUGCUUAACCAACUGAGCCACCCAGGUGCCCUGAACUGAUUUUUUGAUCCCUUGAGCAAAGCUUUACAAACUGUCAUUUAAAAAGUAGGGUUUGGGGAUUAAUAGAAUCUCUUCGGACCACCUGGAUUUGGGGGAUCCUGAUCUUCCAUUUAACAGAGUUGCUGUUCUUUCAAUAAGUCACUGAUGAAACUAUUGAAUAGGUCACAGCCGAGUCCAAAGAGGGAUCCGCCAGAAAUCCCUCCUCUCAGACUUAACAUUGAUUCAUGAAUUGCUAUGUUUAGCUUGAUAAAAUCCACUUAAAUAAUCUUUUUUAUUUUUUAUUGGUCUUGGUCAUAAGAUUGAUUGCAUGAUAGUUCUGAGUUGCUUUCUCAGAAGUCCACAUAUAUUAUCUAUUAUAUUUACAAAUUGUAUUUAUUUGUGUAAUAGCCUUGUCCAAGAAAAGGUUUGUUGUACAUAGUAAAGCCAUGCUAGCUAUUGACAAUUAUUGUUUCCGCAUAUAACCACUUUCCCACCAUCCCUUAAUAAUCCAUAGUAAUAUCUACAGUUUGGAGAGUGCCUUGCUCAUUUUUUUGAAAAAUCUGAAUAUUUGUCCAUUUAUUGUUUUAUUCUUUUGGCAUCAUUUACAUUUUCCAUAAUUAUUUCAAUACCAUGUUUGAUGGUUUUAGGUACAUGUUUCGACUGGUACUCUGGGACAUUUUUAACCCGAGGCAGAAAACUGGAACUCACUUGGAUCAGAUAGCAGCUAUUCCCUGUGCUGCUUUAUUCUUUUGUGGAUUCACACACAUUUAGCUAUUUUUUUCCCACCAUUUUCAAAUAGUAGCUCAUGAGCAUUAGUAGGGAAAACAAAACAUAAGGUAGGAGCUCUCUCUUUGUUAUUUCUUACUACCUGUUGGCUCCAAGUAGAGUUUUUAGGCCUGCCUUAAUCUUAGUUGAUCAUUUAUUAAUUUGAGAUCAAGUCUUAGAUUUUAACCUUUAUAAGUUACAUUAUGACCUUGUUUGUGGGAUUGCUCUAUGGUACAACUGGAGAUCUCCCGUACUUUGUUCUAAUUUUGUAACAAAUAAAAAAGAAAGUUUAUGGGGAUAUAAUGAUGGGCCAUCAUAAAUUUUAGUCACUGGCUCACAAUUUUGAAAGCCUAGAAAAUAAAUGAUAGUAAUUAUGUACUAACAUCAAUCCUAGGCUAAUAUUCCACAUCCAGGCUGGUUGAAGCAGGAUUUUUUUCAUUUGGAGUGUGUUCCUUUCUUUCCUUUUUAUAGUAAAAAUGACUGCCAGAAUGUUGAUCAGUCAAGCUUAAUUUCAAUCCGUUUGUUUUGGACCAGUUUCAUCUGAUGGAAUCGAACAGGUUUACAGUGUGAAGUGGGUAGACAAGUAGCAAGAAAAAAAAACAUUAAAUGCUAGUGGAUUUCCUGCAGGGCACUAGUUUAUAAAACUUGAACCUCUUAUUCCUGGAAAAGAGGACUAUACUUGAUAAACUUAAGCAGUUUCCUAGAAGUUAGAGUAAGAAUCGUUGAGUGCAGAUUAGCUGCUAAUGCUAGUUGCUGUAAAAGUUAUCUUAAAAUUAUAAAAAAAACAAGCUGAAUUUAUGGCAUGAGUAAACUCUGACUUAUGUCAAUGACAGUGACUUCUACUUUAUCCUUCCUGUCUUUUGGGGCAAGAGAAAGCCAUGGUCCCGUGUGUGUGUGUAGCUUGGCCAUGUAAGAAUACAACAAAAGGAUAUUUUCAAGACAUCUUAAUGUCUCUAAACAGAUUUCUUCCAAGAAUUUUAGCAAGUAAUGCCUUUUAACUAUUUGAAAGAGUUGUUAUCUUAGAGCCUUAACUCUUGAAAAUAUUCUUAGAGUUUGUUUCAUGUGGUUGAAACACCUUUGGUCAGCAUUACAUCUCUUUUUCCUCCUGUUUAAAAUUAGAUAUAUUAACAGUGUUUUCAUUUAGUUUCUAAAAAUGAUUCUGUUUCCAUAGAGAGAUUUUAUGCUGGAAAUAACUUUCGAAGAGGUCUUUUAAAAUCUGAAGUUGUAAAUUCAAAAAUGAUAUUGUAAUUUGUUUUCCUAAAUUGAAUUCUUGUCGGUUGUCUACCUGUUCUUUCUCUAUUUUAGAAAAUGUAUUUGGUUGCUAUUUUUAGCCACUUUCAAAUGUUCCACCAGAUGUUGGAGAUGAUUCAGAGUAAGAUUUGAGAGAUACCUAGAAGAUAUUUCAUGGAGUUUUCUUGGACCUUUCAGAGCCACUGAAGUUAGAAAAAAAUUCUAAAUAAUCAGACUGAAAAUAAUGCUCUCAUCCUCAUUGAUGGCUUAUAAUAUACUCUAGAAGAAUAGUCAUUUAUCAAUCACUUAGUUACCACAAAAAAGUGUUGGUAUACUCUUAAUGACUAUACUGAUGGUAAACAUUGAUCAUGGAACACAGAAACGAAGUUUUAUUUCUGCAAAAUGAAUUUUGUCCUUUAGUGGUAACAUGGUAAGAAUGUGCACUGAUUCCAACAGUAUUACCCUGCUUAAACAAUUUUGGGUUUCCUUGGAAUUAUCUUCAGAGUCUAUGGACCACAGAAGAAAAUGAAUCUUUUACUUUCAGGUACACCUCACUUUUGAUCCAAAAUAGUAUCCCCAAGCCUGAUCAUCCAUUUUUUAUACAUCUUGGCUCUUCAUGAUAGUUUUUGUAGUAUUCAAUAAACACAUAUUUUAGGAACAGAGGUUUGUUACCAUUUAUGUUUAAAUGUUUUAAACUCUGAAAUUCCAAAAGGAAGAAGUCCAAAAAAUAUGUGAAUCAAUGGCAGCAUACUAGAAAACACAUGUAAUUCCCUGAGCAAAUUAUCUUACAAGUGAGAACAUGCAUUUGGAAAUGAGUCUGGCAUGUCGGGGAGAUCAGUUACAUUGCAUUGUAAUUUUACAUAAGGGGAAAACUGCAUAUGCAGGCUUUAAGGAGUCCUGGAGAUUAGUUCAAAAAGAGCUCCAGGACUUGCUAACUGUGUGCAGGUGUCUUUUUGAACUACAGUUUCUUCAGCUUAGAAGUGGAAUUGAGAGAAGCAACCUUGCAGACUGAGUAAGAACUGGGGGUAAGCCACUUGCAGGGCCUGGGGUCACUCCAGCCUCAAUAAUGGCACCAUUAAUGAGGUUAAUACUAUCAGAAUAUCUGAACGUAGCUCAUAGAAUGCUUUAUGUACCUUCUUGCUCUCUUGCUCAUAUAGCUGUAUUAUUGGAUAUCAACUCUUACAUUAUAGAAACAAAUAGAUAUGUGAAGAGGUUUCUUGAAAAGUUUUUUAAAAGGACCAGACCCAACUAUUAACUGCUUAAAAGUUUGUUGCAAAGAUGUCAAGGUUGUUAAAGAAAAACACUGAAAACAACGAUCAGGUUGGAAGAUCUUUAGAGAUAGUUGAAUUGUUCAUAGCAAAUCCAACCAGGAGGGCUUGAGGUGUCUGUUCAGAAAGAAAGCUCACACACUGAAUUGUCCCAUUAUUUGAGGAAAGAACUGCAAUCCACAAAGUUCAUAAACAUAACUCACACAGUUUGCAAUUUCAGUUUACCUGAAGAGUUUUUGGUUUACCCAAAAAAGAUAGGGAGGGGGCAAUGAUGAAAUUUGAAAGCUGUAACAGAACUCCUCCUCUCUUACUAUUGGGUUAGAGUUUAGCCCAACUUCUCUGGACCACAAAAAUGCAACUGAUCAUUAUUUUAGGUAAUUCUGAUAUUUUGCCACGCAUGGGAGCUUUUAGUGUUGCACUAUGUUAUCAGAAGGAGUUAAGGUUUCUUAAUUCACAGAAAUACUUUUACUGGCUCCAACAGUAUCACAACAUUUCCUUCAGAUAGAUCAUUAAGAUUGCAGGCCUGAAGGGUUCCUGGAAUUCAUAGCACUGCAUCCAUGUCUUUUCCGUCUUUGCUAUGUGAAUGAACCUGAUAUCAACAGGCUUCCUCAAGACCUCCUUGAACUGCAAUGGGCUGGGUCAGACUAUCUGCGUUUAUUUUGGAACACAAAAUAAAUCAGGAAUCAGCUGUAUAAUGCAUCAGUUGCAGUGCCUGGCUUAGGAUGUAAACUAAAACAACAACAACAACAACAACAACAAAACAAACAUUGAGUCAAAAUAUGGUUUAUAUUCAAAAUGUUAUUUUAUAUUACAUAUUAAUUGAAAGUAUUUUUGCUAUAGUUGAACUUUAAGAAGAAUUUUUAUGCUAUUUGUAUACUCUGAUUGUUAAAAAAAUUAUUGUAUAUGCAAGGUUUUCUCCUGAAUUUAGAUGUUAUCUGAAAUAAAUAGGAGUCGACAACUUACUAUCUGGGAAACUUUAACAGAUAAAACAAUCUCAUAUCAUCUCAAUUUUCUGGAUAUUUUGGAUCAAAGCGUUGGCUUCUAAAGGCUUGAGAAAUCUGUUUAAUUGCUUCCAUUCAUCAUUUCAAUUAGCUUAUGUAAGUGCUUCAAAAAACUUAAUUUACUUACCGAGCUGAAAUGUAAGGUUUUCUUCUGUACGGAUUAUUCAUUUGGUGAAAACGUGCAGCAGGAAAGCAUUCCAUUGCUCAGCCCUUUUGUGCAUGGUGCUCCUACUUCUCUCAGUGGGUUUGCAUUCUCACCGUUGCUCAUACAUUUGCUGGGAUAAAUACCUACGAACAUGCAGUCCAUGAAAUUCCCAUUCUGUAGGUCCUGAUCUGUCUGCAUCAUUCUAAGGGUACUAUCUGAAGGAGUUUGAAGGUAGUGUUAUCUCAUUGGUUUUAAUAAGACCAUUGAUUUGAUCACAUAAAUGUUCACUCCCUGGCUUGGGUUAGAUUUGGGGGGGCAUCAGACAGAAGUAUAGGAUUGUUUUAUUCCUUUACUACUUUCCAUGCCUUUUGGGUGAUAGAACUUGGCCACUAGAAUGGAGUCCAGAAUGGUAGUGGCAUCACCAGACUAAGAACACAAAGGAGGGAACACUAACUAAGACAGACUUGUAAGAAUUUCACCCCAUUCCAGCUGGAGGUUUGUACAAUCCGUAAAUCAUGUAUUCCAUAUUAAUGAUUAUCUAUAAAUCCUGUUGCUUUUUGGGUCUCCCCUUGUUAUUUGGAAUAAAGUGGCUCCACUUAGGUCUGUUCUUAAGGGUUAAUGCAUCUAGUGUUGUUUAAGUGCAUAUUUGAUCUGAUUUCUCUUCAGUGAUUCCCUGUCACAUACAACCUUUCCUAACUGUGUUCCAUGAAGCACUUAGCUAGUAAGUAAGUUUACUCACAUGUUCAGGCAAAUAUUACUCAAAAAUUAUUCAGUUACACAAUGCUAGGUAAAAUCAAAGUUGGGAAUGAUUCUUUUUGCUUGAUAUUUGAAACUAUCAAUAUAAUGGUAAGAGUUGUGACCUCUCGGGGGUGAGUGAUAGUAUUUUUUUUUUUUUUAUCAAAGAGCAUCUUCUUAGAUUGGUACUCCAUGACACACACCUUGGGCUUUAUGAUAAAGCUAUAAUUCCUUUGCAUGUCAUACAAGGCCAUUGCCUAGCUUUGGAAAUUCACCUUCUGCCAUUCUCAUUCUUUGUACAAUGCAUAUUAGCCGUAGCAAACUGCUUCACCUUUCUCCAGGAUACCACCCUGCCGAUUGACCACAGGAUGUUUCCAUCUUGCUGGAUUCUUCUUCUUCCCUCUGACACCCAAGCCAACUUGUAUUCACCCUUUAAGACACAACACAAGGCAUCCCUGCCUCUGAGACGUCUUCUCUGACAACGCCUAACAGCACUCAGCCCUCAACAUCUUUAAUGCAUGGAAUAUUCACCUACUGAACUUAAAGGCAGUUUUGAGUGCUGUUAUCUCCGGGUCCUUACCCCAGGGUUUGGUCAUUCAUUGCUUCCAUGGAUCUCUUUCUUACACAAUCUUAACUCUUCUUAAUAUUUGCAUUCCUAAUGCACACCAGAGUAGGCUGUACAGAGUAGGGGAAAAGUGUGAAGUGGCCAAAUGUACAGCCCUUGAAUGUCCUUAAUGUGUUGUGCUGUGAUCCUUGAGGUUACAUUUUUAUGCUUUUAACUAUAUGAAUUUUUUUUUUUUACCCAAUAUUGUAUAGAGGGAAAGCAGGAAGUCAGGAGAUCUAAGAUCUCUCAUUUUUCUAAUUAAUUUGGAACAUGCGUCUAACUUCAAUGAGCCUCAGCUUACUUAUCCAUAAAAUAAGGCUGAAACAAUCUGCGGGGCAAUUUCCAGCUCUCAAAUUCUGUGAGACUAAACCAUCUUUGCAGAUGCUCUUUAGGUAAUGAGUUGAUUUACAAGUGAACUAAGGGAGACUUGAAAAUCCUUUCCUUCUUCACUUUUCUGCCCUUAAAUCUGAUUGGUCCCACAUCCUUUCUUGACCCCACUUUUUGAUCCUUAAAAUGCAGUAGGAUAUUGAUGCCAGGGUUUUCGUUAGACUUUGUAAUUUAAGAAGCAGAAAAUCUGGUUACAUUUUCAGAAAACAACUGCGAAGAUUUUUGUUUUUAUAUUUUUUUAAGUCUUACUCAAGCUUUUCAAAACAGUCAUUUUUCUGGUUCUUAGCAUCGCCCUCAGACAGUUUUACUGAAAAUAUUUGAUAGAGAUGGAAAACCCCCCUACCUAGUGAAAUGUUUCAUCUUCCAUGAUUUGCCCCGCGAGAGCUCAUCUUUGUGUUAGGAAGGCUUCUUGCUCAUGGCUCCAGUUACAGGAGCUGGACCACAGGUCACCGUGCUGCAGGGCACUGCUCUUCACGAGGGGCCGGCCAAAGAAAACAAAGCAAGCAAAGAUGAAACGAAUGCUUUUCAAGGAGGAAAGAGCUCGUGAACUGGCCCCCAAGAAAAUGUUCCACAUGAUAAAUCCUGACUGCAGUGGAAGCAGUUUACCAUGGAGUGUUCUACCUGGGAAAUCUCUGCUCCAGCUUCUCACAGCUGCCAUUUUAUAUUCUUUUAUUGCAAAGCCACAAAUUAAAUAUGGUCCCCAACUGUAAAAGCAGAACCUGUUAAUGCAGAUGUUAAGUGCUUGUGGUAAACAUGAAAAUACAAAGGGCCUCUUUCUUGUUGGUUAAAUCAUCAUCAUUUUCAUUAUAUCAUCAAUAGAUAAGAUUCUGGCUCAUCAGUAGCAUGAGUAGCGUGUUGUUGUUUUUGAGGUAAAGAAAUCAUGAUGAAAUAUAGUUACUGUCCUCAAGAAAUUUCUGGACAGGACAGAGAUUGAAUGUGUCAAUAGAUGUUUUAAUAGGUGUGAGAUUUAAUGCUCAUCCGUUUCUCAGUGAAAUCUUUUUUAGUUUAGGGAGUGUGCGCGCGCGCGCGCGUGUGUGUGUGUGUGUGUGUAGCAACACUUAGCAUGAGAUCUCUCCUCUUAAAAUUUUAAAUGUACAAUAAAUACAGUAUUAUUAACUAUAGGUGCUAUGUUAUACAGCAGAUCUUUAGAACUUAAUCAUAUUGCACAGUUGAAACUUUAUAUCCUUUGGAUAACAACACCCCAUUUUCCCUCUCCCUGCCCCUUGGCAACCCUCUUUUCUGCUAUGUGUUGUACUAUUCCAGAUAAUCUCAUCUAAGUGAAAUAAUACAGUAUUUGUCCUUCUGUGACUGGCUUAUCUCAUUUAGCAUAAUACCCUCAAGGUUCAUCCCAGUUAUCCUUGGCUGGAUAAUAUUCUAUCAUAUGUAUAUACCACAUUUUCUUUGUCAGUUUAUCUGAGAAAUACAAAUUCAAACCAUGAUGAGAUAUCGCUUCACACCUGUUAGGAUGGCUAUCAUUAAAAACAACAAUAACAACACAAAGAUAACAAGUGUUGGUGAGCACAUGGAGAAAUUGGAACCCUUGUCCACUGUUGGUGGGAAUGGAAAAUGGAAAACAGUAUGGAAGUUCCUCAGAAAAUUAAAAAUUGAACUACCCUAUGAUCAAGCAAGUCCACUUCUGGAUAUGUAUCCAAAAGAGUUGAAAUCAGAAUCUUGAAGAGGUAUCUACACCCCUGUGUUCACUGUGGCAUUAUUCACAAUGGCCAAAUUAUGGAGACAGCUUAGUUUAGGGUGAAUUUUAUUUAGAGUUAUCAAAAUCAGAAACAAAAUACUUUAGUAUAAUAGCAUGUCUUGCACAUAUAUCUCAAGCUACCAUGUGGAUUUGGUUUCUGAACUACCACACUUACCAACCUUUUUUUUAAAUGCCAACACCAGGGGAGAAAGAAAAAGACAGUGGCAAAUCCUGAACUUUGACUCCUCUUCCAGUCUGAUUAUGUCCUGGAGAUCCCCUUUCUCUUUAGCUUCAUGUCCUAAGAAAGGAGAUAACAUGGAGGACCCCAAACACCUGGAACAUUAAGUGUGACAAUCUCUCUGUAGUGUUGGAGUAAAACUGGAAUACCUCAACGUCGUCUCCCUUCCAGUCUUCUGCCUCCUGCAGGGGAGAUGAAGCUGUCCUCCUGCUUCCACUGACAGCUUCGCCUAGUUGGCUGAGGGAGGCUGAAGGGAUAUACAUCACAUUACAGCCUUCUCCCUGCCAAGUUGUACUUAGUUUCAGCAAUGUAUGUGAAAACCUCCAAAGCAAACACAGAGAGAGGAAAUCAAAAUUAAAUUAAUCCCCUCCAAGGAUAAAUAAAACAUGGAUGCAUUGCUCUUGAGCUUACGGGAUGGAAAUCAGAAAGACUUUGCUUGGGUUUCCAUGAUACCAGUGUUCAGAUUCCUGAUUCUUAGCCCAGAAAAGAGGAGAGAUACAGACUUACCAAGGCUCCUUACUAAUGUCUGUAUAUGGAAGAAGAUAUGCCUCAGUUGUUAAUAUUUAUAGACAUCUUCAAGAUGGUGUAUGUGACUUAGCAACAGAAAAUCAUCCUUAAAACCAGCCAGUGUGUCUUGAGAGGAAAGAAAUCAUGCUCUUUCUUUGAACAUAUUAGAUGUCAAAGAACAAAAUAUCACAUAAUUUCAGACAGAUACAAGUGGCUUUGAACUUCUAGUCCUCAUUUUUACCAGUUGAGAUAAUUUGGGUGGGGUAGAGUUCUCUACUUUUCUUCAGACUCUGUGUUACCACACAGCUAAAAAUUCUAUUGCCUCUUCAAUUUUGUUGACUACCUAAAUGAUUUUGACUAACCCCUUGACUCUGGCCCUCUGACCAACCUCGGAAAGGCAGCUACAGAAAAAAUACCACCAGCUACUAAUCCGCUUACAAAUGAUGAGUGAUUUUGGACCAGAUGAAUUGAAAAUUUUGGUUAUUUUUUUCAUCAUUUCUUAACUAGAUGACGAGUCCAAUGGAAAACCUCACCUGGUUUUUCUAAAUACUGAUAAACUACCCUAUGUGUUGAAACCUAACUUAACAGUUGAAUGGACUAUUAUGGACUGUGCUUUAGCCAGCAUACUGUGGUGCUUCUUAAUAUCCCUAUUUUAGAUGUGAUUACAGUUCUUAAUUAUUGUUUUCCAGUUUGGUUUUUGAAUAGGGUACACACCAUUCUGGUAACUAUGCCAGGAAACUGUCUAUAUGUUAAUUAAGAUUGGAAAAUAUAAGCUCGUCUAAGAUACUGCAUUGAUUUUACUUUUUUCUUUUCCAGAAUACUGGCCUUUUCAUAUUUAGAUACAAAAGCUAAAAUGUAUUUCAUGAAUAUAAUUGUGGAAAGUUACAUUUUUUUUUUCUUAAAAAGAACAGUAAAUAUCCAAGUGCCAAUAUCGAGUGGAUACCUGAGUGUCUAAUGAAUUUUGAGAUGGUAAAGUCUUGCUGGCUGCCCUGUUUGGGGGGAAGUCUUAGAGGACCAUCCACUAUUCCAUAGAAUGAGAGUUAAUUAACCACAUCUAACAAUUCAGUCAUGAGGGAAAAAAUGAAAUGAUGGUAACACUGAAAAUGGAAUUAAAAAAAUAGACAUUUACACCAACUACAGGAUUGGGAGACAAAGGAACAGAGGUUUAUUUUUGUACAAUAAACAUAUGGCCAAAGCUCCUCAUUAAAUGAUGGAAGUAGCAGAAAGGUAGAUUAAUAGGUGUUACAGACAAGUUUUCAUUGAGCUUUUGCUUGUCUGUAGAACAAGUAUCCACAUUCACAGUUGAAUGGAAUUUUGUUCAGUGCUUUGGCUGCUCACUUCUGCAAACUACUGAAGCCACUGGGGUCAAAGCUGCUGCUACAUGAUGCCUUCAUGUGAUUUUGAAAAAGGUAAUUCCUCCUGAGACAUUGUCUCUCCAAUUAUUAGAAAGUUAUUCUAAAUAUUAAGUUGAUUCGAAAAUGAAUUCAUUGCCAGUUUUUUUUUGAAAAUUGUCUUAAUAAAUAAACACUCAUCUCUGGAGGUGAUGAAAGCAUAGUAAAAAAAAAAUAUAUAGCUAGAUGAGAAUUACGGUCUAUUAAAUAUGUUACCCUUGUGCAAUUCACAACCUAAACAACUAUACUAGGCAGCUAUUUCAGGGGAUAAUUACUCCAAGAGUCAAAAAUCGAUCUAGUUUUAUCUUCCUGUCCUAUAGUCAAAUAGAGAAGAAAGAACCAAGCUUAAAUAGAUCACAUGGUCUUUUAUUACAUUGUGUUUGGUUUUCAGUAGACUUCCAAUUAAUGUAUCCAAAGUAGGGAAGAACAAUUAUAAAAAUGAGAUGUCAGUUAGAAAUAAUUAGGCAGGUAAGUUGUGCUGAGUAAAUGCUUGUUAAAGACCACAGACAUUAUAAAUGUGAGCAAGUUUCAGUCUUUGUCAAUGAUAUUUAUCUAAACGUGUAGAUUUCUGAAAAUGUAUUGAUGUUCUGUUAGUUCAGUUUACUGAAUUUUACUAAUUGCUUAUUAGGUACUUUGAUAUUGUGCUGAAUGCAUUCUAUGUAAUAUCUUAGUGAGUGGUUGCAAUAAUUCCGUGAGAGGUAUUGUUUUAGUUAUUCCUAUCAUCUAAAUGAAAAAAUUAAGGCUUCGAGUAAAGUAGACACCCUACCCUAUGUGGGACUCCAAAGUCCAUGCCCUUAAUGACAAUGGAAAUGAAAAAGCAAUGAUAAAUAGUGUUCUUAUAUGCUACAAAGAAUCAGCUGGGAAAAUAUAUUAUUAAAAGAUGCAAACAGGCCCCUGGGUGGCUCAGUUGGUUAAGCCUCCAACUCUUGGUUUCUGCUCAUGUCAUGAUCUCAGGGUUGUGGGAUCAAGCCCCACAUUGGGGUCUGUGCUCAGUGUGGAGUUUGCUUGGGAUUCUCUCUCUCCCUCUGCCCCUCCUCCUGUGCAUGUGCACGCACUCUCUCUCUCUCUCCCCCUAAGAUAAAGAAAUUAAAAAAAAAAUAAAAGAUGCAAACAAACAGGUACACGUAACAUUUAGGAAAAAAUCUGUUGAGAAAUACAGGGAUCAAGGUGAAGAACAUGACAAACCUGGUAGGAACAUAAAUUGGUACAGACUUUCUGGAGGAUAAUUUGACAAUUUGUGUCAAACCUUUAGAGAAAGUCAUGUUCUCAAAUUCAUAAAUUUCAAUACGACAAAUUCAUCCAAAAGAUGUAAUUAAAGAGAUAGCAAAGAUUUCUCUAAGGUUUAUUCACUUUAGCAUUGCUUCUGCUAACAACAUUUGAAAUAACAAAUAUCCAUCAAUAAAAGAUUUUAUGAAUAAAGUAUAUUGAUACACAGGUUUACAAAUGAUGUUGUAGAAGAAACUUUCUAUCAGAAAUGUUCUUAACUUGUGGUAUAUAUAUACAAUGGAAUAUUAUGCAGCCAUCAAGAAAGGGAAAUCUUGCCAUUUGCAAUGGUGUGGAUGGAACUAGAGGGUAUUAUGCUAAGCGAAAUAAGUCAAUCAGAGAAAGACAUGUAUCAUAUGAUCUCACUGAUAUGAGGAAUUCUUAGUCUCAGGAAACAAACUGAGGGUUGCUGGAGUGGUGGGGGAUGGGAAGGAGGGGGUGCCUGGGUGAUGGACAUUGGGGAGGGUAUGUUCUAUGGUGAGCACUGUGAAUUGUGUAAGACUGAUGAAUCACAGACCUGUACCUCUGAAACAAAUAAUACAUUAUAUGUUAAAAAAAAAAAAAGAGAGAGAAGAUAGUAGGAAGGGGAAAAUGAAGGGGGGGAAUCGAAAGGGUGUUAUGCACAAACAGUGAAUCAUGGAACACUACAUCAAAAACUAAUGAUGUGUAAUGCAUGAUGACUAACAUGAUAUAAUAAAAUAAAAUUUAAAAAAAUGUUCUUAACUUACUGAAAAAUAUUUAAUGGCAUUAUUGAAAGGGUGUCAUUACAAAUUUGUAAAAUUAAAUAGGUAUCUGUAUACUCACACACAUGCAGAGAAAAGACUUGACUUGUUUCUAUGAUCCUGUGAAUAGUAGUUACCAAUGGGUGGUGUGAUAAUGGGUGAUUUUUCUUCCUUUCCAUUUUUGUGUAUUUCUUCUAUUUCCUAUAAUAAACUGUAUUGCUUUUAUAAUCAGAGAAAGACUUUAAAAAUAGGGUUUUCAUAUAACCAUUUAUCCUGUGAUUACACUUGAACCAAAUAUAAAGGUGAGUUAACAUGGUUUGGUUUUUGUGAUUAUCUCAGGCUUAUAUGUUCUCUUUGCCUUUGUUAGGAAGUAUAGGAGCCAGUAAUGUAACAGAAGGAAAAUGAAUUUUCUUGUUUUUUAAGGUAGGACAUAACUGUGCUGUCUAGGCAUGAUGAUUUCUCUCAAGGAAUAAGAAAUCUCUGGUUUGCUUCAUUGAGACUAGGUUUAUGUAAACACAGCAUGCCAGUCACCCAGAUAAUCCAGGUCUGCUCUAGUCAGAAUAUGCUGUUGUAACAAAAACACCUAAAAUAGCAGCGACUUAAUACAGUAAAAACUUACUGCUUCGUUAUGUCAUAGACCAUUGUGUCAUUUAGACAUCUGGGAACCCAGGCUUUGUUCAUCAUGAUCAACAUGUGGCCUCCAAAAUUGUCACAAAAUAAGGAGAGAUAAUAGUGAGGCUGCAAGGGAGUUUAUUGCCAGGUGUGAUGUGGCCUCUGUCACCUGUGUCCAUAUUCCAUUGGCCACAUUCCAUCACAUGACUUACUUGAGGUUAAUGCAAAGGAGGGCUGGAGAUGGACCUUACUGUGUAUUCAGGAGGGAAAUAAGACAGGUUGAGUGAAUAUAUGACAUGUCAUUACCACUUCCCAUACCACAUCCCAUACAAAAUUGAUCUUUAUCUUUAAUGACAGGGAAUGGCACGUUCAUACUUCAUCUUACUUUGGCAUCUAAAUAAAAUAUUGCUUUUAAGUUUUCUCUAAGGAGCUUCUUCAGUACUUUGUUUUUAGAGCACAUGGUUGUAAAACCUUUCCAUCCAGCUGAGAAGAUCCAAUUGUAUUUAUCAAGGAGUAGAUGAUGCCCAAGAACAUGAUAACAUAUUUCCUGGACAGAAUCCCUAGAUGGCUCUUGGUUAAGAGGAGAGCUAUUUAAUAACUGCAUGUUUGUGUAGGUUACAACUUAACUGAUGGAUACAGUCUGUUACCCCGCCUCCCAGCUUCAGAAGUGUUUAUGUCUGAUGGGAAACUCUUCAGCUUGUAUCAGACCCUGGAAAAACACUUUACUGUCUGAGAUUUUCUAUUUGUUUAAGAUGGCAGUAAAAGAAAUUUUGAGCAUAUGGAAUCCCCUGGUUUCAUUUUUCAGAUCUGGGGCUUUAGGCAAUGUCUGGUCAUCAUAAAUAAACUGUAGCCCUAAUUAUCUUUCCUGUAAUGUUUACAAAGGCCAAGGACAGGUUGUAAAUAGAAUAAGAGAGCAAAAUGAAAGGUGAAGGUAUUAUUGCUGAUAGUGCUUACUCAUUUGAAAUACAGGAAGUUUCUGUUUUAAAUGUAGAAUUAACUCCUGAUUCAGGAGCACUUAGAAGUAGACUUCGGAGCCCUUCAGCUUGUCUUUCAUUGUUCUCGAAGCCCUCACCUUGCAAGCAAUAGUUAUUUUUAAGUAACCAGCUAAAAGUGUGUCCAUAUAUAGUGUUGUACCAAGGUACUUUUGGGUAUAGUGGCUUUAUUCCAGAAUUGUAUGUGGUAGUGAGGCUGGGCUCACUACCCAGAGUUGAACAACUUCAGGGGACCACCUAACCCUGCCAGUUCACACCCUCUGUCAUCCUUGGGCUCUGCAAGAAUAAUUCCCACCUAAGGCUUCCUGUAAAACUGCAUCUGCCCCCGGGUCCCACGGCAGAGUCCCCCUUUAAGAAGAUAUAAAACAUGUGUCCUGGGACACCACAAAGAGGGUGGGAAUGUUAAUAUAUUUCAGAAGAAAAGAAAUUUCACAGCAAAGGGCCUCUUGAAGCAUAUUUAUAGAAGGACAGCCAUAACAAUGACAAGGAACAUACCCCCAUAAAAGCAUAAGCAGUGGGAGGCAUGGCUUCUAAGAGAGUUAAAUAGUUUAAGACCUAGAACAAUUUUCCUUCUUUUCAAUAAGGAUCCCAGUUAGAGCACAAACUCUUCGGCACAUAAUUUCUGAUGAUUUUCUUGAAGUCCAUCACUUCCUCCACUUUCCUCCUACAUGUUUGGACCCCUUCACUUCCUUAAACUGCCGUUUCCUUGUGUGGAAAACAAAGACCCUGUAGUGCCUCCCAAGGGCUAUCUACAUGGUAAAAUUUAAGAACACAAAGCCCUGUUAAAGUUUGAAGUGAUGAAAAGUUAAUAAAAAUAUUUUAAUAAUUCUCCCACAUUGAGAUAAGUUAGACAAUUUUCAAUAUAGUUCACAUUUUUUAAAAUUGAGAUAUAAUUGAGAUGUAACAUUAGAUUUGUUUCAGGUGCACAACAUAAUAAUUCUCAAUAUAUGCAUAUGAUAUAAAGUUAAAUCAUAGCAGGAUACCAUUAGUCCAUGCUGCCCACCCCCUCACUCAUCCUUCCUCUCCUCCAUCUAUUAAUUUCUCACAUAGUUGUUGUUGAGAUAGUGCUCAUAAAUCUUUGUACUAACUUAUGGGGCUGCAUGAAUGAAUAAGCAUAAGUACCUGCUCCCAGUGAAUUUAUGGUCUGGUAAGGAAGGCAAGGAAAUACUAUUAUAAUAUGAUACAUGCUAGGAGAGAGAUAUAUGCAAAAUAUUAUAGAGAGGAGGUACGUGGCUCAUCUACCUGGGUGGCUCUGGGUCAGGUAAUGGUGGCCGAUCUGGGUGUUGGAGGAUAAAUAGAAGGAUUCCAGCAGACAGAGAGAGAUUUUAAGAAAAAUAGUCAAUGAUGGGCCAACGUGCUGGGCAGAAGGAUGGCCCCAAAGACGUCCCCGUCCUAACCUCCAGAACCCUUGGUGUGUUAUCUUACAUGGCAAAGGGGAUUUAGCCGAUGUGGUUAUGGAUCUUGAGAUGAAAGAUUAUCCUGGAUUAUCUGAGCAGGACUGAUAGAAUCACUUGGGUCCUUAUAUACGAGGGUGGCAGAGGGUCGCAGUCUGAGAAAGAGACUUAAGGAAGGAGCAGUUGUCAGGAUUACAGAGAGACUGGAAGGUGCGAUGCUGCUGACUUUGCAGAUGGAAGAAGGAGCCACGAGCCAGUGCAUGCCAGUGGCCUCAAGAAGCUGAGUCAAGGCAAUGGGUUCUGCUCUAGAGCCUCCACCAAGAACCCGCCUCUGUCAACGCCUUGGUGUUAGCCCUGUAAGACCCAUUUUGGACUUCUAACCUCUGGAACUAGAAGAUAAAAUUGUGUUGCUUUAAGCCACUAAGUUUGUAGUUACUUGUUACAGCAGCAAUGGGAAAGGAAUACAUUUAAGUAGGAGCUCUGCCUCCGGCAAGAACUGUCUCUCCCUGGUGUCUCUGCACAGCGAGCUCACCACUGGCACGGGGUUUGUAUCUGUGGAGCAAACUGUGUGAAUGAGUGAGAAAGCAUGGCCUUUUGGGGAAAUUGCAGGUGGCCGUAGACUAACUGGGGCUGCUCAGCACAAACCAGAUCACAGGAAGGUGUUUGGAAAGUAUCUGGCAGCUGGAGGGAGCCCUUGGAAGGACUGCCAAUGAGGAAUGCUAGAACAUUUCUUUUUCUCAGCCCAUGAACAUGUUUCAAAAGAUUUUUUUUUUUAUUUUGUGGAAUAAAGAGAAUAUUGAUAAUAUGGGUUGAAGAAAUCAGCCAGAGAUGGAAGAAGAACACUUGAUUAGAAGGAAUGGACUGUAGUUUUCCCCAUGCCCGGACAAGCUAUGUAACCUCAGGCAAGUCAGUUCCUUUCUGUGGUGCUCAGGGUCCUUGUUGUGCAGAUAAGGGCGCUGCAUGAGAUGAACUCACAUCCUCCCCAGCCCUAACAUUCUGUCCUUUAGUGUUGAUGUCACGCUGUUUGUGAAACAGCAUCUGUGUGUAGAAAUCACAAAGCUGUACACCAUGUGGACGCAGGACUAUCUUGUUCACUGCAGUGUCUGACCCUUUGCUCACAGCAUGGUGCCUGCAAGAGUGAGUGUUGGAGAAUGAAUAAGCACAGUGACUUGCGUGCUUCCUAGAAAGUUAAAAAGGAGCAGGAAGAUCCUUCUGCUCCCAAACACAUUAUAUUGACAACAUAAUAAAUGUGUUAAAUUCAUAGUGUAUUAAAUUUAUAAUUAUUACAAUGUGAUAUCAACAAAUAUGUGAUUGUGAACACAGAAAUGGCCACUAUACUGUUGUUGGAGAGAAAAUUGACUAAAUUCUUUCCUAUUUGUAGGGCUAAAUAUCUUUCUGAAUAAAGAGAUUUUUCUUUUCCUGGUUUUGUUUUUUUGUAAGAUCCUGCCUUACCCAACACUCUACCAGGUAGUAGCAUCAGUCCAGGCAGGAGUAGAUAUUCCACAACAACAAAAAAGCCUUACUUGUGAGUAUGAACAAAUAAUAAAAAUCACAAAUGCACUUGGGGAAAUCAUUUUCAAAUUUUUAAUUAUGUUCAUCAUGUAAAUAUAAGCUGGGAUGCAGUUUUGCAUGUGACAUGAAGUACCUAAAAUGUACAAAUGCAUCAGGCCUCUGCUUUCUGGAUUUGGAUACAGGGAGGUUAAGAAAAGUAUUUGGAAGCAGCUGGAAGCAUUGCAGCUGAAUGGUGGUGGUGGUGGAUGGUGGUUCUCAAGAUGAAAUUAGGGAGGACAAAAUCAUAGACAGCAUCUCCAAGCACACAGUGGGAAUGACUUUACCCUGAAGGCCUGGGGUGAAUAUUUCAGGGGAAAUGAUUGGUAUCUAGUAUAGUUCAGAUGCCAGGAAGAAAUAUAUGUGGGGGAUAGGAGAAUAUUCCAUUCAUUUCUUCAGUGCUGGCAAGAUAUAGGCUGGAUGUUUUUGGAAGGCUACAGAGCAAAGUGCGGGCUCUUAAGACUGUCAUACCAAGGUUAAAAUCCCAACUCUGUUAUUGGCCAUACUUAUGACCUUGGCCACUUCACUUUACUGCUCUGUGCCUUCGUGUCUUCAUCUAACCUAGGGUGACAAUGCCUUCUUCACAUGUUGUUCCCAGAAUUCAAUGAAAGAAUAUGUGUAUAGAGCUUAGCGCUAUGCCUGACACAACGGAAACACUCAAUACACUCAGUAAAUGUUGUUAUUAUCAUAGCAUAUUCUGCUUUAGACCUUACAGUGUCUUAUCAUGAUCUCAUCUUAAAUCUGAAGCCACUGACCACCAGGUUAGGCAGCUGAGAAUAGAGCAGAUGUGCAAAUACACAAAACCAUACCAGGAAAAAAAAAAGUUUUUAACAAUGGUCUCUUGGUCUCUUCACUAGAGAACAGUGACCAGAUGGUGUGUGGUUUUUUAGGAACGCCCUUACAAGGGGGUGAUGGACUCUGUGUAACAAAACAUAGUAUUGGACACUAGUUCCAGAUGCAUCCAAUUAGCUGUCUGAAUGGCUUUGUUGACUGGGUCAUUCCAAGUACUUUUAAAACCUGGGCAAUUUCACAGAGACUUGUCCUGCACCUGAUGUGCAGGUGAGAUAAAUUUCGUUGAGGUCCCUCAAGAGCAUAAAGAACCAAGUUUAUCUUUUUGUUAUGUUGUCCAUUGCACACUCAGACUUAGAAAGCCCCCCCCCCCAAAAAAAAGAAAGCCCCAUGGUGGACAGAGCCAGUACAUUUUACAUAAUGAACUGUUUGAUAAAUUUGACAGUAUUUGAAUUAUCUUCUAUGAGCACAGUGAAUAGGCUGAUACCAAACCCAACAACACCUCCACGGUCCCUCUAUCUGAACCACCCCAUCUUGUUGGAAGCUCUAUUAUUUGAGUUAGGGGGUCUUGUUCCUCCUUCACUUGUGUGCUUUUUCUUUGUCAACCACUCCCUUUGUAGCAGUGAACAAAGUAUAUUGACCUCUAGGGAUAUUAUUUUAAUUGCUGCAUUUUAUCCAAGACUUAAACAUACAGAAUUACAAAAACCCCAAUUUGUAUCAUUUUCAAUGUAAUUUAGAAGGUGAAAUUGACUUUUUUGGACAUGUAUCUUUAGUUACUGGAUUUUUAAUAGCUUGGAAGUGCAGUGAUGCUUGAAAAUGUAAAUUUUUGGAAGGAAAAACUUUCGGAAAUUGUGACCUACUUAACUUUUAAUGGAUUGGACCAUUGAGCCAAGAAGCAUGGUGACCACCCACUGGGCUUUAAACAUGGUGUCAUGAUUGUCAGACUCCAGUUCUAACUAAAUGAAGACAGUCUCUAUUUGAGCCAGAGAAAUUCUAGAAUCAUCACUUGGAUUUAGUGUCUAUGUAGUAUACCAAGUAAGCCUAUCCUUAUGUCUGAACUCAAAGUCUGGCAGCUUGUGUAACUCACAUGUUUGUUGAAUGAAUUAGAAUACCACACUAUCUACUUCCAUGAUAAAAUUCUCUCCUGACUCCAUUAAAAGCAUACAAGUGAAAGCAUUAGAGGGAAUCACACUCCCAAGGCCACCCUGGAUUAGAAUAGGUGACUGUAAUAAUAACAAAACCCCUUUACAGGAAACCCUAUAUUUGGAAAAUCAUCAGCAAUAAAUCCACAUGGCUGAUUAGAAUUCAAAAGCUCUGAAAUAUAACUACCGCCUUUUCCUUUUCAGACUUCUGAGCUUAACUCCUGCUCUCCUGGUUUCAUUCUUAGUGGAUCCAAAUUGUGGCAGCAGAAAAAGACAUUCAGAGACCAGAAGCCUGGCAUGGGAGCAGCCAGAGCUCAUUCCCCACUUAGAGCUGCCCCCUGUUCUUCUCCUACCUUCACUCUCCGUGAGAGAGGCCUGCAGGUGUUUGUUUUUACUAAUUAGUACUAAUUCUAAAUGCAUUUAAUGCAGUGUGAUGGAUAAUCAUUUCACAGAACUAUAGGACCUUCUGUUUUUGUUGUGAUAGAGAUAUCAUUGACCUGGGGUAGCGGUUCUUAACUGGUGUGGCACCACUCUCGAGGCAGCGUUUGGGUCAAAGUUGUGAACAUGCAUUUGGUUAUCAUAACGAUUGGAGGAGAGCUCCUGGAGUUCAGGUUGAGAAGAACAGGGACACUAGUGACCUGCAAUGCAUAGGAUAGUCAUGCACGACCAAGACAAUGAAGAAACGUUUGUGAGUUUUUUGGACAUUCAUGUAGGUGAAAAAAAUUGUUAGUAAUUAUUUGGGUCUAGGAUCUAACUCCCGUGUCUUUGUAAACAUGCAAUUUUCUAUUUUGUGUGUAUGUGUGUGUGUGUGUGCAGAAUAUAUGUGUAUUGAAUUUUCUAAGAAUGAAACUACCUGGACAUUGAGGGAGGGUUGGACUCUGAUUCAGAACUUUCCCAGGAGCUGCUCACCAUUUUAGGCACUCCAUCCCAAUGGCCCUGCAGCUUGAGGCAUGGCAGGCACCGAGUCCUCACACUUGUCCUUGCAUUUGUAGCUGUAGUUGCUGCUCCAGAAGUGGAGGGUUCUCAUCCUUGGCACUGCUGACCUUUUGGUCUACAUGAUUCUUCUCUGUGGGGCCGUUCUGUGCAUUGUAGGAUGUUUCCCAGCAUCCCUGGUCUCUACCCUCUAGAUGCCAGUUACACACCUCCCAUGUGACAACCUAGAAUACCUCUAGACAUUGCCAGCUGUCCCUGGGGAUGGGGAUUAUGUGCAGAACUGCCUCUGGCUGAGAGCCACUGGUGGGAACCAAUAGUUUUCUGCCCUUUGCGCUCUCCUCAUUGUGAAGGAAAAUCAUUUUUAAAAAAUAUUUUUAAACGGAUGAGCUAAGUAAGGAGGCAUUUCUUUUGAAAGGAAGCGUUGCUUUCCAACUUUCAAAUUAUAUAAUUACUUUAAAUAAUCAGCUUUGUGGGUGUAAUCAAAGCCCAACUCAAUUAAAAUAAAUUUAGUAAUAAUACACAGCUAAGAAUCUGUCCCUCCAAUCAGUGCUUAGAAUAAAUAUACUUUGUUCUUCAAAUUUGACCGGAUGAUACUGAGGGAGUGAAGGCCAUCCUGAGGAGCUACUGCUGGGUCCCUUGAACAUGGGCGCUGUGGGAGCUCUGACUACCACUAUAAUUGUAGGAAGAGGAGAAGAGUUUGGAGGAGAAUGGGUUUUCUGUGCAUGGAGUGUUAGCAGAGUGUCUGCGGUUAUUGGCCCGCUUCUAGAACUUAAGGGAAAGGAUGCCUCGUCUUUAUUUAGAAUACUCGAUUUUAAUUUUUCAAAAGUGGGACAUUUCCUGUGGGCAACAUGCCCUUCUCCAUCCUUCCCCUUAUCAAAUUUUCCUAGCUACUCAUGUCACCCUUUUCCUGCACUGGGUCCCCACGAUGAUGGUAUAGGGGGACAAUGGGCCUCUAUUAUUAUCUGUAUGGAGCCUCUGGGAUGCACACCACCCUUUUGGUGCAGGUUUUCCCAACCACCUUUCUUCAGGACAUCAUACAGCAGACACACCAAGGGUUAGCCCAGCAUCAGGUGGAAUGACUCACUGGGGAGCAUCAUCAAGUGGCAGUAUUUGUUUCUACAGGGAAAUUCAUAAAUCCACUUGAUGUUUUCUGUAGCUGUAACCAACGGGGAGGACUGACUAAUUUCCAUAUUCUGGCCCUUUUCAUGUAAAGUUCUAAACAUCCUUAUUCCAGUUGUUUCUCUAAGGCCAGUGAAUCUGGCCUCCCUAAAAUGCUAAACCUGCUGGUGUUCUGUUCCUUCUUCUGUCAUCCUGUUCCUGUUGUAAGCAGCCCACGGCAUUUGGUCUCCUCUGGUGGGUUUGCCUGUUCUUUUGGACGUUACUUCAACCCCGGAAGCACCAGGAGGCCCUAGGUUCUGCUCAUUACGUUUCAGCAGUGGAAAUUUCGCUUUGCCCACUGUCUUCCUUUGAGCAUAUUUAAGCUCCAAGCACUGUCAAGCAGGGGAGAUGAGCUCUUUGAGGCUAGCUGUGUUAGGAUUUACAUCUGAGUUUUAAGUUCUCUGACAGGUGUGUUUGUUGGUUUAACUCUCUUGGAAUGAUCCAGGGAAACCUAAAGAAUUCCUUAUCAUUCCAUAAUCAUCUGAGAUGAAGUCAGCGGAGACAAGGGAAGUCUUAGAAGCCAAUGGCAUCUUCAAGGAGGAAGCAGAUGCGGCGGGAUUCCCCACACCGUUGAGUUUGGAUUAUAAAAGCAGUGUUCAUUGAAAGAUGGGAGGCUUGGGUUUCUGGCAAACAGCUGUGAGCCCAUGAGGCUGAUGUGAGAUUGGGUAGGACUUGUGUUCUGGAAGUGUGUGCCGCAGCUCUGGCAGAGGUGGUGCCGCCCAGGUCAGCGGGAGCCCCAGGGCAUUCGAAUGCAAGGAAGGGCAUGGGCCCUGGGGUUAGGGUGUCUAGAUUGGAAUCCUGGGUUUUUUUCCCUUUCGUUAGAGAACCUACAAAAUACUUCUUUCUGUGCCUCAGUUUCGGCAUAGAAUGAAGAUAAUAGAAGUACUUCCUCCACGGAGAUAAGAAUUAACUGCGUUAAUACGUUUAACGUACUUAGAACCCUGUCUGGUGCCCAGUAAUUGUAAAUGUUACCACUUGUUAUUAGCAAGAAAUGGCGAACCGCACUGUAAGGAGUGUAUCUUUCCCAUCAAGCGGACUUCCCCAUUUCCCAUUCUCCCCACUUAUAUACCAACUUCUGCAAAGGACCUCAGCCCAUUGUUUAUCUCCCUGUGCUAUUUUUAAAGAGCCAUCCUUUCAGUAGGUUUCCUUACCUCUCCAUGUCUCUCUCUCCGAUAAAUAUCCUGGCGUCGUGAAACACAUUCUUCUCUACUCUUGGGGUUAACUGGGGUAGCUAGUUAAGUCUCUGACCCCCUCUUCUUCUGAUAGCAGACUUUUACCCCUGGCCUGAGAACUGGGGACCUGAUCCAGGCCUAACCAAAAGGACCGGUCUGCUGCAAAGGGAGAUGUUCUUGGUCUGUGCAUGUGACGUCAGGUGGUCAGAGCCCUUCUAGCAUUUGCUGUACACACGUUAGGCUAAGCACGUGUUCUCUUUCUGCUGGAGCUGUGCUAAGUUGGUGGCGCCUGUCAGCGGGAAGAGCAAGUAAGGCUGACAGCAGGCUUGAGAACAGGCAAAGAAUGGGGGGUGGGGGGGUGGGGGGUUCUGUGUGAAUGCCCAGCUCCUCCCUCCAUUCUGUCACUCACCACCCUUCUUCCCAAGAGCCCAUGCAUUCCCUUCUAGCUUAGUCAUGUUUGAGCUGCACCACAGUCCACUGAACGAAUCCGAGUGCCAGAACUCAAAAACAGAAACAAAAACAAAACAAAACAAAACCAAAAAACAGCAACCGACAGAGCUAACAAGCUCUACGAGGACUGGGCAGUGAUCAUGUCUUCUGCAUCUUUAUGACGCCAGGGCCUCGUCAAGCUCCUGAGGCCCUGGGAGAAGCAGAACUCCAAGACUCACUUCUUGUGGGGCUUACAUUGGGAAAACACUGGGACCAGAAAGUGUCUCCUUGUCUCCUAUGAGAAGGGCCUCCUGGGGUUUUCACCUGGAACCGGUCAGUAGCAGUGGAUGCCACCAAGGGUGGGACUUCCUGGCAGCCCUAAGCCAUUUGGUCAUUGUCCCCUUCUCUUACUCCCACAGAUCUGAAUUCCCUUGGUGCCUGGAAGGCUCUUUUCCUUUGGGGAGUAUCAGAUGGGAUACAUAUCCCCUUAUUCCCCAGGUUCCUUUUCUCUUGCUGUUUAAAAAGAUCCCUCCCUGGGGCAUCUGCGUGGCUCAGUAGGUUAAGCAUCUGCCUUUGGCCCAGAUCAUGAUCUUGGGGUCUUGGGGUUGGGCCCCGCCGUGGGCUCCCGGCUCAACUGGGGAUCAGCUUCUCCUCUCUCUCUGCCCCCCCCAACUUGUGUUCUCUCUCACUCUCUAUCUCAAAUAAAUAAAUAAAAUCUUUUUAAAAAAAUGACCCUCCCUUUGGUUAUGUCGAAGCCUUCUUUGUAUUUGUCAUAAACCUUCACACCUUUCUUUCAUUUUAGCCUCACAUAACUAGCAACACAGUGGGACCGUUUUUAACCCUAGUGCUAACACAGAUGGGACACGGAUGCCCAGAGUCUCUCAGUGGGGCGAUCCUGGGUUAAAUGCCUGGCUUCCUUCUGUCCCCAGCCUGACAUAGGCAUGGGGGUAAGGACAGUGCGGAGGUAGGAGUGGCCCAAGAAGACAGCAUGCAUUUAAAUGCCCUGUCCGCUUUAUGUAUUUUACUAGAAAGUGUUUUAAGACUUUAAAUAGACUUUAUAGGUCAGCUUCUAGGAGCCCAAGAGAUCAUCAUUUCCCAAAUAGCUGCAGCCUGCCCUCGAAGAGUAGAUCUGGGACAAAGGAAUACAAGCCAAGCAUCCUCUGUCAUUUUGACACCUUUAUUAACGGACCAUGGUAAGGAAUGAAAUAACAUAUUCAUACAUGUUUUAGCUAAGCCUGGAAUAUACAUUUUUAAGGCAGAAGGAGGAGAAGGAGUUGAGUGGGGGAAAAAAAAAAAAACGCUAAAGGGAACCAAAAAAAAAAAAAAAAAAAAAUCUGGAUGGACUUUACAACCAUAAAUGGUAAAACUAACCCUGUUCCCCUGCCAGCUACAAGAACAGCCGAGUAAGGUUUUGAUUUACAGGAACAGCUCAGCAAGGGCCUUGUAGAGAGCUUCAUGCCUGCUAUAAAAAUGUGAUUAGCUAUAAAACAGGCAGAUUUAACAAGAGAAUUUAAGCAUAGGCAACAGACCUGCUCAAAAGUAAACAAAAACAGCAAUUGCUGCCUAUGCGUCUAACUGGACUCCACAAAGGCCGUGAAGGAUGAGGAGAAUUCUUUUUCAGGCUUGUGAUACAGUUAAUAACUUUUCACUUUGACAGUCAAAAGAAAGGAAGAGGAGAGAUAACCUUGAGCAUUACUUUCAAAGACUUCAAUCUGCCUUUCAUCAGCAGUUCUUUCAUUGGACGCUUGCGUGGUCCUAAAGCAUGAAGAACAGUUUUCUGCUCAGAGCCUCCCUGAGACGGAGGCUGUGGGGGGAAGAGAAGGCAGGGAGAGCAUCCAGGGCCUUGGGAGGGGAGAGUGUUUAAAGCUGCGAGCUCCUCAGCCUCAGGACUCCCUGUAGCCCUUCCCCCGGCUGUAUGGCUACAAAGGUCUUUGGCCCAAGGCUCAAUCAUUUCCCAGUGAUGGUCCUUUUGAGAACAAGUGCUCCUCCUCAGUUAGUCUGAAGGGGUCCGAUGGUGGAGCAGGAUGGGAAUAUUUAGUGAAAAUACCGGCACAUCUAGGUCAGGCACGGGGGUGAUUUCUUCGUAAUUAAUCACAACAGCUGUGAUCUACGGAUUUCUCACUGUGUGUCCGUCACCGUGCAAAGUACUUGGUAUGGAUUAUCUCCGUGUCUCCCAAGAAACACUCUGAAGUAGGUUUUAUUGUCUCUGUUUCACAGAUGUGGAAACCCUAUUCAGAGAGAUUAUCACACAAUAUAUAAAAGUUAGAGCUGGGCUUCAACCUGGCCUGUCUGAAUCCCGAAAUGGAGCUGCUAACCCCGUUCCAGAAAAGUGAUGGUGCUAUGAAGGGCUCUCUUCUGCUGUUUCUGGCUGUUGUUUUCUCUCUCCUGAGGAAUACCAGGUCUGCUUCCAUUCUUGGCUGAAGCCUGAGUAAGAGCGGUGCAGAAACCCUUGGAAGGUCUCUUUCUUUGCCUAGACAGGCAUGCCUGCUGAGUCCUCAGUUCACACGGGAGGUUUGCUCAGCUGCUUUUUGCCCACCCCUGUCCUACGCGCCUGUCUUGCUUAUCCUCGUCUUCCUGAAUACGUUUGGCCCAAAACCAUUGGUGUCUGGGAGGGAAACCCUGCUUUACUGGAACGCCUGUGGUGUGCUAUGGCUAACGGCAAUUCCAGGUUCUUCUGUCAUUCUGCUAAUACGUUUUACUACCCAGAGCUAAUGUAGGCCUAAUUUAGUAUUUUUAAACAUUAAAUGAUCAUUGGCGUGCAUUAAAGUUGUAGUUGUUUUUAUAGACAGCCAUUUUCUCUCCAUACCAUUAUACAUUGGACUUGAACAAGAGGAAAGGGGUGAUUUUGAAAUUGAAGGGUUUCUGGACACAUCCUAGAAUUUAAAAUAAAUAAAACCAUGAUGUGAUCUGGUUUUGUUCUCAAUUACUCUUUAGACUAUAAGUUGAACCUCCACCUCAAUUCUCAUUAAGACUAUCCUGUGUGGGCCCGUGUAUACAAACUCCAUCUUAUAAUCAUACCGUGCAACCAUCUCCAGUUUCAUUAGGAUAUUGCUUAUUACAAGUUUUCACCACUACUGGUAUUUUGAAGGAGCCUUCUAUUACAUGAAUGCUCUAUCUACCUUAAUAUAGCUUUAAACUAGAGCAGACUUUUUUCCCCCAAAUGACAUCAGAAUAAGAUCUGGAUUAGUUGUAAAGUGGGCAUUGAGAACCCAUGAAAUGGUCCCUUCUUCCUAGAAUCACACCCUUCUCUUGGGACUGUUCAUGGGACAAAUGCCAAUUUCAGCUUAGGAAUUCCUUCUUUGGAGGCCUUUUGUCACAUCUUGUGUGGUGGAAGUGUCCUACCUCACCCUUUUCUAUAACACCUUUCUGCCUUUCUCAUAACAAGUUCACCCUCAUCAUGUAAAAGGCUUGCUUAAGGUUCUUUUGAUUUUUUUUAAUUUUAAAAAGAAUUUGAGUAUAGUUGACACACAAGGUCACACUAGUUUCAGGUGUACAACUUCAUGAUUUAUAUCACCAUCAUUUAGUAGGUGAUCAAUAAAUAUUUCUGUUGAGUGAGUGAAUGAAGGAAUAGGCUUUUACAAAAUCUCAGGGCAGAUAAGGCAAGUUUGCUGGUAACUCAGUGUCCGGCAGAUUAUGGGCAGUUCUGUGAGCUACAUGCACCAUGGAAUCAAGGUCUCUGUGAGUGUGAGAUCACGUCUUCUUGGGGUCCACAGAGUGAUUUCCUGGGGCAUUUAAUAUUUCUGCUGGGGCUUGAGGAAUAGAUCCUCUGUGGCUAGGUGCAGAUUGACAGAUCAAGAAUACCAGGAUGAAGGGAUGAUAAAAUUGCAAGGUCUAGUAAAUCUAAAACCACGAUGCAUAUUCAAGAAGAGGAUGUGAGUGGAAGAUAGAGAUUCAUGUGAGAAAAGUAAGAGAUUAAUCCAUUUUGGUGACACAUUUUGAAGGGUCUUAAAUGUCUGACCAAGGAGUUAUACUUAAUUUUGAAGGCAGGUGGAAAACAAAUGUAGGUUUUUGAGCCAAAGAAUGAUAAGAUUGAAAAAGUGCCAUGAGAUUAAUAUGACCAUAGUAGGUAGUAUAUCUAAGGAUAAUAAGAAGUUAAAUGGGCAGAAAAAUCUCCUAACAGUCUAUUUUAACAUUGUAGGUUCAAGGUAAGGAGACAUAAAUUGGGAGCGGGUGGAGUGGAGACAGAAUGCUGGAGGUGACAAAGACAUUUUUCUUAAGAGUUGGCAGACCAUCUGUGCACACAAGACUUAAUUAAACUAUCAAAGGAACUCAUUUGCUUCCCUCUCUUGUACAUUUUAAAGACUUGCCUGAAAAGCAAAAUUGUGAAGUUCUUUUUCUUUUCCCUGUAGUGUAUUUAAAUACAAGCAAAGAAACCAACUCUCAACUUGAAAGCCAAUGCUGUUUGGAUUUUACCAAAACCAACCAGCAUCCUAGAGCAAAGAACUGAAGAAAUGCUAUUUUCCAAAAUCAACAAAGACUUCAAACUUAUAUUUUAGAGGGAAAUCUGAUGAUGAUUCACAGCCCUUAAAGUAACAUAGGAAGUUGCGAUGUGAAAGCUAACGGUUUCUUCCUGAUUUUUAAUGUGUCUUGCAGAAGUGGAGACACAUGGAAUUUAAGUAUAAGACAAACAAAAAGCAAUAGAAAGGGAGUGUUUUCAGAAAAAUCACCAAAAGGCAGACCAUUUGUAAUUAAAAAAAAAAAAACAAAACUGAUGGUUACCUUUUAAGUAACUGAUGGUUACCUUCAUUUAUAUGAAAGCACAACAGCUUCCAGAACAUGGUAGAGUCAGUACACGUUCUAGCCCUGUAGCUAUUGCCUAAAUCCAAAUCCUGUCUUUAAUCUCAAGGACUAAGUUGUAUACAAAUACUGCAUAUGCACAUCUGCUUUUGGGGAGCACAUUGACAAAGAUUUCACUAGUUGAUCCAAGGAGUCAUGGUGCCUAAAAAGGUUAAGAACUAUAGAGCCAAAGUAGUGAUUGUCAGAGCUAAGCUAAUCUCUUUGAUCUUUACCAGUCAAUGGUGCAGUGAGCAAAAUAAAGAUGGUGUGCUGUGUUUUCUUAUAAAUACAGAGGACUGUAUUUUACUCCUGAUUUUCAUUUAAAACAAAAAUGAUACAUUUUAAUGGACAUCUUAAGUUAUCUCCAAUUAAAAGGAGAUUUUUCCCUGUCUCUUUCUUUGCCUCUCUAAGAUCCACAGAGCUCAAGCGUGUUUGUUAAUACAGUGACUCACAAAUAGCAUGAUUGAGAUCAGUUACUUCAGCAAGAAUUUGGACUGAAAGUGUAGGAUUAUUUUCCAUAACAAAGGUUAAAAUCAAAGCCUUGCUUGAAUAAUGCUCAGUUAACCCUAAAUUAAAUCAAUUGGGAAACCCUAUUCUUUCAGACAGAGUUUGCAAACUAAUUAUAAUUGCUGGAGUAGCCUAGACUUCUCUUAAGAAGGCUGAUUCUUGCACCCUACUUGCAAGAGACUCUGACACAUUAGGUCAUAGAUGGAACUCAGGAAAGUGCACUUUUUAAUUAAGUGCUUCUCAGCUGGGUCUGAGGUCGGUGUCCUCGGAGAGCACCUUGAUCAUCACUAGAUGAGAAGGUAAAUGUAGUAUACCAGGUGAGAGAAGACAAACAUCCAGGUCUGUGUGCAGUUUGGUAAAAAUGUUCCAGCAGAAGGUAGACAACCCUGGUUGAAGGUCUGCUUCCACCAUUUCUUCCCUGAAUCCUUUUCCUGUUGUGACAUUGGCAGGUAUGUUAGUUUCCUGGAGCUGCCCUAAACUAAAUGGUUUUAAACAACAAACAUUUAUUUCCUCACAGUUCUGAAGACUGGAAGUCCAAAAUUAAGGUGUCAGCAGGGCAAGUCCCCCCUCUCAGACUUGCUAGAAUGCUUCUUUGUCUUUUCCUAGCUUCUGGUAGGGGCUAUCAAUCUUUGGCUUGUAGGGGCAGUCACUCCAUUCUCUGCCUCUGUCCCCCAUGGCAUUCUCCCUGUAUGCCUCUUUCCUCUUCCUAGAAGGACUUUGGUCAUAGUGAAUUAAGAGCUCAUUCUACUCCAGUGUGGCCUCCUUUUUACCAAGUUAAUUACAUCUACAACAAUCCUAUUGCCCAGUCAUUGGUCAUAAUCUGAGUUACUGCAGGUUAGGACUUCAACUUACCUUUUUUGCAAGACAUGACUUAACCCAUAAGAGAGGGAAAGAGGCCACAUGGCUAGAAUAAGUCAGGGACUCCCAAAUCAGAGUCCUAAAGUGAUCCAACAUGACUGUCUGGUCUCUUAACAAACAAGCUAAGGUCACAGGUGCCUUUAAACUGAGCUCCAGAUUCCGACUUAGUAAGUAUGAGAUUGUGCCUUUGAACCUGUUACUACUCUGCAGGAACCCCACCCGAAGCAUCUGCUUAAUGAUGUUUUACUGAACGCACUUGUGUAAGUGAUAAAUAAUGACUACAUAAAACUUAGGUAAUAGCCACAUAUAACUAUGUAUAGUAUCUCCACCUCACAUUGCUACCAUGUGUUCGUCUAUCUUGGCAGGAGCAGGGAAGCGGUGUUCACCGAUUAUGCUUGUUUAAUUGAUCAUUCCAUGCUUUUGAGGAAAAUUGAAGUUCCUCCUAAGAAUGAGCUUUCAUGAAAUUAAACCUAGUUUCAAUGUUUUUAUUUUUCCCCUAUCGUAAUUAUCAAGAGGAUAAUGAAAAUUGAGUCAUUCGCCCACAUUAUGACUGCUUUCAUUAGUAGUGGUAAAGGCUCUUCUUGAAGUGGAACCAAGAUAUAAAUAUGAGUUCAUCCGAACCUCUAAGGACUUCAGGAGGCCAUGCAUUUGAUCAAAAUGGCAUGCUUCACAAUUGUCCUUUCAAGAUAGAAUACAGAUAAAAUGCAGAGAAACUGAAGCCAAAAGCACUCUGCCACAGCCUCACUCAAUAACACAUAACAUUGCUAAUCCCUGGCUGUUGCAGAGUAAUUGCAGGCUUCUUCAUGGAACCAAUUUUCUGAUUUUGGAGACUAAGAUAAUUCAAAUUGCAUGUCCUUAAGUAUAAGAAGUGUAGUCUGCCAGUGGUUGCUUAUAGGAGCUGGAGGAAAGAAUUGGGCCUCCGUGUGUCUUACAAACUGUCGUUUUGUAUUGAGCUCUUUCUUCAGCAAGAGGAGUCAUGCCUAUCUAAGGAGUAACAAAUGUGUCUCGGGAUCACUGAGUUGCAUUGUCGAGUGGAAUUUAUAAUUUUAAUUAUGCAGUUUGCUCUUUCAAAUGACACAUUUUGAAAAAAACAAAUGUGGUUUAUUCUUGAAUAAUUUGUAGUCAGUUCAUAGUUUCCUUUGAGUAUUUUUAGUUACAUUUAUGUUCCAAUGGGACUUUUUCUUCUGUAGUGCCAUUGUUACUGAUCUGCAUUUAGUUUGCAAAAUCCCCUCUGGUAUAUCUGCCUCCCUGGUAAUGCUGCCUAUCAAGUGAGGUACCGAUUUUUGAUGAUUCCUCACGUAAGUCUGGUACAUAAAAUGUUUUGCCCCAAUUAUUAUUUCUUAGAAAGUGUUUUUUAGUGUGAAUUAGCCAAAUAUUUCCAUCAGUUUCGAUAUGCCUUGUGGACAUCUAGAUUUAGGGAAGAGUGUGACUGAAUGCAAAUGCUGUCUGUGAACUUUGCUCCAGGCCAGGUUGGAGAUAAAAUUAGACAAAAGCUAUCUCUAUGGAUAAUAUCUUUUUGGUUUCAUCUAGUCUCCACUGAGACUGAAACCUUGAUUUCCAGAUUCUUAGCAAAGGGUUGCAUUCUCUUGAUGGAUCUACUAUUCUUUGUGUCUCUGGGUAAAAAGUUAUCAAAGAGAAGCAGAAAAAUCCAAGCUGAAAUCACACUCCAAAUAGUCCAAAGAGUAUCUAUGACAUUCCACAUAAAUAUUCAGACCUUUGUUGGAAAACAGCUUUAAGCAAAGAGUGGUGUGUAUAGUUAAGUCUCCACGUUUAGUAGCUGGUCAUCACCACAUCUUUGGGUCUCUUUCCCUGGGCCACAGCCCAUCUUCAUUGUUAGGCUUCGGUAUUUUCAUCUGUAUUAAUGAAUUAAUUCUUAGAUAUUUUUCAAACAUUUACUGCUUGCAUUCACUUGGAUUAAAUAAUUUAAGAGAAACUCUGAGCUUAAUGGAGAAGAUUGAUCUAUGGGGAAAAAAUUUCCAACGUUGGAACGGACAUGGACGUGAUAAAUGAUAUGAUGUCCUACAAGAGCCAAACGUAGUAAGAAUGUGUAAGGAAAAACAUAAUGAGAAAUCCACAGGUAGGAAGAUGCUCCUGGUGAAAUGGACAAUCAUGUGGAUAAAGAAGUACUCCUGAUCUUUAUGAUAGUCAUUUGCCAUAUGUUUAAGUAAGCAUUUCUAUGUACUGGGCAUUGUGUUAGCGAUGACUAGAACGUGGCUUUUGCCCUAAAGACUCACAGGUGGAAGGGAAGACAGCCAAGUGAAGGAAGAAGCAUGGCACUGGGGAAAGGCUGCCUCAGAGAAUUGGCAGCUGUGUUAUGGAGCAGAGAGGAAGGGGCACCUGAGAAGUAAAUACUAGGAGGUUCUCUGGCUUGCAAAGCCCACUCAAACGAGCUCAAGUAAAGUGGGGUCAUUGAGAAACAUCAGGAAUUCUCACAGAAACAAAAUGCAGGGAGUAUCUGGUCUCAAUAGAACUGGGCAUCAGGCAGGCACUCCGUAUGUCUGUCUGUCUCUAAGUGAUCUGGUUUUGUUUUGCUUCUUUCUAUAUAUGCUUUGUCUAAUACGGAGUCACGGGUAUUUUACUGAACGAUGUUUUUUUUUCAAUAGAUCUUCUUCUUCCUUGUUUAAUUAAAUUGCCUGAGUCAUCUUUAAGGUAGCAUUUUAUGGUUAACAAAUUGGAAAUCAUUGUAAUUUCCAAUUGACUCUUGUCUGGAGAGUCUUGUAAUUGAGAAAAUACUCUUUACAGUUGCUGAAGUACCUACUAAGUUUGGAGCAAAUUCUGCUGGAGCCUAUUUUUAAUUCUAACCUUUAGUAUUUAACUCUGUAAUUAUUUCAGCCAGAAUAUUUGCACACUUUAUUUACAAUGUUAAAAUUUUAAACUGAGUUUACACUGGUCAUCCACGAUAAUGUCAGAUGUUUCACCUUCAAAAGAAUCAAUUUCCAAAAAUGUACUUUGAUUCUAUGAAUUGGAUGAUGCAAACCAGAUUAUUGUUGGAACUAGCAUUAUUUUGCACAUGAAGCAUCUACUGAUACUGACAUAAAAUUUGCAUCAUUUAACUUUGUGGGAAGUUCUGCUAAUGGAGCCAAAAUAUUGACUGUCACUGCUUCCCGUUUUGUAUAUGCAUACUACAACUUGAAACUGAGAAUAAGGAAAAUUAAUUCAGCAAAGCAUUGACUGAUCUAAAUGAAAAGUGCUGGUUCAUGGACUGAUUCGAAAAUUCACCUUUCAUAGCUACAGAUGUUAAAUUGUUCAUUUUAGGCACAGUCUUCCUAAAAUAACUUCUAACUUUUGACAGCACUUGUUGAUCCUUCUUCCACAGAUCAUGUCUUGUGGAUUUCAUGUGGUCAUAAAAGUUUUGGUAAGUGGUGAGGCCAGAAGCUAGAUGACAAUUAAGGAGGUGCUAAUUUUGAAGGGAGUGGCCCAGUUGAUUCAAAAGUGGAGUGUUGGACUUUUAUUUUUAAUAAUGUAAUUUUUAGAAUAAUGCAAUGUCCAAUUCAGUCUCCUCCAUGAAAAUAACCUCACUGUAACUGAAAAAGUGCACCAUAUUGAGGUAAAGACAUACAAUAACAAAUAGAAUUAUAAUUCUGCCAUGACGCAAGGAUACGGCCAGCCUACAAUGUACCGAGCAGACAAACAAAGUCACACUUGGGCAGCGGCACGUUCUGGUUUCUGAGUUUCAGUUCUGAGUCUUAGGCUGGCAUAGUGCUAAAACUCUCACUCCUCCAUGUUCCUUCUCCAGGGCCGGGAUUUCUGCUCCCUCUGCUGCCCCAGGUGGUUCAGGCAAAAUGUGAUGGGAGGACAUUGACAACUAGCAUUGGGGAGCCAGAUGAGGAGGGCAGCAGCUCUUCCUGGAAGAGUGAAGAGUUUACUCUUCAAGUCAGCAAAGUUAAAUUUUCUUGUGCUCCUCAUUAACAUGGUGACUUGGGGAAAUCCUUUGGUCUCUCGAGAUCUCAGUUCUCUCGUUUAUAAAAUGAAGAAUUGGCACAAUGGCCCCUCUAACUUUGUAAUUUGGAGACCCCAGGUUCUGUAAUUCAAGGCAGAACUCUUCCCAUCCCUCUCUUCUCCUCCCCUACCCUGCCCUUCCCCCUUGCUCUUUCCUCUCCUUGCCCUCCCUCCCUCCCUUCCUCUUUCUUUCUUUCUUUCUUUCUUUCUUUCUUUCUUUCUUUCUUUCUUUCUUUCUUUCUUUCUUUCUUUCUUUCUUCUUUCUUCUUUCUUUCUUUCUUUCUUUCUUUCUUUCUUUCUUUCUUUCUUUCUUUCUUUCUUUCGUGUGUACUUAUUACUGAAUUUACAAUCUAUUUGUUUUGACCUUUGAAUAUAAGGCAAUUCCUUGAGGUAAAAGAAAGUUUUCUAAGAUUUUUCAGGUAGAACCUUAGCAUUUGACACAGGGCUUCUGAAAGACAAUUACAGGAAACUGUGAUGCAGAACCCCAAGUGGGAUGUCAAAUCCAAGGAUUAGACUCAAAUCCCCUGAGCAUCCCAUCUCCUAUCUUUAGUGAUCCAGUCAAGACAUAGAGCGUUUCCUCUGUUUCGUAGUUGGAGUUAAAUUCUGCUGGAGACUAGACUGUAUGUUUUUAUUUAUUUUUUAAAUCCAGAAUGCUCUUUGUCAUUUGACAGUGCAACAUACUAAACUAUUUAAAAUACUUUGUGAGUGAAAUCACAAGUCUGAGAUGUGGUGUGUGUUGCUAGAGCACGUGAAGGGCAGGACUUGGGCUGGGCAGUCUCCUUCAUCUUACCUCCUUUCUUAAUCCGAGGCAUGCUUUUCUUCUCUCUCUCUCAAACCCUAGUAAUUAUCGUAGACAUAAAGCAGAUUUCAAUGCAUAGACAGUUCAUUCAGAUUGGUGGGUUGGAUUAUGUCAAAAAAUUAUUUGGGCAAUUUUUAUCUGGUUUAAGUGGGUUAAAAGAAUGAUGGCACCCAGAGCUGCGCGGCUGCCCUCUCCUCUGAUUUUGUAUUCUGCCACAUCUCUGUGAUCUGUCCAAUUCUCCGUGAUCCAAAGAAGCAUUGCAUUGAAUUUCCAUCAAUUCAUACUUCUUUUCCUUCUUCAAAACUUCACAUUGUUUUGAGGUGAACCCAGAGAUACAUAUUGAUGAUCCCAGUGUUAGAGACCAAGUACUGUAACGACCACAUUUAAGCUCACGUACACAGAACAGUGAGCUCACAAGGGCAGGGAUUUCUCUUUGUUUACUGUUACAUUCCUUUCACCUUCAACAGUGCAUGGUGCAAAAGGGUGAGGGUGACCCCUGCUCACUUGCGGAUGAGAAUCUUGCCUGUUUUGUACCGCUCUGCACUGCAGCCCCUGGAACAAUGUCUGCCUCUCAUUUGUUGAGCGAGUGAAUGAACUUAAGAAUUUGAUCCUUUCUGUUACAGAGUUUACAGUCUGGUUGGGAAGGCAGAUUGGCAAAAUUGUACAGAGCAGUAAUUAUCUGGGUUCACAAAGGAAAAUUAUCUCAGGACAGUUGUAUUUUAAUUGUCCAAUUAAUGACAUAAGUAGUUGUCCUCAAUAUUCGAAGUAGGAAAGUAAUAUAAACAAGAAUCGGCCCCCAGCAGACUUUGGCAUCCUUGGAUUUUUAUUUGUUUGUUUGGUUGUUUAAAUAAAUCUUUGAGUGUCUCUAUGUUCCAGGCAGACUAUCAGGUGCUGGAAAGUCAAAAGUGAAUAAGAUAGAUGCAGGUCUUGCCCAAAUUAAACUCAUAACUGAAUGGGGAAAACAGUCAAAAAACAAUAAUUAAAAAUGUUAUUUUCUGCGGGCACCCGGGUGGCUCUGUCGGUUAAGUAUCCGACUGUUGAUUUUGGCUCAGGUUGUGAUCUCAAGGUUAUGGGAUCGAGCCCCACAUCAGGCACUGUGUUCAGCACAGAGUCUGCCUGAGAUUCUCCCUCCCUCUCUCUCUGCCCCUUCCCUCUCUCUCAUGUGCUCUCCAAAUAAAUAAAUAAAUAAAUCUUUAAAAAAUGUUAUUUUCUGAAAAAAAGACAUAUUGAGUUACAGAAUAACAGAGAAGGCUACUCUAAAGGGGAUGAACUACAAAAAUGGAACAUUUAAGCUGAACUUGGAGGAUGAGAAGGAACCAGCUCUGUGAAGAGCAUUCCAGGCAGAGGAAAGUGUAUGUACAAAGGCCCUGGGGCCCAAAAGCAGUAUGGAACUCAGUCGCCAAGAGAACUGUUCCAGACAGUGGUGAACAAAGAGUCAGGUACUGAAAGGUUUAGCUCAAGGGGACAUGGUACACCAGUGUACCAUGAGGCACAACACUCAUUCUUGCUCAGAUGUGGAGAAUGGAUUGUGGUGCCCAAGAAUGGAAGGAGGGAUUUGCUUUAAUAGUUCACCCAAAAAAUGAUGGCCAACUUGCUCCUGAAGUAGCAGCAGUGAAGAACACAAGGUAUGGCAGGAUGUGAGGUAGAAUGAAAGAAUUUGCUGUUGGAAAAAAAUGGGGGAGUGUUAAGGGGAAAGCAGGAAAGAUGCAGUACUCCUAGGUUUCUGAUUUAAACAGUGGGUAGACAGGGGUUCUCUUGACUGAGGGGGUAAUACCAGUGCAAAUCUGGGGUGAGAAGAAAGCAUGGAUUUAGUGGUGGACAGGUUAAGUGUGAGAUGUCUGCUGGACAAACUCAGAGUUGUCAGAUAGCAGGAGGGAACCAGGUGUGUGUGUAUGGAUCUCAGAAAAAAAGUCUGAGCUCAUGACAUAAAUGUGAGAACCCUCAACAUGUUGAGGGCACAGUGAUGGCAAACUAGCUGGACAUAUUAAAAUUCACGCCUUCAGUUUACAUAACAUGUAUCCGGAGCAGUGAACUACUGCAAAUGCUUUUUCACCCCCCAUUAUUUUACCCACCCUGACUUUCUCAGCCUGGUCCUGUACUUUUUGUACUUGCCACAGGACCCUUGUCCACACAUUUGCCCUCCUUGAUCAUGACUCCAUUUUUUAUUCUCUUUUACACCUGCUCUACGUUACCCUGUCAUCUCUCACUUCUCCACUGCAGCCCAUAGGCCUUCCAACCUCCUAAGCUGGUGCCUCCACCAGCUGCUUCUCAACCUUUGGACCCUCCCGGUGUGCUGUAUACAGCGAUCCACAAAUUGUAGUGCCCUGGUGGUAUUUGUUAAAUAAUGACAAUAUUCUUAAGUUCUGUGAGUCUUUUAAUGUGAGGCUCUUUUUCCAAUAUCAUGAGAUGUCCUACCUACUUCACUAAAAAUGAGGCUCAAGUCCUACAAAGGAAGAAGAAUAAAGGGGGAGAAUUUUUGGUUAUAGGGCAUUUGUAGAUCAGGUUGAAUUGGUAUGUGAAUCAGGCAUGAAAUUUGUUUUCUUGAGUCAUCUUACCAAAUUUUUCAAAUAAUGCUAUGAAUUAGAAACAUUUUAUCCACCAUGAAGACAAGAUACUAGAUGAUAAAGCUUCUCUAUAGCAUUUGAACUCCCUCUCAGCACCAUGAAUACCCAUGGAAGUACAUUAUUUGAUACAUUAUAAAGUCUUCAUCUGUAGUUACUGAUUAAUGAAAUUUGUUCUAUAAAUAUAUCCAAAGGUUUUGAGAAGCAUCAUUGCACGAUACUGCAUGUGACUACUCAAUUUUAACUGGUCAUACCCUCAUUCUUACAUGUCUGUUGUUUGCUUAUCCACAUCCUUGCUUCCUUCUUGGGUUGGACGCAGAGGUUCUGAGGUCUCAUUUUUCUCCCAAAUUACCAUCCUAAUCUGAUGAGUGUCUAAAAAAAAAAAAAAAGUCAAUUUACAAUAAUAGUUCUGUAUCAACUGUAGGCAUGUUCAGUUAUAGAUGACAGAUACUCAAGUGUUGAUUCCUGAAAGUAAAAUCUGCUAAUAAUCCAGUUCAAAUAUUUUGCCUAUUCACAGAUCUGGAAAAGAACAGUGUAUGCAAAUUAUGCAAAUAUUUUUAAUAUUCUUUACUACCUGCAUAAAAUGAGAAUGAAUUCCUCCUUGAGAUAUACAUUUAGUAUUUGAACAGGGAUUUCAUCUGUUAGUUGAUAUUUUGCUAAAUUUACAAAAGCAAAUAUCAUGAUAGUUUUUUCUAGACUACCUGGAUCACUCUAUGCACAUAUAUCAUUAUAGGUAUCUCUCAUUUUUAAUAAAGAAAUUUUAUAGUGUGUUUGAAAAGUCUAAAGGAUAAAGAUCUAAUUUUUUUUAAACUAAACAUAUUUAGAAUAAACACAUUAUAUGCUUGUUGGUGACAGCUACUCUGUGCAGGGAGAUUGUUGGUGGCUCCAUAGCUGUACAAAGACAUCCAAGAUAAAAGAAAGAUGACAAGGUCUUUGCAUUUGUCAGGUUGAAGCCAGGAGCUUCACGAGGAAUAUGAAGACUCUUUGGAAUUCCUCAAAUUCUUUGGAGUCAGAAGAGACAUAGAGUCCCAGAAGGCUGCAUGCAAUGUGACAGUGGAGUCCCACAGAAUGUUGUCACAAAGAACUAAGCAAUCAUGAGAAGAAGGUCUGACCCAUGGCUUUCUAGAGUCUUCCACAUGAAAAGCUGCUGAUUGGAUCUGUUAGAAAUGAUUGCCUCCUCAAAACCCCCUUUCCCAGGACAAUAAUGUAGUGUGAGUCAAAAGGUAAACACAAUCCAAUUUACAGAAAUAAGUUUUAUUGCUCAUUUGCUAGAUCCACACCAUGAACUAUGGAAAGUGCGUGUGUAACAGGUAGAAUGGGUUCAUCUGUCCACCAUGAAGUGCUGUGGGCAUCCAACCUUCUUUAGAGCAAAUUUUUUUUUUUUUUUUUGGCCACAUGCCUACCUUUGGAUAUUGAUUUCUUCUCAUACUAUUUUUACCGCAUGUCUUCCCCUUCUCAAAGGACUAUCCUACACUUUUCCUGCCAAUACAGAAUUUCCAGGGGAGAAAUAAGGGUCUGCCUUGCUCUUUAAGUGCUGUAUUAAAAUAUUCACCUUUCAACUACGUUCAACAAAUAUGUAUUGAGCCCCUACUUUGAAAUUUCUGCACAGGACAAGAGUCUAAAGUACAGAUUAGUGGGAUGUUUUCUGUCUGAGUUGGACCGAGUCCGGUCAAUUAGUAUGCCAGAAGCCACUUCAAGUUUUCUCGAAGCACCUCUGUGCAUGCCACUCUUCCUGGGAGAUCCUGCUCUGCCCACUGUGGGAAUGUACAGGUACCCAGGAGUGGUGCCGGGGAUUUCUUCCAUAUGUGUCUCCAGCCUUCCCCCAUCCACCCUGUGUCCUUCCUCUUCUUCCAGCUCCUCUUGCCUUCCCCUUUAUUUUCUGUCUCACCUCUAUAACAGCAUCUGUCUUCUUGCUUUGUACUACUUCAUCUUGCUCUCUUCCUAAAUGGGCCCACAACCAUUUUUAUUUGUAUUUUUAAGCCAAGCUUUGAGUGUGCAUUUCCUGCAAGACCUGAAAUGCUUUUCUGCUUCCAGUUUCUCUCUCCAUUUUAGAUCUCUUUGUGCCCAGGGGUUGGGCUAGUGUCUGAUCGGGGAUGGUACGUGGCUACCCUGGUCUCUGUUGAAAAGAAUAGAGAUCUGACAUCUGAAGACCAGUCACAGCCACCUUGCCCGAUAUUGCCCACUUGCUGUGGUGGUCUUACAAGCAGCCCCAUCCCUGGAGAUGAAGAAAGUCAGGCCUGUCGCCUGGUUCCCAUCUCAGCUAGUGGAACAGAGGUACAAACCUGCAAAAUAAGAAGUUUGUUUCCAAAUGAAAACCAGAUGUGCCGAAUCCCAGUGUAGUGCUCGGUCCACUCUCAGCCCUGUGUCUUAGCAGAUACGGAGGGGUACCCUUCCCUCAUGUGCCCUGCUCAUCAACUCCAGCAUUCCAUUACCUAAAAAACCAGUACUCCAAAUAAACUUUCAGUUACUGGAGCUAGAAAUUGCAAUCGCUGGCAUUCAGGGAGCCGAACUGACAGUUGCUGGUGCCCAAAUACCAUGUUGCCUGACAUCUCAAUGCUGAGGAAUUCUCUUUGCCAGUUAAUUUUUGCUUCAGGGAAUGAACAAUUGCUUAUCAGAUUCCCUGACCAUUUGUAUAAAUCUCUGAGACAUUAUUCUCAGAAGAGUCCAUUUUCUUCCUCUUUCACAUAAAGCAACCCGAGCCAGUAAUCUGAUAUGCUUUUGUUUUCAGUUCUAUUCUCAUGAAUUCUCCAAGUUACGUCUUUUUCUUUGGGGUUUAAUUUGUUGUCCAACCAGAAGGGCACUUUAAGUAAAAUCUAUGGAAUUUUAAAAUGUCCAGGGCUUGUGACUGGAAUAUUUGAAUAUAGUUAAACUUACAGCAAUAAACUUAUGUGUUAUAGGGCAUGGGGCAAGGGAUCAAGGUUGUGGGUUGUCCCAGGAAACGUUUGUCACAUAGUUGGUCAUCGACUCAAAUGACAGGUGUUCUGGAACCAUACUUGUAUGGCAUCGGUGGGUCUCUGGACAUGGUUAGUUCCUUGUUAGUGAAUGAAUCUGAUCAAGAAUGUGUUCGAAAUGCAGUCCCCAUUCUUGCUUUCUGUAAGAUGAAGUCUCUGGGGACACCUAAGACUUAGGCCUGCCCACAAGGAGCUUACAGUCCAUUUGGGAAGUUAAGACAUGAUGUUGUGAUCCGAAAGCCAUCAUUAACAUUUCAGACUCUGUCAGCUCUACCUUCAGAACAUUAUCUGGUCAUUGCCACCUGCUCUAAGCCCCCUCCCCUUAUUUCCCAUCCCAGUUGUUGUCUUAUCUCCCAUAUGGCAUCCCUGCACUUCCACUGCUGCCCUCUUCAGCCUGUUCUCAAUAUUAUAAUCAGGGUGAUCUGGUCAUGUCAGUCCUCUUUUGAGUACCCCUUGGGCCCCCCCCCCCAGUCUGCUCAGCAUAGAGCUAGUAUCCUUGCAACACAGACUAUACCCUACACACAGUCCAGCCACAUGCACUCUCAGUGACUCUCUGCUCCCAGCGUUCUUGCACACCAUGCUCCAUCUGUGCUCACCUCCUUGCUUCUCCUGGAGAACACGAGGAAUUGCUACCACAGGGCCUUUGCACUUACUGGUCUCUCUGCUUGGAAACCUUUUUCCCUCAGAUGGUUCACUUUCUUCCAUAUUCAGGUUUUCACUCAGAGUGAGGUCUUCUUAGGCCACAUUCUGUUAAAUUGGACUCACACACGCAUAUGCACACACACACAAACACACUUUCUGGCUUUCCUCUUUUCUUUCCAUAUAGAUAUCGUGUGAAAUUCUAAUAUUUUGUGUAUUGUCUAUCUUUUCCCCAGUAGGAAGUAAGUUCCAUGAAGGCAGGGUUUUUUUUUUUUUUUCCAGUUUUCCAUCUUAGUAUGUGGAACGAUACCUGACACACAGUAGAUAACCAAUAAAAACUUACUGAAUGAUUAUGUUAUUGCUCCAAACAUGAAGUGGCAUGUUAGUUUCCUAGGGCUGCUGUAACACAAAUUUCAGGUGUCUGCAGAACCAUGCUCUUCUGAAAUUCUAGAAGGGAAUCCUGGCUUGCCUCUUUCAGCGUCUGGUUCUGGCUUGUAGUAUUCAGUCUCUGCCCACAUCAUCACAUGGCAAGCUCUCCGCAUGUGUCGGUGACCUCACAUGGUACUCUCCUUUCUGUGGGGGUCUGUGGCCUCAUAGGUGGACACAAGUCACCUUGGAGUAAGGGUCCACCUUACCCUGGUGUGACCCCAUCUUAAUUUAAUGAAUUACAUCUGCAACAAUUUUCAAAUAAAGUCACACUCUGAGAUACCGGAAAUCAAGACUUAAGUAUAUCUUUCUGGGGGACAGCUAAAUCCAUAAGAGCCAGUAAAGGGCUGAAUUAAUUAGAGAUGAAGGAAAUGGGGACAUGGAAAACAAAUGGCUGGCAUGAGAUUUGAAGGAAGAGCACACAGGGAUCCCCAUAAUAUGUGCCUCUGGAGUGUGAGGAGAUAGAAGCUGGGGAUGGAAAAGCAUCUCAAUCCCAGCAUGGGUAGAUGGGAAGGUUGGAAGCCAAGUCCAUGUCCCCUAGUAGUGCUAGCAUCCUAGGUCCAGUCUUCUCCUCCGUAAGCUGCCCCACAUCCCAGAGGCAGCCAAUGCCUAGGGCAGGUUAUGUGUCUCCUGGAACUCUUACCAAGACACAAGUGAAUCAAAGACUGUCUUUCUGCUUUCAAGAAACAGAUUGUUGAAGAGCUAGUGGAAAGUGGGGGAGGAGGUGAGUGCUAAUUUUCAUCAUGUCAAAUAACAAAUUGGUUGCACAUUUUAAAUUCUCCCACUUUCUUCACAUCACCAAGAAUUCCUAUUGAAACUUUCAUUUAUGAUUCAUGUUCCUAUGAGAAAUACUAUGUAUAUCAUCACAUAACCUGUGACCCAUCUAAUUUGUAAGAUUUGCUCCUACCUAUACCCCUUGCUGCAUCCCGGCACAUGUUUCUUUUUAUGCUUUUCUUUUAACCCUUAUCAAGUACAGCCAUUACUUACAGCCUUUUCUGCCAUCCUCUUUCCUAGGUCCAGCUUGUCCAUCUUCAAAUGCAAGUUAACCCCUAACCUUUUGGUGGCAUUCAUUAUUUCCUACCCUGCCUUUUAGGUGUACGUGAAUGAAGUUUUUGUCUCUUCUAAAUUAGGAUGCUAAACAUGCCAAGAGUAUGAUUCUUUUGUUAACACUUUUCAGGAAACUGUAGAUAUAAAUUCUGAUUUAAUUUUUGUUGUUCUGAACAAAAAAAAAUGUGAAGUUUCAAAUGUAAGAAUAUGAUAUCCCUCAGUUGUUUUCUGAGACAGCAAUACACGACAAUGAAAAGGGGUUAAGAUUCAGAGAAGGGUUUGAGAAAGAAGAAUUAAGAAAUGUGGAGAAAGUUUGGUGGACAUUUAAAAGUCUAUAUUAUAGUAUACUUGGCCAUCUUUGGUUUUGUUUUUCAAGCAUCUAUGCUCUUUUUUUGGAAAAUAAAUUAUUUUACGUAUGUGGUAGACCAAAUAAUGUCCCUCCAAAGAUAGCCCCAUCCUAAUUCCUGGAACCUAUGAAUAUAGUAGAUUACAUGGGAAAAGGGACUUUGCAGGGAUGAUUAAGCUAAGGAUUUUGAGAUAGGGAGAUUAUUCUGAAUUAUCUGGCUUUGUCCAAUGUAGUAACAAGGGCUCUUACUAAGAGAGAGGAAAGAAGGUUUUGUAAUGACAAAAAACAGAGAGCAAAACAAAGACAUCAUGACAACAGAGCAUUGAGAGAUUCAAUUGCUGGCAUUGACUAUGGAGGAUAGGGCCACAAGCCAAAGGAUGCAGGUAGCUUCUGGAAGCUAGAAAAAAGCAAGGAAAUGAAAUCUUCCCUGGAGCCUGUAGACGGAAUGCAGACCUACUGACACCUUGAUUUUAGAACUUAUGACCUUCAAAACUGUAAGAUAAUAAAUUUCUGUUGUUUUAAGUCAACUAAUUUGUGGUAAUUUAUUACAAUGGCAAAAGGAAACUAACACACAUAUUUUAAGGGAGAGAAAUUAAGACCCUGACAAUUAAAAGCAGAGACUAGGGCUUGGCAAUCUUUUCUGUAAAGGACCAGAUAGUAAAUAUUUUAGGCUGUGUGGGCCAUAUGGUCUCUGUCAUGACUACUCAACUCUGUCAUGUAGCAUGAAAAUAGCCAGAGGCAAUAUGUAAAUAAAUGGAUAUGGCUGUGUUCCAAUAAAACUUUAUUUACAAAAAUAAGCAAUAGCCUGGAUUUGGCCCAUGGGCUGCAGCUUGCAGAUACAUGGUAUAAACCUAUGUCUCAUCAUUAUUUAUUCUUUUAAUUUAUAUUUUGUCAUAUUCUGGAAUCUAUUCCUAUUUAAGUGUGCCACAUGACCCACUGAACUAACUAUAGAACAGUCAUCGAUGGUCUGUAGUUUGUUCUCCCACCAGUAACAUUAAGAUGUUUAAUCUGUAAAAAUCAAGUUCAUUAAGACUCUAUAGUUAUCUUUAUUUUUUUUAAAAAGAUUUUAUUUAUUUGACAGAGAGAGACACAGCGAGAGAGAGAACACAAGCAGAGGGAGUGGGAGAGGGAGAAGCAGGCUUCCCGCCAAUCAGGGAGCCCAAUGCGGGGCUCCAUCCCAGGACCCUGGGAUCAUGACCUGAGCCGAAGGCAGACGCUUAAGGACUGAGCCACCCAGGUGCCCCUCUAUAGUUAUCUUUAAUUCCUCAGUAUUUGCCCACUGGAAAAGUUGUGUUUUGGCAGUGUAAAUAGUAGUGCUAAAUUACUCUGGCUUGAUUUGCGCAAGUGAGAAGAUCAUACUGUAUUUUCACGAAGCAGCCAGCAUUUCUAAUGCUGAGAAUAUGCACAUCUCAUAAAAAUGUAUUUCAUCAAGCACUGUCUACAGAGGAUUAAACUAAACUGUAAAACCAUGUUUUUGUGUACAGCUUUCAAGAUUGCUAAUGCUCUUUUGUUUAUCAUUUCUCCAUGGGACAUCUCUCUUGAGGCAAAUGUUCUCUCAGCAGAGAACUGUACAGACGGUGUGAUUUUUAGCCAAAGAAAUUGCUGCAUACAAGGAUUCUUAUUAGGCUCAUGUCAUACAUGAGUACUUUGUGCUUGUGUGAACCUGACCCCAAACAUCUGUAUAUAUGUGGCAAGUUAAAACAGCCUGCUAAUACCUGGCUUGCCAGAUACGGUUUUGUCCGCAUCAUGUUUAUAUUAGGAUUAUGUGACAUUGACCCCCUUCCUGUGUCUAUUGGCUUCUUUCUCCCUUCCUCCUUGCCUGUCAUGCUGACUCCAGCCUGACCAGCUUAGAUCCAAUCCUGCCCACUCCCAGGUCAGUCCUGAAUCACGAUUACUUCCUCUACAACUUCUCUUAAUAUCCUUCUGGUCUGUAUGUUGGUUAGUUCAUUAAUGUCACAUGAAGUUUUACUGUUUACAUGAUUUUUGCAUUCAUCCUGUGAAAUUAUAGAUGCUCAUAUUCAGAAACUAGCUUAUAAUUUGUUUACAGUUCAUAAUGCAUAAGUAUAUUUAAUAAAUAUUUUCUGGCUUAUUUAAUUGCUAGAUUCUAUUACUUAAUUUGAGCCUUCUUUGGAUUUUUAUUUAAAAACUUUAUUUUUUUAAGAAUAUUUUUAGGUUUACCACAUUGAGGCAGGUGUAGAGAUUUCUCAUAUCCCUCCCCCCCCCACACACAUUUAUAGCCCUCCCCCCCGCCCAUUAUCAACAUCAUUCACCAGAAUGGUACAUUUUUUACCUGGGAUGAACCUACAUUGAACCCAAAGCUCAUAGUUUACUUUAGGGUUCCCUUUGGGUAUUGUAUAUUUUAUGGGUUUGGACAAAUUCCAUCAUUAUAAUAUCAUACAGAGUAUUUUUAUUGCCCUAAACAUUCUUUGUGCUCUGCCUAUUCAUCUCUUCCCCUCCAAACACUUCUAGCAACCACUUGUCUUUUUAUCAUCUCCGUAGUUUUGCCUUUUCCUAAAUGUCAUAUAGUUGGGAUCAUACAGCAUGUAACCUUUCCAGAUUGGCUUUUUUCACCUAGUAAUAUACACUAAAGGUUCCUCCAUGUCUUGUCAUGACUUGAUAGCUCAUUUCUCAAAGCACUGAAUAAUUAUUCCAUUGUCUGAUGUACCACAGUUUGUCCAUUCACUUACUGAAGGACAUCUUGGUUGCUUCAGAGUUUGGGCAAUUAUGGAUAAAGCUGGUAUAAAUACCUAUAUGCAGAUUUUUGUGUAGGCAUAAGCUUUCUAUUCCCUUGGGGAAGUACCAACGAGCACUGGAUCAUAUGGUAAAAUUAUGUUUAGUUUUUUAAGAAACUACCAAAAUAACUAUACCAUUUUGCAUUACUACUACCAGUAUAUGAGAGUUCCUAUUGCUCCACAAUCCUUGUCAGCUUUUGGUGUUGUCAGUUUAUUGGAUUUUGACCAUUAUAAUAGGUGUGUAGUACAAUCUCAGUGUUGUUUUAAUUUGCAUUUCCCUGACAACAAAAGCUUUCAUGAGUGUUUUUACCAUCUAUAUAUCUUCCUCAGUGACGUGUCUGUUAAGGUCUUUGGUCUAUUUUUUAAAUAGGCUCUUUUCUUAUUACUGAGUUUUAAAAAUUCUUUGUAUAUUUUGGUAACAGUCCUUUGUCAGAUGCACCUAUUGCAAAUAUUUUCUCUGAGUCUGUAUCUUGUUUUGUCAUUCUCUUGAUAUUGUCUUUCACAGAGGAGAAAUUUUUAAUCUAAACAAAGUUCAAGUUAUUAUUUCUUUCAUGGGUUAGGACUUUGGUGUUGUAUCUAAAAAGGCUCUGCUAUGCCCAAGGUCAAGCAGACUCCCCACUGAGCACGGAGCCAGACUAGGGGCUUGAUCCCAUGACCCUGAGAUCAUGACCUGAGCUGAAAGCAAGAGGCAGAUGCUCAACUGACUGAGCCACCCAGGUUCCCCUGUGUUUUACAUUUAGAUUCAUGAUCCACGUUGAGUUAAUUUUUGUGAAAGAUGUUAAGUUCUGUGUCUAGAUUCUUUUUUUUUUUUUAAAUGUGGAUAUCAGUUGUUCCAGCACUGUCUGUUGAAGAGACUAUCUUUAUUCAUUGUAUUAUUGCCUUUAUUCCUUUGGCAAAGAUCAGUUGACUGUAUUUAUGGGGAUCUAUUUCUAGGCUCUGUAUUCUGUUCCAUUGAUCUAUUUGUCUAUCCUUUCACCCAUACCACCCUGUAUUGAUUACUAUAGCUUUAUAUUAAGUCUUGAAGUCAGUAAGUGUCAUUGUUCUAACUUUGUUGUUCUACUUUAUUAUUGUAUUGGCUAUUCUGGAUCUUUUGCCUCUUUGUAUAAACUUUAGAGUGAGUUUGUUGAUAUCUUAAAAUAACUUCCCGUGUUUUGAUUGUGAUUGCAUUGAGUCUAUAGAUCAAGUAGAGAAGAACUGACAUCUUGGCAGUAUUGAGUCUUUUCCAUCUGUGAACACAGAAUAUCUCUCCAUUUAUUUAUUUCUUCUUUGGUUUCAUUCAUCAGAGUUCUGUAGUUUUCCUUACACGGAUCUUGUACAUAUUUAGUUAGACUUAUUAAGUAUUUCAUUUUUGGGGGGUGCUAAUGUAAAUGGCAUUAUAUUUUUUAAAUUUGUUUUAUUUUUAUUUUUUUAUUAUGCUAUGUUAGUCACCAUACAGUACAUCAUUAGUUUUUGAUGUAGUGAUCCACGAUUCUUUGUUUUCAUAUAACACCCAGUGCUCCAUGCAGUACAUGCCCUCCUUAAUACCCAUCACCGGGCUAACCAAUCCCCCCUCCCCCCUCCCCUCUAAAACCUUCUGAGAAACAAACUGAGGGCAUUGCAUCUUUUAUUUCAAAUUCCAUUUCUUCAUUGUUGGUAUAUAGGAAAGCAGUUGACUUUUAUAUAAUAAUCUUGUAUCUUGCAACCUUACUGUAAUAACUUAUUUAUUAUAGGAGAUAUCUGUUGAUAUUUUUGGAUUUUCUUUCUUCCCCCCAAGUUUUUACUUAAAUUCCAGCUAGUUAACGUAGAGUGCAAUACUAGUUUCAGGUGUAGAAUUUAGUGAUUCAUCACUUACAUAAAACACCCAUGCUCAUCACAACAAGCUGUCCUUAAUACCCAUUACCUAUUUAACCCAUCCCCCUGCCCACCUUCCCUCCGGUAACCAUCAAUUUGUUGUCUAUAGGUAAGAGUCUGGUUCUUUCUUUCCCCUAUGUUCAUUUGUUUUGUUUCUUAACUUACACAUAUGAGUGAAAUCAUAUGGUGUUUGUCUUUCUUUGAUUGACUUAUUUUGCUUAGCAUUAUGCUCUCUAGCUCCAUCCACAUCAUUGCAUGGCAAGAUUUCAUUCUUUUUUAUGGCUGAGUAAUAUUCCAUUAUAUAUAUUAUAUAUGUGUGCAUGUGUGUGUGUGUAUAUGUAUAUACAUAUACACACACACAUCACAUCUUCUUUAUCCAUUCAUCAGUCAAUGGAUAUAUGGGCUGUUUCCAUAAUUUGGCUAUAGUUGAUAAUGCUGCUAUAAACUUUGGGGCACAUAUGUCUCUUUGGAUCAGUACUUUUUAUCCUUUGGGUAAAUACCUAGUAGUGCAGUUGCUGGAUUGUAGGGUAGUUAUGUUUUUAAAUUUUUGAGGAACCUCCAUACUCUUUUCCAGAGUGGCUGCCCCAGUUUGCAUUCUCACUAACAGUGUAAGAGGAUUUCCCUUUCUCCACAUCCUUGCCAACACCUUUUGUUUCCUGUGCUGUUAAUUAUUGCAAUUCUGACUGGUGUGAGGUGAUAUCUCAUUGUAAUUUUGAUUUGUAUUUCCCUGAUGAUGAGUGAUAUUGGGCAUCUUUUCAUGUGUCUGUUGGCCAUCUGGAUGUCUUCUUUGGAAAAAGGUCUAUUCAUGUCUUCUGUCCAUUUUUUAUUCUUUUUAUUUUAUUGAUUUAUUUGACAGAGAGAGACACAGCAAGAGAGGGACCACAAGCAGAGGGAGUGGGAGAGGAAGAAGCAGGCCUCUCACUGAGUAGGGAGCCCGAUGUGGGGCUUGAUCCCAGGACACUGGGAUCAUGACCUGAGCCAUAGGCAGAUGCUUAAUGACUGAGCCACCCAGGCGCCCCUUCUGUCCAUUUUUUACCUGGAUUAUUUGUUUUUUGGGUGCUCAGUUUUAUAAAUUCUUUUUGUUUAAGCUAAAUGCCCAGUGUGGAGCCCAACGUGGGGCUUGAACUCACAACCCUGAGAUCAAGACCUGAGCUGAGAUCAGGAGUUAGACACUUAAUCAAUUGAGCCACCCAGGCAUCUCAUAAAUUCUUUAUAUAUUUUGGAUACUAACCCUUUAUCAGAUAUGUCAUUUGCAAAUAUUUUCCCCCUCCCCAAAUAGGUUGCCUUUUAGUUUUGUGCUUGUUUUCUUUGUUGUGCAGAAGUUUUUUAUUUUGAUGAAGUCCCAAUAGUUUAUUUUUGCUUUUGUUCCCCAAAAACUUUGGAUUCUCUGUGUAAACAAUCAUGUUAUCUGUGAACAAAGACACUUUUAAGUCUUCUGUCCCUAUAUAUGACUUUUAUUUCCUUUUCUUGACUUAUUGCAUUAGCAACAUCCAGUGUGAUGUUGGAAAGGAAUGGUGAGAGGGACAUUCUUGCUUUGUAUUUGAUCUUAAUGGGAAAGCUUUGAGUUUCAUACUAUUAAGUAUGAUGUUAGUUAUAGGGUUUUUUUGUGGCUAGUCCUUAUCAAGUUGAGAAAGUUUCCCUCUAUUCCUAAUUUACUGAGCAUUUUUAUCAUGAAUAGGUGUUAGAUUUUGUCAAAUCCUUUUUCUGUAUCUACUGAUAUGAUCGUAUGUUUUAUUUUGUUGUUUUUUUUUUUUUUUGUCUGUUGAUGUGAUGGAUUACAUUAAUUGAAUUUUGAAUGUUGAGCCAGUCAUGCAUACCUGGGGUAAAUCCCACUUGGUUAUGGUGUGUACUUCUUUUUAUACUCUUUUCAGUUCAGUUUGCUAAUAUUCUGUUGAGGAUUUUUGCAUUUGUGUUCAUGAGAUGUAUUAGUCUGUAGUUUCUUUUUCUUCUUAUAUCUUUGUCUAGUUUUGAUAUUAGGGUAAUAAAAUGAGUUAGGAAAUAUUCCCUCUGCUUCUAUCCUCUGAAAAAGAUUGUAGAAUUGGUAUAAUUUCUUCCUUAAAUGUUUGGUAGAAGUCACUACUGAGUUCAUCUGGGCUUGGCACUUUUGGUUUUAGAAGAUAAUUAAUAAUUAAUUCAAUUUAUUUAAUAAAUACAGGCCUAUUCAGAUCAUCUGUUUCUUCUUGUGAGAGUUUUGGUAGAUUGUGUCUUUCAAGGAAAGGGUCCAUUUCGCCUAGGUUAUCAAAUUUGUGGGCAUAGUUGUUCAUAAUAUUCUCAUUAUGCUUGUAAUUUCCAUAAAAAUCUGUACUGAUGUCCCCCUUUUCCUUUCUAAUAUUAGUAAUUUGUGUCCCCUCUCUUUUUUUUUUAGUUACCUUGGCUAGAGGCUUAUCAAUUCUAUUGAUCUUUUGGAAGAACCAGUUUUUGGUUUUGUUGAUUUUCUGUGUUGAUUUUCUGUUUUCAAUUUCAUUUUCAAUUUCUGCUCUAAUGCUUAUUAUUUCUUUUUUUUUUCUGUUUACUUUGGAUUUAUUUUAUUUUAUUUUUCUCCUUACUCUGAAUUUAAUUUGUUCUUCUUUUUAUAGUUUUCUUAAGGUAGAAAUUUAAAUUAUUGAUUUUUGUUCUUCUUUUCUGAUCUAUGCAUUCAGUACUAUAAGUUUCCCUCUAAGCAUUGCCACAGAUUUUGAUAAGUUGUUUUUAUUUUCAUUUAGUUAAGAGUAUUUUUUAGUUUAUCUUGAGAAUUCUUCUUUCAUCCACGUAUUAUGUAGAAAUAUGCUGCUUAAUCUCCACAUACUUUGGGAUUUUCCAGUUAUUUUUUCUUUUAUUGAUUUCCAGUUUAAAUCUCUUAUGGUCUGAGAGCAGACAUUUUAUAUUUCUACUCUUUUACAGUUGUCAGGGUGUGUUUUAUGGCCCAGAAUGUGAUCUACCUUGGUGAAUGUUCCAUCUGUGCUUGAGAAAAAUAGAUACUCUGUUGCUGUUGGAUGAAGUAGCCUAUAGAUAUCAGUUAUAUCUGGUUGAUUGUGGGUGUUCAACUAUGUCCUUACUGACUUCCUGCCUGCUGGAUUUGCCCACUUCUGAGAAAAGACUCUUUGGAUUUUAGUGUAGGUGUAUGACAAUAUAUUGAGAAAUACUAGUGGUUUACAACAGGAUCCUUACUUUCAUUUUACCAUUUAAGUUGCAGCAAGUGUUCACCCCCUCCCUUAAUAUUUUCUCUUUUUUUAAUUUUAAAAAAUUUUCCCUCCCUUAAUGUUUUUAGAGAAAGCAAUCUACUCUCAUUUCUAGAUUUUUGCUUAGUGGGUAUCAUUUAUGUUUAAAAAUCAUAUUUGAUAAUAAUAUUUAAUUAAUGUCUUGGAAGCAAAGUAUAAUUAGGCUGUAUGCCUGAACCUUUUUGGUUUUGGCUUGACUUCACCUAAGCUAUUCCAGAUGAUUAAGCAUUUUUAUUAUCUUCAAACACUUACAUAGAAGGCAAGGCUUGAGUCUCCUGACAUGGAUUGAUUCUAGUUUAAAUAAAUCUGCCAUUCUACACAUUGGCCAGGCCUCCAUGAAUAUACCACUUGGUAUGGAGAGCUGUGUUUGGUAGUGCAUUUCUGACUUCUUUCCAGUUCUCAGGAAUACCUCCUCCUUGUAUUCCAAUGUCUCAUAGGUGUGAUGACUAUGUGGUUGGCCUGGUUUGCAGUGUAUACUUCCAUCCACUCAGCAGAUGUAAAAAGUAGAAUUCCCCUGAGACUCCACCAUAAAGUAUUCUAAGGACAUUUAGAAUAAGUGCUGAGCAUCUAAACCAUUCCUCUUUUUAAUUGUCUCUGCACCCGCUCCACUGAAAAAUUAUGAUUUAGUGGAUCUUCUGAUGUCUAAAGGUAUUGCAAGCUAGUGGUCAGGACAUUAGAAUAAUAAGAGAUAGCUAAAAGUGCUUGCUUGCCCCCUUGUAGUCAUACUGUUUGGAUGAGUGCGAAAAGAUGAGUGACAAGUUGAGAUCAACUAAUUACAUAAAAAUAGACACAAGACAUUGCUCCUCAACAGCACCUCUGAUGUACACCUGCCAAAAAUGUGUGUUACCUGGAACUAAGUGUGGGAAAACAGAUGGAUCCAAAUGGAGGCACAUUAUGCAAAAUAAAUGGCCAUGGGCUCUUGCAAAAUGCCAAUGUCUUUAAAGUCAAAGAGCCCGAGGAAACGUUCCAGAAUAAAGAAUCCCUGAUUGGAUCCUAAAUUCAAAAAUAAGAUUUCUCAGUUUUACAGGGCAUUACUGCAUCAGUGGAAAAAAUUUAAAUACGGAGUGCAUGUUAAGAGGAUCAAAUUAUUGUUAAAUUUUCUGUGUGUGGAGAAUUAUAUUGAAGUGAUGGGGGUUAAUAUCCUUCAUGGAAGGUACAUGGUGAAGUAUUUUAGGGAUUCAGAGUAAAAGAUUUGCCACUAACUCCCAAGUAAUUGAGAAUAAGAGAAUGUGUAUGUGUGUAUACCUAUGCAUACAUACCUAUGAAUGCACAUACACUCAUCUGUAUACAUAUAUAGGCAAAUGCAAACAUAAACGAGAGAAAGAAUGUAGUAAAUGUUAACAAUUAGUAAAUCUUGGUAUAUGGGUGUUUGUUAUAAUAUCCUUCCAAUUUUUCCAUAGGUUUGACAUUUUUCAAAAUAAAAUGUUGGGGGGAAAAAGACAAAUCCCAGUGUCUUUUCCCUGGCUUUGGUUUGGCUAUUAGUUAAGGUUCAGAUAAACUGAAGUGGAAAAUCCCCAAGCUACUAAAAGAAAUAAUCUGUUCUAAUCCUUUACAAUAUUUGGAUAUUUUGGCAAUUAUAAACAAGGGCAGUUGAAGGCUAACUAAACAAAUACGUCUUCAUAUAUGUUUGACCCUGUAAGGGAUGCCUGUUAAAUAUACAAACAAAUAAAAUAACACAGCCAGGCAUCCAGGCAUGGUGAUAAUCACAAGUUUUUGAUUUGGAAAUGUUUCCCAGUUUGAGAGUUAUUGCUUUCAGCUGUGAUAAUAACGGGCUUUUCCGCUAAGGGAAAAAUACAUAGUGUUUAAAAUAAAUAUCGUCAGUACAGUUUUGCAGUGUUGAGGAAACAUGAAUGACCUUUUUUCCUUUUCUUUAAACAUUAUAAUCACUUGAAGUUCUCAUGAAUGUUUGUUGGGGGAAACAGAAUUCUGAUGGACUAAAGGUGAAAAAAAAAGAUUGGUUACAAAAGGGCUUGCCCAUCAUUUUAAACAAAGCUCAACUGUUUCUAUUUGUCGCCUUCACCCAAGGAGAAGCCCAGAUUUUUGCCCAAGCAUGUUGGCUACGCUUUUUUAUGAAAUCUGGAUUUUUCCUGUUGAAUGCAAUUCAGAAUGGAAUUAUAAGCUCAGGGGACGUCAUUACUUACUUCCUAGGAAUUGACUCAAACCAGUGUUGUUCUGAGCAUUGCAGCUGUCUUUACAGUUACCCUGAGACCAGUUUUAAAAGAAUCCACACAUUGCUCCAAGGACCAGCAAAAGGUUUGAAGACAUCUUCUUGAUGUGAUUUCACACUCUCUUUUUUUUUCCUUAUGGAAAAGUAGUAACAAGUUGGGACCUCCCUCAAUCUGACAUGAUAAAUCUUUCAGCAAGAAGGUUAAAGAAUUAUUCAGUUAUCACACUAAAUUCUAUUUCUGUUUUUUUUUUCUUUUUUUCUCUAAUAGCCAAAAUACCAAGAACUAUAGCGAAUACCAUUUAUCGAGUAGCCAUGAUGUUUCUGACAUCAUGCUCGGUGAACUACCUACAGUCAUCAGAUACAAACACCACAAGAGCUCUGUCGCUUCUAUUAUCUUACUUUACAGAGAAGGAACAUUUUAUAGCUAAAUUAAUAGGUGGUGCUUGGUCUGAUAAUAAAGCCUUGCUUUUACCACUACAGUAUACUGCUUCCUGCCAAUGAAGGGCAUUUAUUUUUCUUUAUUCCAUCCUCCACUUCAGAAUGUGACAGAUAGCAUACAGAAGCACAGCCAAAUGGAUUGAAACAAAUCCUUUUCAGGUGGCAAUUUUAUUACUUUUCUCUACCAGCUGGACCAUUAGGUAUUUUAUGAGUGUGUUUAUUUUUCUAGAGUCUUAACAAGGACGGGCAUUUAUUUGUCAAUUAAAAUCCAUACCACCAACUAAAGGAAGUAUCAGACAUUCUGCAGGAAUCAUUCAUGUCAAGGUAAUUUGCCUUGAUUUAGACCAAUGAUCAUGGAAGAAUUCAGCCGAAUUCUCAAGGACCCUCCUUGGAAGGGAGAGAAAACAACAGGGGGAGUUUCUAAAGCAAGAAGGCUACUCAACUGAUGCCCAUUCACUGACUCAAAAAGACUUGGCAGGUGGGAAGUUGAGUGCAUAUUCAACAUCCAGUAGCUACUGCUUCUUGUUUGUUCAACAAACAUGAUCAUCAGAUCUGUGCCAGGCACUGGAGUCAUUCAGAGGCUACAGUUGCCUGCAAGUCUAAAUUCCUAAUCUCUAUUGAAUUGCUAUGCAAAGUAGGAUGUUAGGAAUAAACGAUAAUACCAAUACCAAUACUAAACCAGUCACUUAUUAGUAAUCAUGACUAUUAGCAUUAUCUUUAAAAUAUAGUAAUAAAUCAUUUUGGAUGCACCCAGGACAUUUUCCUCAUAGUGUUUUUUAAAUCUUUUUCUAAAAACAGUCACGAAUCAGGUGGAAGAUAACCAAUUAGAAACUUCCAUGUUGUAAACAUUAAACUUUGAUUAUAUUUACCUUGGAUGACUAAGUAAGUUGCUUCACUUUUCUCCAUGCUUAAAAUGGUGUUAUAUAGCCACAUUGUGCUUGAUUACAUGAUUCAUUUCUAUGGUGAACCCUUGGAAACAUGCAUAUAGGUUGUACACAUUGGGAAGCCAUUUAAUAAUUCAUUAAAACUUAAUAUGUUUUAAAUUGUAAGCCUGAUUUUGCAUUUAUACCUAGCUAAUUUUAUUUUGCUGAAAUGUGUUGAUCAACGAUUAUUUUUUCUAAUAUGACCCAUCAUUAUGAACAUUAAGCCACCAACUUUGGCAACAAUGUCAUCAGCUACAAUCUGUUUUCAUCUGUUUUCUUUCAAACUGGUUUAUUGGAAGGAGUAUAAUAUUAUAGAAUCACAAAAUGAUUAUAACAAGUUAAUAUGAGUUUUUUCACUUAAAUUGGUAGUUACCCCUGCUUCUCUGAAAAAAGAAUCUGGGAGGAAAAUGCCAAAAUUGUAAGACCUCCUAUGAUAGGUUCAGAGAAUGAGUUUGUUCUGGAACACAGUGGGUGUUUUUUAGAGUGCAAAUUAUUUGUUAAAUAAAGGCAACAAUUAAUCAAGUGAGAAAUUUGACUGAAAGUAAUACUUUUCAAAGGUAGUAUUUUUUCUUCUUCUACUGAAUUAUGUUCAUUGUGCAACUUCCCCUGUAGAAAAGAUACCUGUUUUUAAUUCUUGAGUAUUUUACUUUUAAAAUGCUCCUAUCUUAAAUUCAAAAUUACAUAUUUGCUUUUAUGAUAGAAUAUUUAUGACAGUUGUAAUUGAUAGCGGUUUGUGUAAUGCUCAUUCACACACAUCUUUGAAGCUCCAUAUUUUAUUUUAUUAUAGGGACUAUGUGAAUUUUCAUUUUCUGCUUAUAGACUUUAUCUUGGAUUUUCUUUUUUUUUUUUAAAGAUUUUAUUUAUUUGCGAGAGAGAGAAUGAGAGACAGAGAGCAUGAGAGGGAGGAGGGUCAGAGGGAGAAGCAGACUCCCUGCCGAGCAGGGAGCCCGAUGCGGGACUCGAUCCCGGGACUCCAGGAUCAUGACCUGAGCCGAAGGCAGUCGCUUAACCAACUGAGCCACCCAGGCGCCCUAUGCAAUAUUCUUUAUAGUCAUAUUUAUGUAACCAAUUGAUUAUGACAGAAUGCUUUAACUGAUAUUUUAUCUGUACCCAACCUAUGGUUGCAAUUGGUGAAUGAGUGUAGUACAGAAUAAUGGAGGAUAUUCCUGUUUAUGUUAACAAGUUAUACAAAAGUGAAACAAUAAGAUGUGUUGAAAAUUCACCAUUUGUCAGCGACAUUAAUGACUUCUUUGUUAAAUCAGAUAAUAACAUUUGAGUACUGGAAAAAUCUUUUCUUAAUUUUUUUGUACUACUCACAGUGUAAUGACCAUAGACAUGAUACACUUUUAAGUUUAAUCUGCAUUAUUAACAAUUUUUCCAUUAUGCUCCUUUGUCUGGACAAUACAAAAAAAUAACAAAUCAAGCUCUGAUUUCUAACAUGGAACAUUUCCUUGGUAUAAAUACUUUCCAAAUUGCCAAUGUCAAGCUAUUACCAGGGCAUUGCUGAACACAGAGCUAGGAAAACACAUGCAGUAGUCCACAUUACUCAGUGUUUCCACCAUACAGAUCAAAAGACACACGGAACAUGCAACUUAAUAAACUGCAGUAAAAAUAAGGAAGUGAUGAAUUUUGAGUAUUUAUUUUGUUAUUAAUAUGAUUUACUUAAUUUUAAGUUUAUGCAGUUUAGUUGUUAAUAAUGGCCAUAUUAACAAAUAGCUUGUAAAUUUUUUUAAAAUUUCACAGUGAGCUAUUGUCAGCUGGUUCAAACCAGAUUCAGUGCAGUGUUGCCCAGCGCCACUGACUGACUAGUCUGUGUGGAAAGUUUCUGGGUUUGCUAAUCCAUUCUGUGGUCCUAUUUACUUAUUUCUGCUCCAGUACAACCCUAUUAAUUAGUUCAGUUUUAAAACUCAACUUGAGGGGCGCCUGGGUAGCUCAGUCAGUUAAGCAGCCGACUCUUGAUUUCGGCUCAGGUCAUGAUCUCAGGGUCAUGGGAUCGAGCCCCAUGUUGGGCUCUGAGCUCAGUGCAGAGUCUGCUCAAGAUUCUUUCUCUCCCUCUCCCUCUGCCCCUCCCCCUGCUGUCACACUUCCUCUCUUUCUCUCUCUAAAAUAAAUAAAAAUAAAUUAAAUUCAGCUUGAUAUCUGGACGAGCAAUCCUUUCACAGUUCUUUUUUUUUUUUUUCUGGAAUCUUUUUGCUGUUCUCGUAAAGGGAUAUCUUGAGACUUCCAUCUUCACUGUACAUUUUAUCAUUAUUUUGUGAAUUUCACAAAAAAAUGUCUUGGAACUUUGGAUGAAAUCCCACUGAAUAAUGGGUCAGUUUGGUGAGAACAGAUAUCUGUAUGAUCCUGAGUUUUCUUACGCAUUAAUACUGUAUUGUUCUCCUUUUUAAGUCUCUUUCACAUUUUUAAUAUAAUCUUAAAAGGUUUAAAACUUCUUUUUUAGAUUUAUUCCUAAAUAUUUUAUAUUUUUGGUUGCAGGUGUAAAGACUUUUUUAUCUUCCUUUUUUUUCUCUUAAGUCACCUCCUUUGAGAUGUAAUUUACAUAGAGUGGAUGCACAAACUUUGUAUGUGUGGUUUGAAUAAAUUUUGACAAGUGUGUACACUCAUGUCACCACCUCCACAAUCAGGAUGUAAAACAGUCCUGUCAUCCCAGGAAGUCCUUAGGGCCCCAUUUCAGUCAAAUCCUCACUCCCUUCCAAAUCCCGGGAAGUCACUGAUUGACUUUUUGUCACUGCAGAUUAGUUUUGCCUGUUCUGGACGUUCAUAUAAAUGGAAUUAUACAGUAUGUACAUUUUUGCAUCUGGCUCUUUUUGCCAAGCAGAAUAUUCUUCUCCAGACACUUUAUUUAUAAACUUGCUGGUAUGUGGCAGUGAAAUUUGUGUUUUGUGAAAAUUGAUGUUAUGUACAGUUAUUUUGUUAAACCUUUUUAGUAAACCCAAUAAUUUAUCUGGGACUAUUUUAGUUUUUUAAUGUGAAUAAUAACAGAAUCUGGAGAUAAUGACAUUUUGAUUUUUUUCCUUUCCAACCCUUAUACCCUUUAUUUAUUUUUCUUGUCUUAUUAUGCUAGCCAGACCAUUCAGAGCUAAAUUGAAGUUGUAACAGUAGGCAUCAUCAUGUUUCUCUUAUUUCCCACAAGAAUGCUUCUCUAUAUUGCACCAUUAAAUUUAAUAAUUGCUGUAGGUGUUAUAUAAACAGAUUUUAUUAGGCUAAGGAAAUUUCUUUCCAUUUCCAGUUUGCUAACAUUUUUAAAAGUCAUUAAUGUGUAUUGGAUUUUAUUAACUACUUUUUACUAUAGCUAUUGAUAAUUUUUUUUCUUUUAAUGUCCCAUUUACAUAUAUAUUCAUGAGUGAGAUUGGCUUCAAAGACCAAGAUUUGGCAAACUUUUUCGUAAAGAGUCAGUUGAUAAAUAUUUUUAGCUUGCAGGCCAUACAGUCCAUCACAACUUCUCAGCUUUUCUAUUAUAGUAUAAAAGCAACCAUAGAUAAUAUGUAAGCAAAUAUUUAUGUCUGUGUUUCAAUAAAGCUUUAUAUGAAAAUAAAGGCAGCCAGGAGUGCCUGGGUGGCUCAGUUGGUUAAGUGUCUGACUCUUGAUUUCAGCUCAGGUCAUGAUCUCAGGGUCAUGAGAUCGAGCCCUGGGUUGGGCUCUGCACUGGGUGUGGAGCCUGCUUAAGACUCUCUCUCUUCUCUCCCUCUGCCCCUUCCCCUCACUUGCCCACACUAUCUCUUUCUCUCAAAAAAUUUUUUAAAAAAGGAAAAAAGACAGCCCGUAGAUUAUAUUUUGCUGGCUCCUUUCAGUAAAACAGAUUUAAAUACCUUUAUGACACUAGAAUGAUUUAUAUUUUCUAUGUCUUCUUGAAUCAGUUUUGUUAAGUUACAUUUUCUAAUAUUCUCUCCAUUUCAUCUAAGUUUUAAAAUUGAUUUUACAGCUGUGUUAUUUGUAGUUCUCCUUUAUUUUAUUUCAUCCUACUUUCUUGCAAGAUGUUUUAAUUUGAGACUUUUCUCUUUUCUUGAUCGAUCUUAGAAUUUUUUUUACCAAACUUUAAGCACAGCCAAGGAAGUGGUGACAUCAUGUUUGUCAUCCAUUUAACUCACAAAUAAUUUGACUUAUCUACAGAUGGUAGAUCACUCCUCCAUAUGGUUCAUCCAUCUCUGUUCAAUGUUGCAUCCUUUCUUAAACUACAUGCUCAAAUAAAGUGGUCAUCUUUCAUAUGUAGAAGAAGACACUUCAUUCGGUGGUGUAGGAUAUUGGUUCCUUUUUAAUGGAUACUGAAAGGAAGCACUCUUUAAACACUUAGUGUUUGCCAAGCACUCUACUGCAUGUUUCACGUAUAUCAUCUCACUUAGUCUUCCUUUUUAAGUUUUUAUUUAAAUUGCAGUUCGUUAACAUACAGUGUAAUAUUAGUUUCAGGUAUACACCUUAGUGAUUCAGCACUUCAUACAACACUUGGUGCUCAUCAAAACAAGUGCCCUCCUUAAUCCCCGUCACUGAUUUCACCAUCCCCCACCCACCAGUUUGUUUUCUGUAGUUAAGAGCCCGUGUCUUGGUUUUCCUCUCACUUUUUCCCCCUCAUGAUGGUUUGUUUUGUUUCCUAAAUUCCGUAUAUGUCAUCUCACUCAGUCUUCCAGUUGUUUUACUAAGUUUUAUCAUUACUUCUGUCUUUUCAGAAAAAGAAAGUGGGGCUUGGAGAAAUUAAUAGCCAGAAAAGUAAUGGUGGGCCAGGAUUCUAAACUCAGGCCGUGUGAUUCCAGAGUUUUGCCCUUAACCUCAGGAAAAGUUGUCUGCUACUUUUCCUCUAAUUCUGUGCUCAAAACACUAAACUUUUAAUGCAUAACUUAGUGUCCAAAGAGGAUAUGGCCAUUAUGAAGAAAGCCUAGACCAAUUAUGUCCUACAAUUUAAGUUUAAAGUGGGAUUCUAGUUUGUAAUUAAUUCUCUUGUGAGAUUGAUUCUUGCCUAAAACACUAGGAUUGUAUUUUUGAUUGUUACUAAGCGAAGGCCAGAUCAUGAACAAUGGUUCCAUUUCUGUGUAAUAUUUCUUUUUUUUCUGUAUAAUAUUUUCUAAUUUUCAAAGGCUUUUUACAAAAAUCUCAUGUUAUCCUCACAAUAUGUCUUUGAAAAGUGAUAAUUAUUUUUUUCUGUUUCAGAAUUAAGUACAUUGAGGCUGAGAGAUUGAAGUAAUUAGGUCAAAACUGAAAAUUUCCGAGCGUGAAGCUCAGAUGUAAAUGAAGCUCUUCUCUUUUGCCGUAUAGGACUCUUCUCCAGUACAACAUAAAUCAGACAUUUCGUGAAUCCUUGCCUGAAACUGCCAGAUGAUCUGACUCUUACAUCAUCUGAUUUUGCUCAGGGUUGUAGAAUUAAGAAUUGGAUGAUGAGUAACUUACUAGUGUGUCAGAGGACUGCAGUAUUUAAUGCAUGUAUGUACCUAAUUUGCUAAAUGAGCAAAGUAACCUCCAGAGAGUUAAUGCAUGACAGAAAUGUGUUGAAAUGAGAACUAGAAUAUAUAUAAUUAAAGAACCCAUUUCUCCACUGGACAAAACAAGUCAAGAAGGUGGACAGAAUUUUUUCUAUGUACUUCUUCCUAGAGUAUUCCCACAUCAGCUAGGCCUGCAGAUACUUGUCAGUUUUUGAAAGCUUGAUUUUCAGUUUUUUAAUUUAUUGGUCUGGAUAAUUUAGUGUUCCCUGUGUUGUUUUUUUUUUAACACCAGCAAAGAACCUGUGUAUGGUUGGCUGACUUCUCAGGGUCUUUUGACAAUGCUGUUCCCCCAAGGCCCAUCAAACUGAUGUCGACUUGUUUUAAUGACCAAUGUUCCAAAUAAUGACAUGUAAAAUAUCUGUUGUGAACCUCUUUCCUUGACUAUGAUUUCUUUAUAAGGGAGAAAGGAAAAAAAACAAAAACAAAACUCCAGGGUGAUUCCAAACCAGCCCUAAAUUUAAUAGAAGUGGACAUACAACCUUCAUUGGGAGGAAAUACAGUUGCAUAGUCUAUUGGUAAUGAUGUGUAUCUUUUCUUUACGGCAGAGUUCGUGUUCUGAUUGUGCACUGUUACGCUGUAUGUGCAGACAUUGUUAUGUGUAGUACAUAGACAUAAAUAUUAAUAGUAAAUCCUAAUGAUAAUUUUAGGCAUAACUAACAUUUUAGUUCUUGACUCUGCUCCAGGCACUGUCAUAAGUAAUUUAAUUUGAUCCUCACAACAAACCUAAAAGGUUGGCACUAAUUAUCACCAUUUUACAAAUGACUAAAAUGACACCCAAAGAAAUGAAGCAGGUCAGCCAAUUCACACUAGUAGUUAAAGUGCUGGGUCCAGAUUCCACAUUCUGAACUAUAUGCUGUAAGCCAUUUGACAUAUGGUUGAAGAAAAAAGGUAUUGGGAUUUGCAUGAGAAACAAGUACCUACCUCACAAAAACAAAUGCAGAGCAUUAGACCACUAGCCCGUCCUGUUAUCAAGGUAAUAAGUUCAGUGGCCAGGAAGAUAGAUGCAUGUUUGAAUUCUCUUGAAUCACAGGAUGUAGAAAUAGAAUAAAUUUUAAAGUCAUUUUUUUCUGUUUGGCAUAGUCUCCACUUUAUGAGAACAGAAACGUUUGGAAGAAAUUUCCCUCAGAUUUUCAUGUAUUUUUCUCUCGAAUAGACAUUGUGAGUCUUAUAACUGAUCAUGUUUGCCUAUUUUCUUUGACUACUAAGAAGUUUGGAACCAAAUGUGCAGCCUACCUAUAAUAAUUGUGUAGGAUUUUAGGAUGCCCUGAUACUAAACCUGUCCUUACUUUUUAUUAUUUCUCUACCCCAUUUUUCAUGGGCCCUGGUUUCUUGAGCUGUUUACUCUUUAUUCUGUUGUAUGGUAAAAAAUCCUUCAGGGCACCUCAAAAUCAUACUAAGGUGUGGACAUCAAAAAUAAAAUAGGUAAGAUAAAAAUUCAAAAUAGGUAAUUUUAUUUAAAGUCACAGAAUUGUCAUAAAUAUGGACCAGGGAGAUUUUCUGUUAAAUUAAAAAAGACACUUAGUUUAGUUUGGUUUGGUUUGAAGAAUAGAGCAUAUAUAUAUAUAAGUACAUUAUUACAUGAAACUCUGUUUCACGUAUCCUACUGUAAAAAAAUAAGGUUUUUCUUUUGCUUUGUUUUGUUUUUGUUUUGUUUUUUGGAGUUUUUGUUUGUUUGUUUUUGGUGGGCAGCAAAGCAAGGUUUAUUGAGUGAUAGCAAAGUGAUAGUACAAAGCUCCCGAGGAGGGAGGGGACCCAAGAGGGUUGCCCAAUAAGUUUUAUCCUAUUUUGGUGAAACUAUUUCUAAAGCAUAUUUUUCCAUUUCACAGUUAGUUGUGUGACACAUAGGGACAGUUUUCUGGUGCUUAAUAACAAAUGUUAAAGGUGAAUGUCUCCAUAAUACUGUGUAGCUUAUAAAAUAGUGUUAUUUCGGAUGACCUCAUAACACACCUAAUCCCCACCACUUUUCUGUGACGCCACCAUUGAUCAUUCUGACAAACGAGAGAUGGAACCUCCAUGCCAAUUAUUCAGAUGAGUUGAAGAGGUCACAUUUGAAACCAGGGUGUUAAGCUCUCUUGGUCGUGAUGUCUGGGAGCAUCUCAUUAUCAGUGUGGCCAAGAGAGAACAAUGUUUCUAAGCAGCACCAGCCCCAGAGAUACAACUGCAGAUACAUAACCUGUCUGUCUACUGAUGCAAGAUGAGUCCAUUCUUGUUUACAAGAGGGAAAGUGACUGAAAAAGGAAAAAAAAAAUUACUCUAUCAUAUCCCAAGGAAGGGAGAAGAGGAAGGAUCCUGGGACAGUGGGAGAGGGGUGGAGCUGGGGGAGGAAAAAGAAAAUAUUGCUUCUGGAUGAAAAAAUUAAUGAGCACAGGACACAGACCACCAAGAUAAGAUAAGUCAGUGCAGAGAGUCAGCUUCCUGACAGCCCCUAGUGAGUCGUGUGUGGCGUGUCGCAGAUCCCGUGAUUACCUUUCAUUCCGAGAGCGGUGCUGCUAGAAAGUUGAGAUGAUGAGUUUUCAUGAUGGAUGGAAUUCCUGAGUGUGCUUGGAGGGUAGAGGCAGAUAAAGGAGGCUGUGCUGGGGCUCUAAUCUCCUCGCAGAAACUGGCAGCUGCCUUUUCCUGGCUGGCUCCUCGACUUCGUGGGUCCUGUGCGGAGCGCCAGGCGCCAGAAACAACAAUCAUGUCAAGUCGCACUUCAGGACUGAACAAAGUUAUCUCUGUCCAGCACGUUUCCAAAGGCAGUGAAAAAAAAGGUCUGAACAGAUGGACGAAUUUACUUGUGCCAUUUCCCUCUGGUGAAUCUUACGAGCUCUUUUGCUCACGGUGUGUUUGUUUUCCAUACUUUGAACAUUUUUUUCCCCCAGAUAUAAAAUUUGAUAUUUGAAAGUUGGUUCUGGCAAAGUUAACCAAAUAAUUCUUAAGUUAAUUCCACAGAUGUGUUUAUUGAUUCAUGUCUAAAAUUCUUUCUUUCCACAUGUCAGUAAUUAGCUAUUCUUUCAGAAUUUAAGGGUCACUCUAUUUGUUAGCCAAACAAAUAAACAAACAAGAUACACAAGAGAAAGAGAAGCUUCAUUAAUACCAAAUGAGUAUUAGUGAUUUGUAAUUUGUAUUAAUUAACGUAUACUAAGUAACAAUACCAGUGAAACUAUUUUAGUGAUUAAAAUGAAGCUUUCAAUAUUUAUUCUUAUUUAUCACUUUUAUUUAUAUUUUCUUUGAUUCUUCAUUGCCCUCUUUGUUAGGUAAAAGAAGCCCCAGUGUGUCAGAUGCAGGAUUCCCAUAUUUAUUAAUUUGCAGAGGCAUAUGUGUGGCCAAGUUAGGGAGCUCUCUUCUAAAGGUGGCAUGGUUGAAGGUCGGAAUUAUGGCAAAUGGUUGUAUAUUUUAAGAUCACAAUCUAUAGAAACCCUACUUAGUCUAAACUAUAAUCCUUGCAUGUUUGGAACCACAACUUAAUGUCAAAAAGGGUUCCCUUCCAUGUGCAGUUUCCUCUUUCAACUGCCUACAGUCAAAUACAGAAAAUGAAAUGCCAUCCAGAGUAAUAACGUUGCCCUUGGACUCUAAUCCAGAAACAGCGAAGGAGCUGUGCACCUUUAGGACUUCCCUCUCUUCGGGGAUUAAGUGAUGUCAGCUUGGCUGUCUAUUUAGGAUUAUAAUAGAGUUUAGUACAGAACUAUUACACUUAAGAGGUAAAGCUUAUCCACAUUAUAGAAAUGAUCAUGUUCUGACAAGCAUGAUGGUGAGUGCUGCGUUGGUUCUCACUGACUGGGAAUAGUAGAACUUAAUUUAACAUGAAUACAAUCACAGGAAGAUGAAAUUAGUGCACCAUCACUUUUUUCUAAAAUGACUGAUGGAGUCUGAACAAAACUCAUGGAUUUAACACAAUAUGUAAUGAGUGUUUUCCAUGUGAAAGGCACUGUCCUGGGAAAAGCUUAUGCUAUGAAGAUGACUCGGCCAUCACUGUCAUAACACAACAUAUUCUAGCACAAGCUAGAAUUUGGGGUUCCACAAAAGUAUAAGGUAACUGGGGCGACUGGGUGGCUCAGUCGGUUGAGCGUCUGCCUUCGGCUCAGGUCAUGAUCCCAGGGUCCUGAGAUCGAGCCCCGCAUCGGGCUCCCUGCUCGGUAGGGAGCCUGCUUCUCCCUCUCCCUCUGCCUGCCACUCUGCCUACUUGUGCUCUCUCUCUAUCUCUCUGUGCUCUCUAUCUCUCUGUCUCAUUUAUUUAUAAAUAAAUAAAAUAUUUUAAAAAAAAGUAUAAGGUAACUAAAAUGUUUGUUGGGGAGGGUGGGUGCAGCAGAGACAGUGUGCCUCGCCAAAAGUAGACGGUGACCAAAUUAAGAAAAAAAGCUUUGUGAUAAAUUGCAGGGUAGUGUUUUUCAGGCAUAGUAUUUUUUAUUGUAUAAUUAUUUUCUUUUCCAUAAAGUAACUGUUAAUGUCCUUGCUACAGCCCAGUCUCUGGUCUUGCUGCCCCAAAGGUGGCUGAGUCCACCCCUUUGGGCCACCGUCUGCUACCCGGUCCUCGUUCCCUCCAACGUGGUGCUGCCUCUGGGCCAGGCUGAGUGAGCUGUGCUAGUCGGCUUCCCCAGCCUGGCUGUGGCAUUUCACAUGUCCUCAUGGUUGUGGCCCAAAUGCUUCUGAUGCUACACAGUGUCUCUUCCCCCUGACCUCCGUGGGACACGCACUCCCUCCUGAUUCUGUGGCCUCUUCCCACGUGCCGCUAGCUUUCUGAGCCACCAAUCACACCCAUGACUUCAGUCUCUGCUCUAGAUGCUACCAGCAGCUUAGACUUAGGGCAAGGCAUUUAAUUUCUUGAUUUGUGUCCUCUUCUGAAAAAAAUGGAUUACUAUAAGGGAUAAGAUUUCAUAGGACUGGUUGUUGUAAAUAUCAGGUGAGUAACAAGUGAGGAAGAUGCUGAAAGAGGACCUGUCCCAGAGCAGACCCCAGAGAUAUCCAUGAACCUUCUCCUCCCUCCCUCCCUCUCUCCAUUCUUUCUUUCCUCCUUUUCUUUAUCUAUUUCUUGCCUGCUUUCCUUCUUCUACUCUACUUCUUUUCAUUCUCUCUUCUUUCCUUUCCUUUUCUUUAUUUUGUUUAGUUUUUGGAGAUCUUAAACCCACAAAAGAAGGAUCUGUGAUGUGUUUGGAGUUCAGAAAAGAAGGAGAUUUCGGACAAUGGAAGCAUGAGAGAGAUUCAGGGAGAGCAUUUGAUAUAGGUCUUAAAGUUUGAAUAGAUUUUAUACAUGUGGAAAAGAGAGGAAGAACAUGAUGGAGACUGGUGGAUGGGAAGUUAGAACCAUCACGGAGGCCUUGCAUUCUAUGUGGAAGUGUUUGUAAUCUAUCAGGCAGGAUGGAGCCUUGAAGGGGUGUGUGUGAGUGUGUGUGUGUGUGUGUGUGUGUGUUUUAAUCAUGUCAUAGGUAUGGCAGAGGGGUUGAUACUGAAAAUGGCUUUUGUGAUUAAUUGAAUAGGUAGAGAAGAGAACAGGGAGACCAUUCAGGGGACUUGAAUCAGGUAGUGACAAACAAAAAAUAGGAAGGGUUGUUGAGAAAUAAAUUACAAUCUCAGUAGGACUCACUCAGCUAAUGGUGUGUAGGGCACAAAGCAUGUGGUGGAAGCAAAGGUGUUUGAGUUUUAAGCUUAGUGAUGGGAAGGAUAGAAGUAACAAUACUGUGGAGAGGAAAUCUAUGGAAAGAAGGAUUUUUGCAAAGGAAGUUUGAGGUGUCAGCUGGAAAUUUGGGAAGUCGUGUUUCUAAAGUAAUGGCAAAUAUAAGCCUUGAAGUUCUCAGCUACUUCAGCACCAUUUAUGUGGAGUUUGGAAUAGAGAUUAAAUGACCAGGAAACACCCAAGGGUAAUAAAUGUCAGAGGAGAACAGGGCUUGAGAUGCAGUGAUGUGAGGGGUAGUGAGACUGACUUUCAGAAUGAUAACCACUGAUCCAGAGAAAUCAGAAUAGAAACCUGAACUCCUCAAAACGAUGGGAUAGAAUUUGGUUUCAUGGUUUUCAAUUAAGGUUUGUUUCUUACUAGUUGUUUUCAGUGUAGGAUUUGGUGUUUUUUAUGUUUUACAAAAAUCAUUUGUACCAACUUCUGCUUCUUUUAAUGAAUAUUCAGUAUACUAAAGUUGCAAAUUCCAAAACCUAAUUUUUCUUAAGCUCUUACAUUCAGACUCUCAUCAUUCUAUUUAUAAAUCUGGUACAGUUUAGCAAUCACUUUCAAGGGGACUUUCGCAACUACGUUAAUUAGAUUUCAUUAAAUAUUUAAAUAGCAUUCACAAAUUUAAUAUAUUCAUUUCUCGUUUUUAAGCCUUUCAAUGGUCUAGCAAACUAAAUGGCCCCAAAUUCUGGAGAAAUCUACUUAAAUAUAGGAAAUUGAAUUUAUAAGGAUGUGACCCUUCAGUUGGCAUGAACAUUACAAUAUUGUUUUUUUUUAAAAAAAAAAGAUUUUAUUUAUUUAUUUGCGAGAGAGAGAAUGAGAGACAGAGAGCAUGAGAGGGAGGAAGGUCAGAGGGAGAAGCAGACUCCCUGCCGAGCAGGGAGCCCGAUGCGGGACUAGAUCCCGGGACUCCAGGAUCAUGACCUGAGCCGAAGGCAGUCGCUUAACCAACUGAGCCACCCAGGCGCCCUACAAUAUUAUUUUAUAAACUCAUAAAUUUUUCUUGCUUAUAAUUAAAACAACAAAUCUGAAUAAAUUACCCAAUCUUAAAUUUGAUAAAUACAUAAAACGGAAAAUAUACACAAAUGAUUUUUAAACACAAAUAUGUUAGGGCACUGGGCUUGUUUUUGGUUCAUCACCUUUGUCCCUCACUCUAAACGUGGCUGGUUUUUUAUUUAUUUAUUUAUUUAUUUAUUUUUUAAUUUUUAUUUUUUUAAGAUUUUAUUUAUUUAUUUGACAGAGACAGAGACAGCGAGAACAGGAACACAAGCAGGGGGAGUGGGAGAGGGAGAAACAGGCUUCCCGCGGAGCAGGGAGCCCGAUGCGGGGCUUGAUCCCAGGACCUGGAAUCAUGACCUGAGCCGAAGGCAGACGCUUAACGACUGAGCCACCCAGGCGCCCAGUUUUUUAAAAAAUUAUACACCAAGGAAACAAUUCUGCCACCCAAGGUCUGGUCUCCUUAGCAACAGUUCCCUUUGCCUUCCUCCAACUUAAAAACCGGAAAGUGAAGUAUUCAAAUUCUCAGCCUCUCUUGCAGCCAUAGAGGGCCACUUGACAUACUUCUGUCCAAUGGGAUAUAUAGAUAGUUCUGUCUAUUUUAUUUUCUGGAUAAAAAAGCAGUAGAUAUUUGCUCAUUGCCACAGUAAAUGAGACCUACUAGUUAUCAUAUCCGAAAUGUAUGUGAUCCUCACCAUGUUUCAAAAACCAUUUCAUGUGCUUUCUUUGAGCUAAUUGUAAUGCCUAUAACAACUCUAUGAGGGAGAUACAAUUAUCAUUACACUUCAUAGAUGAGGAGACAAUAACACAGGGAGGUUACUAAGUUGCCCAGAGUCACACAGCCAGUAAGUGGGCAAAGUUAAGAUUUGAGACCCAGCACCCUAAAUCCAGAGUCACAUUCACCUCUCCACUGUAGUCACCACUUCUGACAGGUGCCUGAAGCUCGUUGCUGUAUCUGUUCUGCAACGUUGACGGCAUGCUCUUACAUCUAACAGUUAGUUUCCGUGUCUUCCCCAUUAGACUAAGUGGCCCUUAGCCAUGUGCCUCUUUUACACACAAAUCACAGCCCCAGAACUUGUCUCCCACAGAUGUUCAACAAAUACUUCAAUGAAUGCAUGCCUUAAGAUCUGCAAAAUUACAGAUGUCACAGAGAUAAGCUUAUUUUGAAAACCUCAAUAUGUCAAACCCUUGAAGUAGAGAGGCAGAAAAGUGACUUUUGGACUCUGUAAGGAGGGUGUCACUUUGUGUAGUGACCACUUUGCCUACUGCCACCAUAGAAAGGGAGCUGGGAAGCCCCUCACCAGAUCCCGUAAGGAAGGAGAUCCAACAUUGGGCCAUUGUGUGUUUUUCCAUGAAUGACAGUGUCAUUAUCUUACACUUUGAUAAGUGUCUGGCUAUAGAGCAAGAAAAUAACAAUGCCCUUUUCAGGUCUGUGAUUUCCCUUGAGAAAAGCUGAGGUGUGAUUGGAUCCCUGGGCCCCUAUGUAGAGCUGAUAUCUGCCCUCCCAUGUACGAAAGUAGCACCAGAGUCUCCAGGACCCAGGAUGUGGUCCAUAGAAAAUGGGUGUCAUUGACAGAUUAAGAGAUCAUGUCAAGCUUCAUGAUAUAGUGUAUUUAUUUGGUUUGGAUGAAAUGAUGUAUUAGAGUUUUACAGAGAAACAGAACCAAUGGGAGAUAUAUAUGUAUAUAUAUGUAUAUGUGUAUCUGAUAUACUAUGAGGUAUUGGUUCACACACUUAUGGACACUGAGAAGUCGUAUGAUCUGCUGUCUAUCAGCUGGAGACCAGGAAAGUUGGUGGUGCCAUUCAGCCCAAGUACAAAGAUAUGAGAACCAGAAGCACCAGGAGAAGGAGAUGAUGCAUGUCUCUGCUCAAAAAACUUAGGCAGGGAGGGCUGAAUUCUGCCUUCUUGUGCCUUUUUGUUCUGUUUGAGUCCUCAGUAGAUGGAUGAUAUCCACCCACAAUGAGGAGGGUGAACUGCUUCACUGAGUCCACCAAGGCAAAUACUAAUUUCAUCCAGAAACACACUCAAAAACACAGCCAGAAAUAAUGUUCAGGUAAAUAUCUGGGCCUCCCAUGAUCCAGUCAAGUUGACACAUAAAAUUAACAAUGACAAAUAAAUAUGUAACACUUGGGAAAAAAUGUGUGAAUGUUAUGUCAGACAAGUAUGGCUCAUGGCCCAUGUUCAUUCAGCAAAGCUAUUUUGUCAUUACUCAGUAGGAGCCCACCCUGCCUCCCUGGGCGAGCACUCACAUGGACCCAGACUCUCCAAUUGCUCUUAAAGGAGGUGUAAAGACAACCUUAUUUCAGUCAUUCCAUUGUCCAGACCCUUAUAGUCAUGGAGCCUCCAACUCAGUGGAAGGUGGCUUCCUCCCUCCCUCAAUGGGAGGGCCGCAGGUAGAAAGCCCACAGCCUGCAGUUGGAGGAGGCAGAGUUUGAUCGUUUCUCCUGCUACCAACCUCCCCCUUGUAACCAGGGAUUCUGAGACCUCCAGGGGGCAGGGGGGCGGGGGCAAGAGGGAAAGGGGGUUCUUGCUCAUGGUGGCUGUGGUUAAGCCCAGGGGCCCCAGGACCCAGACAGGUCCACCCCCGCUGGGGUGGAAGGGGAGCCUGAUCACCUCCCAAAGACCUCUUAGAGGUCUCACAGAUAGGGAUUCCCAGGGAGGGAAUUUAAUAACUUCUGGAGUGUGAAUGUGUGAGUGAAUGUGCCAUCCAACCUGGCUUGCUCAAGCGUACUGAUUCUGUGACUCCACGGGCGGGCAUCCUUAAAGUCCCCAGAAGCCUACGGAGUCUGAGUGGACCCGUCUGCGAUUCCGUGGUGAAUGGCAUAUAGUCUAUGGCGGCGUCGGAAUAGUUUCCGAUCGUAACUCACAACGCUGAGACCACUAGGGCUAAGCCUCACCUAAGCUCCUUCAGGACAUGGCCAGACAGGCAUCUGAUUGGUCUCCUCAUCUCAGGAGGCACCCCCCCUUUGUCUGUCUCCGCGCCACCACACACAGGGACGUCACCAUGGGGUCAGGGCAGAGUAAACCUACAGUUCUAGAGAUCAUGAGCAAAAACUUAAAGAAGAGGUUUUCGGGAGACUAUGGAGUCAGAAUGAACCCCGGCAAGUUGAGAACCAUAACCCAGAAGCCUAUGGAGUCUACCCACAAGCCAUGGUAGACCUCAUAGAAUCCAUCUUCCAGACUCAUCGGGCAACCUGGGAAGACUGCCAGCAGUUACUCUGUACCCUGUUUAACACAGAGGAAAGGAGGAGAAUAAUGAAAGUUGCACGGCAGUACCUGGAAGAGCACGCACCAGCGGGAGUCAUCAACUCUGCUGCCUGGGCUAAUACAGCUGCACCCAAAGAGCGCCUAGCAUGGGACUUCACCACAACCAAGGAACAGACCCACAUCCGCCGGUACCAGGAGGCCCUCCUCUGGGGAAUCCGGGCGGGAGAUUAGAAACCCAUGAACAUGACUAAGGUAUCCUCGGUCACUUAACAACCAGGGGAGUCCCCUGGGGACUACUACAAAAGACUAUGUGAAGCCUACAGCAUAUACACACCAUUUGACCCCGAGGCACAGGAAAGCCAACAGAUGGUAAACACCUCCUUUGUGGCUCAGGCCUCCCCAGACAUCAGAAAAAAACUUCAGAAACUAGAGGGUUUUGCCGGAAUGAACAUCACCCAACUAAUAGAGAUUGCCAAUAAGGUCUACAUGAACAGGGAGGUCACAGCCAAAUGGGAAGCUGACAAAAAGAUGAAAAAGAAAUUCAGCCUCCAUGCUGCCACCCUGAAAGAAAAAGACAACACAAAGAUGGGAAGACCCCAACCACCGUAAGGGGGAAAGCCCAGAAAUCCCUUGGCAAGGGAUCAAUGUGCCUACUGUAAAGAGAAAGGGCAUUGGAAAAACGAAUGUUGCAACCAGGGAAAGGCUCAAAAGCCCAGCUGCUACAAGGAAGAACCCCAAGUGGAGGACCUCAUAGGCCUUGUGGGAAUGGACUCAGACUGAGGGGGACCGGGCUCUUUCCUCCUUGGCCCCCAUGGGCCCAUGGUCAAAAUGAAGGUGGGGGGCCAACCAGUGAUUUUAUGGUUGAUACUGGGGUUGAGCACUCUUGUCACCUCCCCAGUGGUCCCUUUCAGCAAAAGGACUACGACCGUCCUUAGGGCCACCAGGACGCGGGCAAUACAACAGCCCUUUUACCAGUCUUGCCAGUGCGAACUCAGGGGCCACAAGGUCUGACACAAAUUCCUUUAUCUGCCCAAUUGCCCCAUUCCUCUCCUGGGCCGAGACAUACUCUCCAAGCUUAGGGCUCAGAUAACCUUUGAGCCCACUGGACACAUUAGCCUCCAAUUGAACCCAAGGCAAGAGGAAACAGGGUCUCUAAUACUAGCAAUUACCACACCAAGGGAAGAAGAAUGCAGGCUAUUCUGUGCCCAGACCCAACCAAGCAGCACACUGGAAUUCAGACUCGCCUUCCCUUCAGUAUGGGCUGAAAACAACCCACCUGGACUAGCCCAGGAUCGGGCCCCUAUCAUUGUUGAACUGAUCCCAGGAGCCCAACCUCAGAGGCAAAGGCAAUACCCCCUUCCACAAGAAGCUAAAAUCGGCAUCCAAGAACAUAUGACCAAACUCAAAGAAGCAGGUAUUCUAGUCAAGUGCCAGUUGGCCUGGAAUACCCCAUUCCUGCCAGUCAGGAAGCCAGGAGGGGGAUACCAACUAGUUCAAGACCUGUGGGCCAUCAACAAAGUGACCAUCUCUGCACCCAGUGGUCCUGAAUCCAUAUACCCUUCUAGGCCAAAUCCCAGGGUUGGCCAGAUGGUUCACUUGCCUAGAUUUGAAAGAUGCUUUCUUCUGCCUCUACUUAGCUCCCCAGGGCCAGCCACUAUUUGCCUUUGAAUGGUCUGAACCUGAUACAUGGCACCAAAUGCAACUGAUUUGGAUGCGCCUCCUGCAGGGUUUUAAAAACUCAUCAACCCUCUUUGAGGAAGCACUGGCCAUGGACCUCGCCAGCUUCCCAGGAGAGGCCACACGAUGCACCAUCCUCCAGUAUGUGGGUGACCUCCUCCUUGCCAGUGACACACAAGAAGACUGCACAAAAGGCACAAAGGCCCUCCUACAGCUCCUGUCAGACUCAGGAUACCGAGCCUCAUGAAAGAAGGCACAAAUCUGCCAACAACAGGUCUGAUACGUUGGUUUCCUCCUCACCCAAGAGAAAAGAGAACUAGGGCCGGAGAGGAAAAGGGUCAUCAUCUCUCUGCCAGAGCCCCAGACAAAAAGGGGCCUACGAGAAUUCCUGGGGGCUGCAGGAUUCUGCCGCAUCUGGAUCCCUGGGUUCUCGGCAAUAGCAAGACCCCUUUAUGAUCUCUUAGGGGGACCAGAUCAAGAACCCCCUACCUGGACUAAGGAAGCAGAAGCUGCUUUCACAGAGAUAAAGACCGCCCUGGGGCCGGCUCCAGCCCUGGCCUACCAGAUGUAGAAAAACCCUUCAAUCUCUA
Long non-coding RNA from Mirounga angustirostris (Northern elephant seal), 99165 nucleotides. RefSeq lists it as uncharacterized. The record is from RefSeq and is a predicted model, not a curated record. NCBI's taxonomy places the organism in Eukaryota, Metazoa, Chordata, Mammalia, Carnivora, Phocidae. The transcript is spliced from 2 exons.